Molecule: long non-coding RNA, 95887 nt
Filed under: Olea europaea (common olive)
Lineage: Eukaryota; Viridiplantae; Streptophyta; Magnoliopsida; Lamiales; Oleaceae
Description: long non-coding RNA (OEUR_LNC014636)
Source: RNAcentral
UCACAGAUAUAGCAUUGCAGCACGAAGCAGAACAUGAAGAACUUGUGAUACGGAGCAGAGACAUAGCAUAUGAAGUUGAAUAUGUUAUCAACUCAUUACCUCAUGUUUGGUAUCUUUCUCUCCGGCUCCCUCAACUCAUUGACAAGAUUCAGCUUAUUAUGAUGGCUGUCAAAGGAAUGAAGAACAAUAUUGAUGUAGCUAGAAUGUCAAUUGUUUCAAAACAUCCACAUGAUCACGUAGAUCCACAGUCAGAAGAUCUCCCAUUUUGGAAGACUUUGUUGUGGGAUUUGACAAUGUAACAACUGAAAUUGUAGAACAACUUGUUCGAGGAACAGACAAGCUACAAAUUAUUUCCAUCUUUGGGAUGCCUGGACUUGGUAAGACGACCUUGGCAAAUAAAUUAUAUAAUCAUCCCUUCGUUUUACAGCAUUUUGACAAGCGUGGCUGGUGUGUUGUUUCUCAAAUGUAUAAUAAGGAAAAUGUUUUGAUUGAAAUUUUGAGCUCAAUGAGUAACAGUAACAGGGACACAUACAUGAAUAUGGACGAAAAAAGCUUGGCUACAAAUCUUUACCAAAACAUAAUAGGAAGCCGAUACUUCAUUGUGAUAGAUGAUAUAUGGGAUAUCAAUGUGUGGAUUGAUUUGAAAAGAUAUUUUCCAGAUGACGGAAAUGGAAGCAGAAUCUUAUUCACUACUCGAAAUAAAGAAGUGGGUUUGAAAGCUUUACCUCGUAGUGUCAUAAAGGAACUUCCUUUUCUGUCAGAAGUUGAAUGUUGGGAAAUAUUACAAGAAAAAGUGUUCCAAGAUAAAAAUUGUCCUCAAGAAUUGCUAGACAUUGGCAAGCAAAUUGCAAAAAACUGUCAUGGCCUACCACUUGCAGUGGUCGUGAUAGCUGGAGUUCUUGCAAACAUGGAGAAGAAAAAACAUUUGUGGGAAAAAGUUGCAAGAAAUUUAAGUUCACAUAACUCCGAAAUACCAGAGAAGUGCAUCCAAAUAUUGCAGCUUAGCUACAACCAUUUACCAAUGCUUUUGAAACCAUGUUUUCUUUACUUCGGAGCAUUCAAAGAAGACAGGAAGAUCCCUGUGCGGAAGUUGAUUUAUCUCUGGGUUGCCGAAGGAUUUAUAAAGAAGGAAGAACAGAAGAACAUAGAGGACGUGGCACGAGAAUAUCUAAUGAAACUAAUUGAUAGGAGCCUAGUACUUGUUGUUGGAAGCACAUAUAAUGGAGAAGUCGAAGCAUGCAAGAUUCAUGAUCUAUUGCGUGAAAUGUGCUUGAAAAUAGCUAAUGAAAAUAACUUUUUGAAGUUGAUCGAACGGUAAGUUCAAUGUUUCUCUUCUUUUCUCUUUCCUUUUCGUCCAUUUUUUAUUUUAGCUUACUAAGAAUGGUUAUUAUAUUUGAUAACCAUAACAAUUAUGUGAUAUGUUGCUUUGUUACCAGUAAUGAUGAUGAUGAACAACGUUUCUUCAGUCAAGUAUCAACGUAUCAGCAGCACCAUCGUCUGAGUAUCAACUGUGCAAAAUCUUCUAGUUCACUACCCGUUGGCCUACACGUACGCUCUCUUCUAUUUGAUUCGGAUUUUUUGAGUGCCAUCAGGUUUAUCUCAUCCAGCUACAAAGUUCUUAGGGUCUUUUGGGGAUGGUCACGGAAUGAUAUUCUAAUAGGACUUGAACAUCUAGUUCACUUGAGGUACUUGGAAAUUUCAUGUAUGCUGCCACCAAUGGAAAACUUCCGCAAAUUAGAAUUUCUUGUUGUGUACAAUCAUGAUGAAAUUGAAAUACCUGAGAUCCUUCUUAAUAUGGUGAGUUUGAGACACAUGGAGUUUAAGGGCGGUGCAUACUUCAGUGAAUCUAGCCGUCAGCUAGCAAGUAACAGUAAGAGUUUCCAAAUAAAUAACCUACAAAGUAUUUUUGUACUCUCAAUUUAUGAUGAAAUGGAUGAGAAAAUUUUGAGCAGUUCACCCAACCUUUGCAGACUGGAAGGCAAGGUUGGAAAGUCAUUAAAUCUCUCCUUAGGCUUCCUUAAAAAGCUCGAAUCACUGCUGCUAUGUAAUCCACGUUUUUAUCCUUCCAGUUUGAUCAGUUUGCCCUUGAAUUUGAAAGAAUUGGGACUGAAUGCUUUAGUCGUGUCUCAAAAAGAAAUGGAGAUAAUUGGAGGAUUGCCUUACCUCGAGGUUCUCAAAUUAGUAGACGUUGCCUUUGAGGGAGAACAAUGGGACACGAGUGAAGUUGAAUUCCCACGACUUGAAUACUUGAAACUUGAAGAUAUAAAAAUUGCAGAAUGGAAUGCCUCAAGUGAUAAUUUCCCGAGACUUCAACAAUUGUUGGAAAAAAUAAUUAGUUGCAGUAGUAAUCAGAACAAUAUAAUGCAGAAAUAUAAAACUUAUCGUCCGAUCGAGUCUCGUGACAGCACGAUGUCCUAAAGUGAAAUUGCCCGUCAAUAAUUGCUGCGACCUCCGUGGACAAUCACUCCCAGGAUACAACGAUCGUAAACCAUUUGUGCAGCAAUCACGAAUGGUUUUUCUAGAACUCUCAAUUAUACUCCAGAAUAGAUAUAAAAACCCGAAUAUAAGAAAUUCACAAUAUGAAAAGAGUGAUUGAUGCAAGAUGAUUUUUUUAUUUGCUUUGUGUGUGUCUUUUCCCAAAACGAGAUAUGGGUCUAUAUAGGCAAGAUGGUAAUAACAGUUUUCACCAUGUUAAUGCAGAAUUUUAAUGACUGAGUAGUGGGUCUUUUAAUGGCAGUUAGUGAGUUGUUACAAAAACAAACAGUCAUAAAAUAUUGGCUAGUUUUACCCAUUAUAUAAUAAAAAAAAAGAAAAAAAAUAUUUAUUUUAGUCAAGGAAGUCCAAGAGCCCAAGGCCCCAAGGCCCCAAAUCAAGACAUUUUAAUAUUUGCGUGGAGAGUGAUUCGAACCCCUGACGUCCCACACAAAUGUCACAUUUCCCACCACUUUGACACUUUAUCUAAUUUGAUUAUUUCUUUCACAUUUUAUAUUUAUAUCAUAAAUAUAUAACAACAAUUAGUAUUGAAACAUUGCCGGAAUCUUGAGAUGAUCCCUUCCAGUUUAGGUGAUAUUCCAACGUUACGGAAGAUUCGGGUAUAUAUGUGUGCAAAAACUACCAACGAAUCAGCUAGGAAAAUUAAGGACGAACAAGAAAAGAUGGGCAACGAAGAGCUUCAAGUCAUAAUCACUGACAAAUAUUGGUCAGCGAGGAAAUUUAGAAGGUAAUAAUGAGAGAGAUUCUCUUUUUUAAACCUCUUUCGCAUUCUCAGCUUGGUCCUAGGUAUUUUAUGUUAUAUUAAAAUGAAACAUAAAAAACAAAUCCUACUGUAAUUUUUGCUGGCAUUGAAAUUAGGGAAAAUUUCAUAACUAAGAAAUUAAUUAUGGCACAUUUCAAAAACAAGAAAACAAGUUUCAAAUUUCCAAAAUCAGAUUUUUAUUAAAAAUUAUUUAUAAUUUAAUUAGUUAAUUAAUUAUUUUAUUAAUUAAAUAUAUUUAGGUCACAGAUCUAUACAAUUUGGUCACAAAUUAACAAUAUAAUUAGUCACUUAUUAUUUUUUGGUCACAAAUCAAAAAUUUUAUGUCACAAAAUUUUUGAAAAUUUUUUUACGAUCACUUUUCAAAAAUUUUGUAAGUCACGGUUUGUUUAUUGGUCACAAAUCCAAAAAUAAUUAGUCACGGAUUAAUUUUUAGUCACGACUUAUCAUAUUAUUGGUCACAACUUAUUUUUCAGUCACAAGUUAAAAAUUUUAUAAGUCACAUAUUAUUUUUAGAUCACGAAUCAAAAAUUUUAUAGGUCACAGAUUAAUUUUUCGGUCACAACUCAAUAAAUUAUAAGUCACAAACACAAAUUUUAUAGGUCACAUAUUAUUUUUCGAUCACGAAUCAAAAAUUUUAUAGGUCACGAAAUCAAAAUUGUUAUUAGUCACAUCUAAUUUGUCGGCCACAAAUCAAAAAUUUCUUAUGUCACAAUUCAUUGAUUAGUCACAAAAUCAAAAUUUUAAUUGGUCACAAUUCAUUUGUCAGUCACAAAUUAUAUCAAAAUAAUUGGUCACAAUUCAUUUGUCAGUCACAAAUUAUAUCAAAAUAAUUGGUCACAAUUAAUUUUAUAGUCACAAAUUAAUAAAUUACAAGUCACAAACCAAUUUAUUGGUCACAAAUAACCAAAAAAUUGGUCACAAAUACCCCGUCCAAUGCAAGUCACAAAUCGAGAGUCACAGGCGCAGUCACCAUCACCACCGCCACGAUCCAAUUAUUAGUCACAAAUCAACCAAACCGCCACGAUCACCGACACGACCACCACAAUCACCGCCACGACCAACUGUGACACCCAAAUUGUGAGUCACAAAUUGAAAGUCACAGUCACAAUUUUCAGGUCACGAGUCCAAUUAUGUGUCACAAAAUCAACCAGCAGUCACGACCACCGCCAAUCCACCACAACCACCUCGUCACCAAAAAAUCGUGCAUAUCACCACCAUCGGCCCACUAUUGUCAAACUCUGUCAAUAACAAAAACAUCCCCAUAUCCACCACCAUUUUCAUUACAAAAAACUACCACAAAAAAAGGACCAGCAACACCACCGGAUCCGCCUUUGCCAAAGUUCAGAGCCACCAUCUCAAUCACACAACCACCACCAUACCAACCAAAAAAUUCCAAACCCACGAAAACAUCCCCAUAUCCACCACCAUCACCAUUUUCAAUACAAAAACCACCACAGAAAAAAGGACCAGCAACACCACCGGAUCCGCCUUUGAAAAAGUUCAGAGCCACCAUCUCAAUCACACAACCACCACCAUACCAACCAAAAAAUUCCAAACCCGAUUCAGUCGUCGCCGCCACUGCAUCUCUACCCGUCGCCUUAUGCGUUGCUCAUGACGACGACGAGAAAGGUGAGAGAGACAGAAUGUGUUUGGGGGAUCUGCAGCCUCGCGUCACCAUCACCUAGAUUAAAUCGAAAAAUUAAAACGAGGCGGCACAGACCACAGCCUCGUCGAUUCUAUCUACUCCGUCCACAUCGGGGCGGCACCGCGCCUCAUUGCUCGCAGCUCCGCCAUCUACAGUAAGAAAUGCGACGCUGUGCUGCACCAAUUCGACAACAGGAGCAUCACGUUGCCGCCGUCGACGAUGGAGGGAGGCGCCGUUGCGGGGAGAAAUGUAGAGAGGGAUGGUUGUGGGAGAAAUGUAGGGUAGGGAGGCUUUGGUUGUUGGGAGAUAGGAUUAGGGUUUGUGAUUAAAAAUAUUUAUUUCAUAAAAAUAUUAAUUAGAAUAAAAUUUCUGACUAUUGAAAUGUCAAACCUCUGCCCUGAUUUUAGAAUUGAUGAUUUUAAUGAUAGGGUUUCGUGUAAUUUCCACUUGAAAUUAAGCCACUGUUUGGUAUGAAUUAAAUUAAGAUUUUUAGUAUUUGGGACCAAACUGGGGCUAAGUUGAUUCUAUUUUAUGAGCUUGUUGAUGUUAUUCUAGGAAUUACUAAACCAUAAGCUUCUAUGUUUGGACAUUGAUCUAUAUUAUUUCUGCAUUUCACAUUUUUUUUACCGUAAAAUCGAUUUUACAUAAAAUCCCAAUGGUCACAAUUUCACUUCUAGUUUGAUUUAGUAGUCGGAAUGAUUUGAUUGUUUAGCCCAAGUCCUCAGCUAAUUGCAUGGGAGGUCCUUCAACUUCUAAACUUGUUAUCUUGGUCCUUGAUUCUAGAUUCCAUCCAACUUCCAUUCUUCUCGAUCAAAUAUCGUCCCUUUUUAUUGUUUCCUAUUCAAUACUGGUUUUUCUCCUAAAAUAAUAAUCAAAUACACAAAAUUAAGUAUAUGCUCAUAAAAGUAUUUCCAAACCCCCUCUUUUGAUUCCUUGGAUAAGUAUAAAAUCACACUUAUCGUAGAUAUGCAAUUUCAAGAGUCGAGUGAUUUUUUCAGGGGUAAAUAGUGAUUUAAUCAUUUGUAUUGCACGUUUGUGUUCAGACAAUUUACUAAAGGACAAGUGAAUUCAAUUGUGUGAGUAAUAUGUUAAAGAUUUUAAACCAAUAGAGAUCUUGGCAUUGAUGAUCAAAUUUAGACAUGUAUUAUUGAUAUGCACACUCUAGAGAUUUUAAUAGGGUUCGAAGACCUUAAUAAUCUUGCAGAAAAAUUUGUUCUGUCUUAAAAAGGCGAACCCAUUACUUUACAGACUUGUAAUAUUGGUGUUAAUUAUUUCAGAUGCUAGAGGUGGUACGUUCUUGGCAAACAAGAUGAUCAAGAAUCGAUUGCAUAAUUGGAAGCUAGAUCAAUGGUUGAACGACACUUUGGUGGCGUAUAUUAGUACGAUGUAUUUGAUGAUAUUGAUAACGAUAAUUAUACAAUGUUUUCAAAGUAUGAAAACUUGUAGGCUACAAUUGUAGUGAUCUAUUGGCUAUUUUUAAUUAAUACGUUGUUUUAGAAAAAUUAUAUUUUAAUUUUUAAUCCUACAAUGAAAAAUGUGAGGCUUCGCAAUCAUAUUAGGCUUGACAAAACCAAUUAUCUUCAGUGGGAAAACCAAUUUCUGAAUGUCGUCAUGGCUAGUGGAUUAGAAGGUUUUAUAGAUGGUACAUCUACUUUUCCAUCAAAGUUUGUUGUACAGCUGCUCAUUGGGUCGAAAUUUUUAUUAACUUUUCAGUAUUAUGACUUCAAGCUUUUCAUUUCCCAUCUCUUCUUGUUCUUCCUGAAUUUGCUUAUCAGAUUCUUAAAUUGCUUGCUCAGACCCUCUACCAGAGAAGUUUCCCAAUCAAGAAUUUGCUCAUAAGAUUGUUGGUUAAGGGAUUCCUUCAAAUAAAAUAGAAGAAGAUGGUAAAUUUUCAUGUAUAUCAAAUUGAAACAGCAAUCUCUACAUAUAGAUGUUAGUACGCCUUUCCAAGGCGUUACAAUAUUUCUAGAACCAGCCUAGUUGAUACGAAACAAAUACAAAAAGAAAAUUUUAUUAUUCGAAAAUCUUCCACCCUGUCUAUCCCCAAAGUUCAAAACAGGAGGGGGUGUUUCUCCUUCUUCAGUAUUAUUAUGUAAUUGACUCUUCUUUUAAAGAGUUGAUUGAAUUGAUUGACUUAGACGGAUAAUAAUAUACAUGGGGGCGCCAACAAUAAAUGAUUAUGUAAUUAUACUUGCUAAUGCAAAAUAAGUAUAACUUCAUUGACAUAAACGAUAGGCAUCAUUUUUUACUGCUAUGCCAUCGAUUUCCAAGUGACAAACUAGACUAAGAGCAUUUAAACAUCUGAAUUCUUGAACACGCCAUUCUUUCAAAAGAUUUUCAAUGUGUCAAAUUUGAAUAAGGUUCCUUACUAUUCAUCAAAUUAAACUAUUGGCUCUAUCACAUUUAUCGACCUUUAGUUCAUUCUUCUGGAUGUACUCCUUAAGGGUUAUCUAACAUAUUAGGCCAAUAUUGUAGAUUACAUACUUGUCCAUGUAAAUUGAUUUAUCAAAUGAUCUUGUAAUUGUCCACCCUCAACUCCUCAAGUAAUUUGUCUUGAAUGUCCUAUAUUUCAAAAGCGUUAAAGCGUCCCUUGUGGUAUCCAGGUUCGAACAAGUAGCCAUGGACGUGUCUUCGAUUUGACAUUGAAGUACCAAGAAAUGAAAUUAAAUUGCUUACAAACUAAUUAACUCACGUCUACUCUUCUACAAUAUAAAGAUAGCUUACUUGAGCUUGGUAUUUUUCGCAACAUAUUCCAACUAAUCCAAUUUUGAAGUCAAAAAAACUGCAAAAUUGUCUAUCAACUCAAGUACAUAUUUUCUUUGAUUAAAUGUAUGCUUUAGGAAAAAAAUAAAUUGUCACGAGUUGUGUUAUCUAAUCAUACCACACUUGCCACGAUGAAAUCAAAACUUAUCGCGACCAAACUACUGUUAUACGCAACAUCAUGCACAUAAGAUCAUGAAUUUUAUACACAAAUCUUUCAGAAGUCUGCAGCUUCGAUUUUCAAACCAUAUCUGGAGGAAGCAUGAUCCACGUCUUGAAAACAUAUUAAGUGCUUUCAAAAUUGCUUUGAGCAAACCUAUCAAACGAAAUAACACGCAAUCUAAUAAAUGUUUUCUUGAUAUGAUCUGGAACCUGAGAUGUUAACCGGCAUAAUACCUUAGACAAUUGAGACAUAAAAACUAUUGUUUCGAAAGCCAGUGUCACAAGAUGGAAGUACUCUUGACCUCCUAGCUAGACAGAGGAUCAGGAUUCGUCUUCGUCCUUAUCUUCGUCCUCGUCUUCAACUUCAACUUCAUCUUCAAAAUCUACAUAAUCGACCUUUGCAACAGGAGAUGCUCACCAAAACUUGUUCAACUGUUUCAGAAUCUGAAGUCCUUUGUCAAUGACAGUGUUGAAAAUUGACCAGAUCACCAUUCUUUUCAGCUUCGGCGAUUUUUCUAUCAAAAGCUUAGUGACUGCCAUCUCAGCAACUGUGCCUAAAAUAAAAGCAGCUUCACUUUUUGAAGUCGAUUUGAAGUUACAUCUGCGUAGUCUUGCACUUACAUAAAAUCUAGAAUAGGACUAGCAUCAGCAUUUGCACUCUCACAAAUCUAGACAAUAAGGCAAGAUAUCACUCAGCUUAAACUUUUGUUUUAAAAUGGAGAAUUGAAGAUGUAAAUUGUAAUGGUCAUAUCCAUCACUUACCUCGAAUCUCAGUUCCUAAAGGUUGGGGGCGCUGCUGAUCAAACACAAAACACAAGAGAGUUCAUCCAAUAAAUUAAAAAAUAUAUAAAAUAACCUCUGAUCAAGCACAGAACACAAGAGAGUUCAUCCAAUAAACUAAAAAAUAUAUAAAAUAACCUCAGAACUUUAAGGUGGAUUAAAGUAGCUGGAAGCCUUUCUUGGACUUGACCUGCAGCCAAAAUCUUGAAAGCAGUGGUAAAAGCAUGAUCUAAUGUAGUUAACUUGACGAUUACAAGGGAUUGUAUUUAUAAUCAAAAAUACCUUAAUGACAGUAUAGUUCAAGUACACUUUCUGAAGGCCAGGCAGAGAAUAAAAAAAUGAAUGAAGUUACAUUUCCCAUCUUCCAAAAUAUUGUCAACCACCCAAUCAUUAUGUGAAGCAACCAAAAUUAUUGCAAGAAGAGUGAAUUUCUUAAAACAAAACAAUGAUGUAGGGAAACAUGUCAAUUCAAAGUGUUUUAGCAUAGGAGCAUCAAUUUCUAAGUAGUCAAAUUUGUUUGAAACAUUCAGCAACAGUUUCUCCAGUAAUGGGCAGCUAGAUAUCAAACUUCCUAAUACAUACAUCAUAAUCAAUUGUCACGUCAAGCAAUUCCAGCCAAAUCAUCCUAUUAAAUCCUUCAAAGCUUGGUGGAGGUGGAUUGAUCAAACAAGACAACAGCUUCAAAUGUUUCAAAUGUAAACACAUAAAUAGUGAAGAAGGCAAUGUGUACAGUUCUCCGCUCUUGAUUUUAAAGGUGAAUUCUUCAACACUGUUCUUCCAUAAGAUAUGUAUCAAGUCGUCAAUUUCUGAGCAAUUUUAAGUUUCAGAAUAACGAAGCUCAAUUUUGUUAUGGGUCCUUUACGAAGCAAAAGAACCUUGUAAAGGAUCAACAAGAACUUCAUUCUAGCUGAUUCUAGGUUUCCCUCAUAUUCUUGCCAUAGCGUCUCAUCAAAUCUCAGUUGGGGUAGUUUGACCCAUUUAUACCUCCAUUGUUUUGAAUACUUGUCUUUGCAGCAUCAUGUAAAGUCAAAUGCAUUAGAAUGCUAUCAGCUACAUUGUCAGUAAGGUUGCUUAUCCUAUCAACAGGUUGGAACUGGGUAAUAUCCAUUCUGCAGUGUUAUUGAAACGACAACCCUUUAAUGACACCUCACAAGUAAUAAAUAUAUAAAAAUUACCUUAGAAGUAAUAAGCAUGCACACAGUAGAUAUUAAAGAUCCAACAUGAAGGUUCCCCAUUUUCUUGCAUUAUUUUAAUAAUCCUACGCAAAAGUUUUAUCAUUUGUAUUUUCCUUAUUUUAUAUCCCAAAAUUUGAAAAAUUGGGGAUUAUAGUUUCUCAAGCAUGGAGACACUUGCCCUCAUGCGUUAGAAAUUAAAAAAUUAAAAAAUAUUGGACAACAUGUGGUGUGUUGAACACAUCUGCCUCAAGUCUCGGAAAUUUAAAAAUGAUAUAUAAAAGAAUAUACGCCAAGUGACAUAUUGGUAGUAGAAUGAGUGUCAUCCUUCAUAGCUGGUUAAAUUACCGAAACAUUCAUAUGUUACCCACCAGGAAAAUAGAGACAGGUUUCACAAUUGAAAUUUACAUUUGUACAUGCCCUCGACAAAGUGGUUGUUAAGGGAUAUAAACCCACAUCGAAUAAAGAUAAAAAUAUAGAUCAACUUAUAAGAUUUUGCGCUACUCCUGUUUAUAAGGUUGACCUUUUAAGAUGGAAUUCCCAAUCUUAACAUAUCGAAGACAUUAAGCUCUAUCAAACAAUUCGAUCCGAUUAAGAAUAAAAAAAAAAUGAGCAUACGGAUACCAAGAUUGGUUUGCUCAAAAGAGCCACAAUCUUGCGGUGGGCUUGUUAAGGAAUAUAAUCUCAUAUCGAAUAAAGAUGUAAACUUGGACUAAUUUAUAAGUUUUGGACUACUUCUCUUAACAAAGUUAACAUUUCAAGAUGGACCCAAGUCUUAAAAUGGUAUGUUAAGGGAUAUAAUCCUACAUCAAAUAAAGAUGGGAACAUAGACCAACUUAUAAGGCUCUGGACUACUCCUCUUAACAAGAUUGACCUUUUAAGAUGGACAUAAAUCUUAACAUGGUAUUAAAGCUCAUUAAGCUCCAACGAGCGAUUCGAUCCGAUUAAAACUAAAAAAUGAGUACACGAAUUUCAUGAUUGGUUUACUCAAACGAGCUAUCAUUUUGCGGGGGGUAUGUUAAGAAAUAUAAUCACAUAUAAAAUAAAGAUGAAAAUAUAGACCAACUUAUAAGGUCUUGGAUCACUCCUCUUAACAAGGUUGACCUUUUAAGAAGAAACCCAAAAUCUAAACAGUGGCAACAAAAUAUUCAUGUAGUCAAUCCCAAAUUUAUUGGGAUUAAAGUUUAGUUUGUAGUCAUAGAUGCAAAUCUAACAUAAAAAUGUGUACUGCUCUUCACAUAGUAUGCUUGAUGAUGCAGUAGUGCCUACCUGUUAUAAUUCGAUGGUUAAACUAGUUGUGAAUCCUGAUGACAGAAAGUGUGCUAGGAUAAUAGUUUGUAGAGUGUUCUAAAAAAAAAUUCUCUCUUGUAUAUGACCUAGGCGCCACUUUAUAGGUAGAGACUACUUAUGCAGAUGGUGUGUUUCUUCAUUUUAAUAAACCCGUUGCUCGAGUUUUCUCGAAAUUGAGUCUACCGUAAAAUAGGUGAUCGAAUGGAUUGACUCAGUCAGAGAAUUGAUUUAGAUAAGGAAAGAGUCUGGUCGAAUAUCUAUGUCCAGUCUGACCAUAAGUUAAGAAACAAAAAAGAAAAUCAAAAUACCGUCUAUAGCUACAAUGUAACUGCUCAGAAAAAUCUAUUGUUUGAAAAUUAGAAAAGCAAAAUAUCAAGGAAAGUUAAACUUAACAAACUGACUAAUUGCUAAACUAAUUCUAUUUACAGUAGCCUACAGAGUUGAGGGUCAUUUUUAGGAUUUUUCUUCCAUCCUCAUCAUCACCAAAGAAGUCAAUCUUUAUAUAAUGUAUGUAUCAAUAGACUAUGCAUUUUCCAUUCAACCCCACCCCAUUAAAAGAAAGAAGGCAUCUUCUGGUAGUAUACACUACUUCUGAAUCCUCUUUUAUCCUGUCAUAAUACUAAAGAUUUCACUCAUAAAUAAAACACUACACAUUUCUACAAAUAUUUCAUAUAAAAAGUUAAUGGGAGGGACCGUACAAAAACUGUUUCAAUUUAAGAAAAUAGAAUCGUACCUGUAAUGGAGAGAGUGAUGGCACCGCGGCGGAGAGGGUUUUGGGUUGCAAUCUCAAAGGAAAUUAACGCGCAAAGGGGAGCUGAACCUUCAAUGGUGGAUUAAAACACUUGGGUCUAACUUAAAAGUUGCUGACAUUUUUUGCUAACUGCUAAACUUGAUUAAAAUUUUGGGAUGUACUCAGAUUGAGAUCGUAAUGAAUUUUAAAAGUCAUUCUAAAUUUAGAUCCUUGUUUGAGCCCUAUUUUUGCCAAGAAAAUACAUUUUUAAAUAGUAUAAUGAUGUGAAAUGUAUGGUUAAAAAAUAAGGAAAAGUUUUAGAUUUUCGUGUAAUAUUAUUUUAUUGAAGAAUGUGUGGUUGAAAUGAUGUCAAAAUAUAGUUUAAGAAUGUAUUUUGUCAAAAAAAUGGGGCUCAAACAAGGGCUAGGUAUCUUCAAUUGAGAUUUUAUUGGAUUUUAAUUAAAUUCAUUAAAAUUUAGGUGUCCCCAAUUGAAAUUUUAAUGAAAUUCUUAAAAAUUUAGAUAUCCUCAAUAAUUAGUGGAUUUAUAAAGAUUUCAUUGAUAGAAGGAUUUUAGAAGAUUUGGAUGGAUUUCAAGCUUAAAAAUACAUAUAAGUAAAUCUUUUGAAAUUUCACCAUAUUUAAUUAGAUUUUUUUUUUUUUGAAAUUUGUAAGAAUCUAUUUAAAUCCACCAAAGUCAUUAGAAUUUAUAAUCAUUUAAAAUUCAUUAAAAUCUUAGUUGAGAACACCUCCGUUAAUUUUAAAUUUUAAAUAACUUCAUUUUGAAAUAUAACUAAAGACCUUGUUUAGUAGGGAUUAAAAUCAGUUUUUUAGUAAAUUUUGAUAAAAGUCAUUGAAAUGUAGCUAAAAAGUUGUAGAUCCCUUAAAAUGUUUGAUUAAAAAUAGUUAUUCACUUUGACUCAAAUAAAAAUCUAAAUUUUAAUUUGUAUCAAACAAGUUUUUAAAUAAUUAAUUACUUUUUUCUUAAUUAAAAGCAUUUAGCCCCUGGUUGGUGGGUAUUAAAAUCGAAUUUUGAGUAGGUUUUAAUAAAAGUUAACGAAAUGUAUGGUUCAAAAGUUGUGGGUCCCUUAAAAUUAAUUUUUGGUUAAAAUUAGUUAUUAACUUUGAUUUGUAUUAAAAUCUGAAUUUAUGUAUAAAAUAGGGGCUCAGUAUAAAAGUAACUUUUAUUUUACUAUAAACACAACAUGUUUGCUAGUGAGAAUGAAAAGAAAAAAGAAUAACAUACUUGGCUGAGUUUAAAAAAAACAUAAAAGUAUCUAAGAUUUACAAAACACGUCAUCUUAUCAACGUUUUAAAAUCGGACUGACCCCAAUCCGUUCAACCGCAAGAAUCGAGAAUCGAGUCCAAAACCAAAACCGAUCCAGUUAGGCUUAUAAAACCUCUAAUUAAAAAUCCAUCCCAAAACUAGUUAAACCGCAAAAAUCACUAGUUCGAUUCUGAUUCAACCUUUUGAUGCUUGACUCUCUUUUUCAAGUAAUAAGUCGGGUCGAUUCUUAAAACAUUGCAUAUUACUGAUUUGAUAUCUUUAUUAUUCAUUUUAUUUUGAUUUUCAAAUUCGCUAUAGACUUGUAUGAAAAUAGGAUUUACUUUAUUGAACUCCUCGACAAAAUCAUACCAAAUGGGGGUUGAAACAUAGCUUCUUUUGAUUAUUCGUAAGCGCCAAUUAGCUAAAAAAUUACAUUAAUAAUUUCUACUCUUGCCCUAGCUCGUCCAAAAGCUAGAUUCAUAUCUAUAUUAGUAAAAAAUAUAUUUUAAAACUAUAAAUAAAUAAUUUUUAUUAAUCAUUUUUUUCUAAUUCACUGUAGACUUGUAUGAAAAUAGGAUUUACUUUAUUGAACUCCUCGACGAAAUCAUACCAAAUGGGGGCAGAAACGUAGCUUCUUUUGAUUAUUCGUAAGCACCAGCUAGUUAAAAAAUCACAUUAAUAUUCUCUACUCUUGUCCUAGCUCGUUCAAAAGCUAGAUUCAAAUCUAUAUUAGUAAAAAAAAUAUUUUAAAACAAUAACUAAAUAAUUUUUUUUUAUUAGUUUUAUAAAUAAAUUAUGUUAUUUAUUUGAACAAUAAAAUGAGAAUUACUUUAGAUCAAGUAAAUGAUUUUAGGACAUGUUUAAAAAUAAAAAAUGACUACAAAAUAAUUAUACAUGUGAAUAUCACACUUAUUUUUUGCAUAGUUAACAAGCUUUUGUUGAUUAUUAUAUUCAAUUCUCUAUUUUUUUAGAGUGAAUUAUUCGAUUCUAUUCUCAGUUGAUUUGUGCAAUAUUUUCGUGUUAUUGGGCAAACAUUUGAAUUUUGACAAAUUUAUGAUAUAGAGUGAAAGAGGCAAAAAGAGGACUAGCUUUUGAUGGUUUAAGUUUCACUGUGACAUUUUGAUAUUGAAAUUGAAUAUAAAUUGAGUCUUUUUUUUUUUUUUUUUUUUUAAAGGGGGGAAGGGGGGGUUCCCAAGUAUGCAAAAUUAUGGUUAAAUUCCUGGAAAUUAAAUUCCCACACAUAGCUCUGCUCCCUUAAUCUUGAAUGAAAAUUUGGAAGUCUGGGGACACUUAAUUUUGUGGAAAUUUUGAUGAGAAAAUCGGACGGGAGCAAGACAAACAACCUUGGGCUCCCAUUAAAUUUUCAUUAUUUGAGAGAGAUAGAGAGAGAGAGAGAGAGAGAGUUAUUAUUAUUAUUUUUUCUCUUUGUUAGUUUAAUCCAAUAAAAAAUUUGUUCCCUUACACUACCCCUUAUUAUAUUCAUAUUUUUAUCAACUUGUGAAUGGUUUGUGAGCUUGGAAUAAAAAUAAGAUAAUUUGUCAAUUGUUGUAUUAAAAAUCAUAAAUCCAGUAGAUGGUAAAAAUAUGCUUUUAAAAUUUGUGUGGGUCUUGUAAUUGAAUUUCUUUGGGUCCUAACGCACUUUAAAUUGUUGAAACUUAUCAAGUGAUGUGGUCGUUUCACACAUUAAAGUAGGUUUAAUUUUUCUUGAAAGAGAGAUCAUCAAGUAAAUUUGAGAAAUUUGACUGUCAGCAUAUGUGAAAUUUGUCAAAGUGUAAUAGUUAAUGUUAAAAAAAUGUUUGAAUCGGUAGAUUAUGAGGAUAGCCAAUCUAAUUGGGAAGUCUCGGCUCACUCAUUACUAUCGCUAACAUCCUUACGCAAAAAUAGAACUGUAAAAUUAUAAAGUAAAUAACUUUUUUAUUUUACGAGAAUUAUUAAGAAAAUAAGUUAUUAAUUUUAACAAUAAAUUAGCACAUGUUUAAAAGAAAAACAAAUAUAAGGUUACGGAUUUGAAAAUAUAUUUUUUAAAUUGAAAAUUUAAUCCACAACAAAAUCAUAGAAACACUACGUGUAAAUGAUCAAGAUGUCCAUUAACAUGCUCCUUUUAUGGUGAAUUUCAAUGUGUAUAUUGUGAGUAUGUCUAGACAUAAGAUACCUUAGCUAAAAAGUUGAUAAAAAUUUAAGUUUGAAAAGUCAACAAUUAACUUUAAUCACACAUUUCUUAGGAUCUUCAAUUUUUAUCAACUUUUCUAUCACACAUUUAUCGACUUUAUUAAAAUUUACUAAAAAUAUAAUUUUUAGCUAAAUCAAAUGGGGGCUAAUUCGUAUGUAGUAACAUGCAAUCCAAUGCGAACACUAGAAGUCAAUCUAUGAAUUUUCGAAGCUAUUAUACCUUUGAUUUUACCCCAAUACAAGGAAUCCACAUAAAAUCUUAAACUCAACCAAACAGGAGCUAAUUUGUAUCCAAUAGCAUGCAAUCCAACGCAAACAUUAGAAGUCACUAUAUGAAAUUUAAGAACUAUAUACCUUUAAUUUUACCCAAUACCAGAAGUAAAGCAUUCGUCCACGGCUAGCAACAAUUAAGCCCUUGUUUGAGCCACAUUUUGGGGGGAAAUCUAUUUUGGAAUAGUUUAUUUUUAGAGAAUGUGUGAUUAAAAAAUAAAAAAUAAAAGUUUUCGAUUUACGUGUAAAAUUAUUUUAUUGAAUAAUGUGUGUUUGAAAAUAAAUUUUGAAAAAAAAAUGAGUUUUUGAUAAAAUGGGGCUCAAACAAGGACUAUGUGCUUCACCAUUGCAUUGUGUCUACUUGCUUUUAUAUUGAUCUAUCCAACGAAGUAAGGCAUUAGCUCAAGAAGACUUUUCUUAGCCCCCGUUUGUUUUUCAUUUUUGGAAGAAUGAGAAUGAAAACUAUAGGCGUUAUGGGUUCCACACAAGAGAUAGAAAUUCAAAUUCGAUGGCUUGAUGUGAUGGAUAACGAUCGUAUUUUUCAUUUUAAUGAUGAAAAAAUGGAAACCAAACAGGGGCUUUAGACAGUUUGAAAUCUGAGAUAUAGCUCGCAUAAUAUUAUGCGCCAUUCAGAUAAAAGAGAGAGGGGAGGGGGAUUUUCUAGUCCCAAGAAGCCCACGUCAUAAGAUUUCAAGAACUCUUGACCUCCUUGAGCUAGUAGCUGAGCCAAUAUUAAGCUAAACUACUAAAGUUCAUUUUCAUCCAAAGCUUUAAAAAUGACAUUUGCAUUUGGUGAAGGACUAAUCGAACAAUUCCAGUGUAAUUAGUAUCAAUGAUGACAUCAAGCAAUUCCAGUGUAAUCAGCCUAUUAAAACCUUUGAAGCUUGGUGGAGGACUAAUCAAACAAGAAGAAAGUUUCAAAUGUUUCAAUAGUGAACACAUAAACAGUGAAGAAGGCAAUUUGCACCUUCAUUUUCAAAAUGAAUUCUUUAACACCUUUCUUCCAUAAGAUAUAUAUCAAGUGUUCAAUUUCAGAACCACCUCUGAGUUUUGGAAUGUAGAGAAUGAAGUCAGCAAAACUGAAUUCAAGGCUGAAGAUCAGAACCAAAAUUACAGCAACAGAUUUGGUGAAAUUAUAGCAGCAAAUCAGGAGCCUAAUCACAGCGGCAAAUUUGAUGAAAUACCAGCAGAUCAGGAGCUUAAUCACAGCAGUAGAUUUGAUGCAAUCUCAACAAAUCAGGAACGUAACAGAUGAGGAAGAUUCGAUCCUGCCAUUAUGUUAAAAUUGUAUAACUGUAAAGAUUGGUUGUAAAAUUUCUUUAUAAAUAUACUGCUGUACAUAUACAAUUGAAUUCAAUAAAAACAGAGGAAUUAAUUCCUUUACAUGGUAUCAGUAUAGCCAUCAACAGACCAACGUCUAAAUGUCUUCCUCCAAUUCUUAAACCCAAUCUCCCUCUGUUAUCUCCAUGCCUAAUAUUUCUACUAUCAAACUAACCCAGGAUAAUUACCUUCUUUGGAAGGCCCAGAUGGUAUCAUAUUUCAAAGGUUAGGACCUCUUUGGUUACCUCGACGGAACCACACCAAAACCACCGAACUCAGUUUCUGCAUCCCACCCUGAAACCAAUGUUGUUUCUGAAACACUCAAUCCGGCUUACUCUCAAUGGGUCAAGUAUGACAACCUCAUUCUUAGCACUCUCAUAUCUUCUCUUACCGAAUGAGUGCUUGCUUAGGUUGUUAAUUAUACCUCUUCCCAUGAUGUCUGGUCUGCCUUAAAUGAAACCUUUUCCUCAAAAUCUCGUGCACGCAUUGUUCAAAUUCCCACACAACUGGCCACUGCUACUAAAGGUAGUAAAUCUGCCACUGAAUACUUUCACUUCACCUUGAGGCUGGGGGACGAACUAGCAAUUGCAGGCCAGCUAAUGACACGAGAUGAUAUUAUCGCAUAUAUUCUUGCAGGUCUUGGCCAUGUAUGACAGUUUUGUGGCCUACAUUUUCGCUCGCACUAAUAGUGUGACACUUGAAGAAAUUUAUUUUCUUUUAAUAACCACAAAAGCUCGUCUUUCUCGACACCAACUCACUCCAGCAAUUCAACAAAUUCUGCCAACUUUGCUCAAUGCCAAUCACAACCAUUUGCAAGAAAUGGCCAUGGUGGCCCUCGAGGAAGAGGACGAAUCCAUCGUGGUGGCUUUAACUCUUUCAAUCGAAACAAUGAUCAUUCAUCUAUUAUCUGUCAGCUCUGUGGUAAGUCUGGACACUCAGCUCGUAAAUGUUAUCAUAAAUUUGACCUUUUUUAUCAGGAUGCUCCAAAAGACACACCCAAGCAAGCUAUGGUUGCCGUGAAUAAUGGCAAUCCUAAAAAUUGGGAGACUGAGUGGCAUGUGGAUACGGUGCAACCCAUCACCUUACAAAUGAUGCUUCCAAUCUAGACCAAUAGAACAAUGCAUAUAAUGGUUUAAAUACCGUUCAAGUGGGAAAUGGUAAAGGUUUGCACAUCUCUAAAACUGGCUCUUCUAAAUUCAAAACCCCCUCAUCCACCUUUGUUCUUAACCAAGUCCUUUUAGUUCUUGAGAUUCAAAAGAAUUUGAUAUAUGUUCAGCAAUUUUGUAAUGACAAUAACGUUUAUUUUGAAUUUCAUGCUCACUUCUUUCUUGUGAAGUAUUACUUGGGGAAGGUCCUUCACCAAGGAUAUCUCAAUGAUGGCCUCUACAGUUUCACAAACAAAACAAGUCUACCUCAAGCACACUCCAGUAUUCGAGUUUCAUUUCAUAAUUGGCAUCGUAGGCUUGGUCAUGCUCUAAUCCCAUAGUCCACAAAGUUCUCUCCACUUUCAACGUUCCAGUAGAGAAAAAUAAAUUGCACAUUGUGUGCCCUGAUUGUCAAAUGGCUAAAAGCCAUAAUUUGCCCUUUAAAUUAUCUAUGUUUGUUUCUUCAAAACCCUUGGAUUUAAUUUUUACUAAUGUAUGGGGACCUGCUUCUAUUGCUUCCACUAUUGGUGCAAAAUAUUAUGUGAGUUUUCUGGAUGAUUAUUCCAAAUUUAUUUGGUUAUUUUCUCUUAAACUCAAAUUUGAUGUGGAACAAGUUUUUCUUAAUUUCCAACAAUAUGUGGAGAAACAUUUUGAAAGAAAAUAAAAGCCAUCCAAUCCGAUUGGGGUGACGAAUAUAGGCGGUUAAACACAUAUUUUAAAAACACAGGCAUCAACCAUCAUCUAGCUUGUCCACAUACACAUCAACAAAACGGGUCUAUUGAAAGAAAACAUCGACACAUUGUCGAAGUUGGUUUGAGCAUGUUGGCACAUUCAAAUCUCCCAAUGAUCUAUUUCGAAGAUGCCUUUCAAACUGCAACUUAUGUGAUUAACAGACUUCCAACGAAUGUUUUAGACCAAAAAUCACCAUUUGAGAUGAUAUACAACCGUGUUCCUGAUUACAAAUUUAUGCGUGUGUUCGGGUGUGCAUGUUGGCCUAACUUGAGGCCUUACAAUCAACAUAAACUCAAUUUUCAUUCAAAAACAUGCAUUUUCAUUGGCUAUAGUCUUUGCCAUCAAGUGUACAAGUGUCUUGAUCUCUCUACUGGUAAGAUCUAUGUCUCAAGAUAUGUCAUUUUCGAUGAAAACCUUUUCCCCUACACUUUCAAAAAUAAACUUCAAAAUCCCAGUCAUCAUGUUUCGAACACUAUCCUUCUUCCCUUGCAAAUUAAUUCUUCCCCAUCCAUAAGUUUCAGAGAUUUGCCUCCCAAUCCGAUUCCCACAAGAAUUGAAUCUGCCCCAUUAUAUUCUACUUCUGCAGGAAUAGAUUUUGGAACCUCUUCGCACCCAGCAACCAAUGCACUUUGACUUUUCUGAUGCAUUACAAGAAGAUGAACAGCCGCUCCUACAAAUACUCAUCCCAUGCUCACCAGAUCAAAGAAUAAUAUCCAUAAGCCUCAGCAACUAAUUGAUGGCUGCACUCGGUAUCCUUUAUCGAGAGCUUUGAUAGCAGAAACAAUAACUCUGGCAAAGGAGCCAACUUCAUAUACUGAGGCCUCCAAAUCAUCUCAUUGGCGAGAUGCUAUGAAUAAAGAAUUUACUGCAUUGCUACAAAAUGGCACUUGGUCUUUGGCAUCACCUUCAACUAACACCAAUGUUGUGGGCUGUCGUUGGGUGUUUAAAAUUAAAAAGAAGGCAGAUGGAACCAUUGAACGUUAUAAAGCACGACUAGUCACUAAAGGAUUUCACCAACAAGAAGGUGUCGAUUUUUAUGAAACUUUCAGUCCAGUCAUCAAACACACAACUCUUCGGCUAGUGCUUUCUCUUUCCAUUUCUUAUAACUGGCCUAUAAAGCAAUUGGAUGUACAAAAUGCAUUUUUGCAUGGUGAGUUACAGGAGAACGUGUUCAUGUCACAACCCCAAGGCUAUAUUCAUCCACAAUAACCAAAUCAUGUGUGUAAAUCACACAAGUCGCUCUAUGGAUUGCGGCAAGCCCCAAGAGCAUGGUUCUCAAAGCUCUCUGACAAACUCAAAUCUUUGGGCUUUCAAGAAAGUAAAGCUGAUACUUCUCUUUUUAUUUUUCGAAAAUUAGCUAUUAUUACUUACAUACUCGUAUAUGUGGAUGAUAUUUUGAUAACGGGGUCAAAUUUAGAUGCAAUCACUUACGUGAUUAAAUGCUUGAAAAAUACUUUUGCUGUCAAAGACUUGGAUGCACUAAAUUUCUUUCUUGGUGUCGAGGCACUUCGGUGUUCAGAUGGAAUUUACCUCACUCAACGCAAGUAUAUUGUUGAUUUACUCAAAAGGAGCAACAUGGACAAAGCAAAACCUUGCACGAGUCCAAUGGCCCCUAAUUGUCAUCUGACUUCCACCGAUAGACAUCCUUUUGAAGAUAUAAGUCUCUACCGAAGCAUCGUAGGAAGCAUACAAUAUCUAUCAUUCACAAGGCCUGACUUAGCCUUCACAGUACAUAAAGUCAACAAAUUUAUGCAUCGACCUCUUAAUACACAUUGGAUGGCAGUCAAGCGCACAUUGUGCUAUCUUAAACACUCGGUAUCCACUGGUCUCUACAUCACCAAAGCUCCUGAUAUGAGGUUGCAAGCUUACUUAAAUUCUGAUUGGGCUGCUGAUAGAGAUGAUCGACGCUCGGUUGGUGCUUUCUGUGUCUAUAUUGGCCCCAAUUUAAUAUCUUGGAGCUGUAAGCAGCAGCCCACAGUUGCAAGAAGCAGUAUCGAGGCUGAAUACAAGACACUAGCAAACACAGCAUUCGAGCUCACUUGGAUAAAAUCUCUUCUCUUUGAACUUGGUCUUUCUCAAACACAGCCACCAGUUCUUUGGUGUGAUAAUAUUGGAGCCACUUACCUCACCUCAAAUUCGGACUUUCAUGCAAGAACGAAGCACAUAGAAAUUUAUUUUCACUUCGUACGAGAUCAAGUUUUCAAUAACCAAUUGACGGUUCAAUUUAUUUCAAGCCGAGAUCAGUUGGCAGAUGUGCUUACAAAGUCGUUACCUCCAUUAAAGUUCAAGUAUGUACUAGACAAUCUCCAUGUCCGUGAACUACCCUCCAGAUUGAGGGGGCAUGUAGAGAAUGAAGUCAGCAAAACUGAAUUCAAGGCUGAAGAUCAGAACUGAAAUUACAGCAACAUAUUUGGUGAAAUUAUAGUAGCAAAUCAGGAGCCUAAUCACGGCAGCAAAUUUGAUGAAACACCAGCAGAUCAGGAGCUUAAUCACAGCAGUAGAUUUGAUGCAAUCUCAACAAAUCAGGAACGUAACAAAUGAGGAAGAUUCGAUCCUGCCAUUAUGUUAAAAUUGUAUAGCUGCAAAGAUUGAUUUUAAAAUUUCUUUAUAUAUAUACUGCUAAACAUAUACAAUUGAAUUCAAUAAAAAUGGAGGAAUUAAUUCCUUUACAUGGAAUAAUGAGGCUCGACUUUCAUAAGAUACUGAGAUGACCUUUCAGCAUUUAAUAUCUUGUAACUAAAAGUUUUAUUGUCUGUCAAAGAAUAACAGUGAUGUUUAUCAUCACUUGGUUUUUUGCAAAGUGGCACUAUUAUAUUAUUUGUUGCAGUAAUGGCUGUAGAUUUGUUAGGGUGAGAAGGGAGGAAAAUCAUGAAUUGAAGGCAAAAUUAAUUUUUUCCCCUACUGUUUUCUCUUUCUUUGUAAUACUAUAACGCAAGGAGUGACAUUGCAGAUAGAUAUCUACAAAAGAUGGCUGCACAAGAAGGCUCGCCUAUUAAUUUUUCUAUGAGCUCGUACGCAUUAAGAUGCCGAUACCUGCUAUUUUCAUCAAUUUCCUACAAAGAUUACGGAAGCUCCUUUGAAUUUUCUGUGUUAGAAUCUAUGUGUUGGUAAUAAUUCAUUUGUUUUCUUUUAUUCCAAUUUGAAGGCGUGAUUAUCUGAAUAGAUUGUGUCCGGGCAACUCUAAUGAGAACUUCAGAUCUAAAGUUCCUACAAGAAUGUAUCUCGCUACUGGUGAUGAAUACUGUUUGUACACUAAUGAGGCACAUUUUCAAUCAAAAGAUGUCUUUUGAAUUGUUUCAGAUGCACUAGAAAAUUCGAUUUGUUGUUCUUCAUCUUGUUUCUAGAAAUUUCCGUGCUACAUUUUUGAAUGUUUCGUUGAUUGGUAUAUUUACAAGCAUUCCAAAGUAAACCUGUUUGUGAAUGUAUGGAUGAGAAGACAGUUGGAAAGUUCUCUGGGUACUUGAGUUGACUUUAUAUUCAGUUUCUCAUGAAUAGUGUUUUCACAUGUCUAUCUUUUGCUCUCAACAGAUUAUUGACAUUUAGAUUCAUAAUUUGGCACUGAUAAUAUCACUAGAUGGUAGUUUUGUAGCUUGUAUGGUAGUAUUUCUCAUCGUUCAUGGACAUUUUCAUUUAAUUGCUUCACAUCAUUUCUUGAGAACCGAAUAGGUUAGAUGAGUCAUGGUGUUGGUACAGUUGUUUGGUUUUACACGAACGGCUGGAUGGUUCAAGACAUCGUGUUCACCAACUAGCCUAGUAAAUCCGAUUGUAUUCAACUAAAGAAGGUUCAAGGCCACAAGCUACCUAUCUUGAUGCUACGACUUGUCGUGUGUACUCCGUUUGUUAGAGUCUGCAUUUCAUUUUCAUUGCAUUCGCUUUGUGUUGCGCAUAUCGAGGAAUUUCCAUUCAUGUGGGGGAUUGUUGGAUAUUGGUUAAAUAAAUUGAGAAUUGAAAAUCGAUUAAAGUUCGUAUCGAAUUCGGCCAAAUACUCAAAAGCUCGACUCAAUCCGUUUAGGCAAAAUUGUUUGCCACUUCGCCGCUUCGGGGCGCACAAACGGGGAUCGACCUGCCCGGUCAGGUCGCGAGGGUCGAGGGGGCAGCGCCCCUCGUGGGGGGUCGGGGGCAACGCCCCCGAAAGAGAAUUUUGAUUUCUCUGCAUGUAUUGAAGGGUAUAUUUGGCAUUUCGAAAACCAAUAUCGGAUGAAUGAGAAAUUACGAAAAAGACCUCAACCAUUAGUGAAUAGACACCUUUUCAUAAAGGUGCAUUGUUUGGAAAUGGUGCAUGGUUUGGUCUCAACCAUUUCGUCCACACCCCUUCAUGGUCUAUAAAUAGGACCCUUUGGGUGUCCUAUUCCUCACAGUUUGAUAUGCAAAAACGUCUCUCAUCCUUUCUUCUAUCCAAAAUCAAAAUCAUUUCAUUUAUUUUGAUUUUCUUUCAUUUCAUCUGUGGAGUACAUAAGCCUACAUUGGGUUCGUUGUACUUGUGUUUUGGAGUGCUACAAACACAAGUGUAGCCGUUGUAUCUUGGGAGUCGAUUGGCGAAAUCCGUAGGCACCGUUGCGGGGCAAAUUCGACUUAAGGACAAAGAGUCCAACUCUUGCCUCGGCUUUGUCACCAUCAUUAUACUUAUUUCGGCGUCACUUUUCACAAAAUUCUUCCAACAGAACUUGUAUCCUCGUGAAUUCAAUUUUUCUUUUCAUCAUUUGCUACUGCCAUAACAGUGACUAAUAUGGAUAAUUGUUAACGUGCCUUUGCUUUUCCUUAGGAAAACAUUGCAUGAUACUUGCAAUUGUCUUUACACCUGUAUAUGACUUAAAAAAUCUUCAUUUUGUAUGUGAUGUCUCAGGUUUUUGGAGACUUUGCCAUUGAAAAACGGUGCAAAACUUGGCGUCUUGAGGUCUGUUCCUACUCACUUUGAUCUCAAAGCUGUAUUCUAUCCUUCUGGUCUACAUGUAUAACAUGGAUUAAACAGCAAUUUCAGAUUGCGCGAUUGAUGUAUGAAGUUGAUGGAACAGGGUUCUCCAAAUCAUGGAUUUGACGCUCUAAAAGCACCUAGCUCUAGAUGAGUCUGUUGAAGAAGUUUUGGAAGUCCUGCAGGAAUAUGCUCGAUUAGUCCAAGGACUGUGGGUUCCAAAGAGUUCGCUGGGACAUGGAACAGAUUCAGGAAUUGAAGUUUUAGCCAGGGACUAUGUUCUUCUAUUGUUUAGAAAGAAUCCACUAGGUUAACGACUGACAAAGACCUCAACGUCCUCAACUUCCUAAAGCAAUGAAAGAUGUCCUAAAUGUAUUGGCGUUGAGAGACCCACCCUCCUUCAGUGAUUGGCAACUCAGAGAUCUUCUUGAUCGAAGAUUCAUAAAACUCGAUCCUAUUGUUGCAAAGAAAUAAGAAGAAGAAUGGGAAUCCUUGGAAAAGAAGAUAAAUGAUCUUCUGUUUGGAGGAAGAAACGGACCUGGUACAAAGACUUCUUCAAAGUCUAAUGUCAUGAACAAUCCGGUCACGUCAAUGAGUUCCAGUAAAUUAGCUCUCAAAACUCCAAAUGAGGCAUCCUUGAGGACGCCAAUGCCAAAAGAGACUCGAGAAGCUUUAAUGAAGGCCCUUCAGAAACUUUUAAAAGGCAUCAAGGUUUGCAGGUGAGAUCACUUUAUUACAUCAAGCCUUUAGUUUCAAAUAGUAGUUAUAUGUGGUCAUAUUUUUUAUUGAAGAUAGUUAUCGUCACUGCAUUAAAAGUAUUCUAAAUCACUAGGUCACAGUUAUAUUGCAUUUUAUUUGAUUAGUAUUUGACAAUUUUCUUUGCAUGCAAUAAGUGUUGCUGUGACCUUGACAUUCAUGGCCUGGCUCAUUAAAAAAAUUGAGACACAGUAUAGUAAGUAGAAGAGAUGAGGAAGACGAGUGGUCUUGUGAAUUAGUUCUCUGCUUGCACUUAGGACACUAGUAUGAUUACAUUUUUGCAUUAACUGGGCUGGAGCAAUUGACACUGUUUAACAAAAUGCCAAUGGACCAUAUUUAAACAUUUUUUGCUAUUAUUACUUUUGUAUUACUUAUAUUCUCAAUGCAAACGCAAAGAAACUAGUUUGAAUUUUCUUAUUUAAUCAAAAUUUAAUUAAGCUAAUGUGCCCUUUAAUCUAGGAAACAUAACUUCACGCUUAGAGUGUUAUGGUUAUCCCGUGGCAGUUUAGUUUGAUUGUCAAUAGAUAAAAUUUUACUUGGCGCUGUGUAUGCCAGUUUUCAACAAAUUUGCCAGCGUUUGAGGGACUUGGCAGAUUCUGAGUCCGCCCGUUCGAGGGGAUUUGCCAAAGAGACAGUUGCUGCAGCAAACAGCAUUUGUGCUUUUGCUGAUGAGCUUCAGGCAAUCAUUAGUCGAUUUGCAUUUAAUAUUCAUGGUGUCUAUGUUCCAAAAUUACUCCAGAUCAUCCACAAUAUGAUCCAUUCAGGUUACACCUGCCUUCAUUUAUUUUGGUUCUAGAACAUUGAUAUUUUUCUUUUAUUAAGUUCUCUUUAUAAGAAAGGAUCACCAUUUUAUAUUGUUCAUUAUUGAUUUGUGGUUCUUUCUCUUCCAGGAAGGUUGUCAUUGAUCUUCUUAUUGCUGAAGGACCAAAAGCAAAACUCAAAGAGGUUCCCAUAGUCGAGGCUGCUAAGAUGGAACUUAAAAGGGAUAUACCUCAGAUUGGAUAUCAGAAGGUCAGAGUCAAGCUUACAGAUUAAUUAUGACGAAAUUGUAAUUAGGUGUUGAGAUCAAACACGCUCUCUCCUUGACACCAUUCAGGCGAACUUACUAAUUCCUGAAAUUUUUUUAAUUAGGUUUUGAUUAAUUUUUGAGGCCUUACGAAAGCACAAACAAGAUUGAGAAACUGAGGAGAUUGUCACAGGAGAUAUAGGAGAUUUCCACUCUCAUUGUGUGGGGGUGUGUGGUUGAGAGGGAGGUAGCCCUAUUUGCCUUGCCCUUAAUCUGGCAUCUAUCUUACCUGCCUAUCAUGACAGCUUCCAAUGUUUUUCCUUCCUAUGAAAGAUUCUUAAGCGUUUCACAACCUUUGUCACUCACUUCUUUUAAAUGAGCAGUAAGGACUUAAUCUAGCAUUAUUCUCAUGAGAGGAAGCUAAGCAAUGGAAUUAUAAAGCAGAGAAAUGUGUAGUGAAUAUACUUUUGAGAGCUGGUGAUAUGUGAUGUGAGGAAAGAUAUAUUAUGCUUGCUCCUAGAAGUUUCCCCAUGCAUAUGCUCUUAAAAUUCCCUCAAUAAUUUAGAAUACUCUUAGUGACCACCGAGCUAAUUUUCUGAUUCUCGUGUGAAUGUCUCAAGUCAGACCUCCUUGUGGGAAAAAUAUAUAUACACAUGGUUUCCUGAGCACACAGUCUUAUAGUUUCUUAUAAGCUUCCUAUGCCGAACCUUAGUUACUGGGAAAAGAACGGGGAUAUAUUUUUCUGGUCAUGUCCUCUUCACUGUCACUCUUGGUAUGUUCCAGCACUUCAAGAUAAAUAUUAAUUGACCUUUUGAGCCUCUUGUCCUCUUCCCUAUUAUCGUCGAUGGAAGCCUCAAUGACUUAUUUGUGAUAAAUUGCUUGCUAAUUUAGGUUAUGUAUUCCCUUAUGUGCUGCAGGUUUUACAGGAACUAUGUCUAUCACAAGGUUUUGAAUGGGUCCUUAAAAGUGGCGAUGGAAAUCCACAAAAGUAAAGUUCAUGCAACCAAAUUCUACGUUAGUCUACGAGGUAAGAAUUAGCAUAUUUACUAUGUAUUACGAUAAGUAAUAAAGUAGACACAUCUCACCACAAGACUUAAUGGAAAAUUUCUAAAUUGCAUGAAAUUCUUGAGCUUUGUGUUCAAGAAAGAAAAUCUCUGCUUAUUCUGUUUACAUGGAUCAUUGUGAUCUGUUGUUGUUUGUCUGAAUUUACCCUUAAGUGCCUUGGUAAUCGAGUUGAUGUGAUGUCUGAGUUUUGCAGUUUGAAAAGAGGAUUUACAUCGUUCCUUGAAGUUAUAUCAGUGCAUAGCAUCAGUUUAAAUCAUCCUUGAAUAUUGCCUAAUUGAUUCUCAUCACAUAUUGGAAUUUGAAAAGUUAAUAGGUCUGUUUAAUGUAAAUGCAGAAGUACAUAUACACAGAACAAGGAAUGUGUGUUUAUAUAUACGUAUUUGUGUUUAAACUACUAUUAAGAUGGCUGAGGUACAAAAGUCAUUUGUUGAAAAUGGUAAGGAACCUGUUUCUUUGGAAGCAGCAAGGGAUGUAUUCUUGAUAUCUCGAGUGGCUCUUUGAACAUUCAACCUUCAGUGCAGCUAUGAUGAUUUAAAAUAUACAAAGGAUACCAAAUACACUGGGGAUGAGUGUUCCAUGUAAUUAAACACAUUAAUAUAUACCAUCAGAAAUAAUAUUUUGUUAAAUAUAUAUGAUUUCAUGCUGCUACAAUAUUGUAUCCAUCUGUUAUCAUUAAUUCUUUUUCCCUUUAAAAUGUUCGGCCUUAUUGUCACUUGUCAAUACCGUGGUUCAUCCAAACAAUUCAUAUUUGAUAUUGACGAAAAUGAAAAAUUAUAAUGACUUGCAAAUGUAUUAAUUCUCUUAAAUGAAUUAAAGAACCUUAGUGCUACAACCUUACUCGUGGUCGUGGUUGUCGUAUUCAAUUUAAUUUUGUGCACCCAACCCUUGUACCUAAGUCGAAGUGAUGCAGUAGACACCUCGUGCUAUCAGAAUUUUCUUACGAGUGCCUUUGGAAAUUAAACCUUAUAUGUGGUAUCGUGUUUGCAGGUGCUACACCAUUAUUAUACUUCUCUGCCAACUUUAUUUAUUCACUAUCUGGAAUUCUAUUUGGCCGGAUUAGGUCACCAGAGUAUGAUUUGCUAUCUAGCAUGAUCUUGUAUGGAGUGAUGAUCUCAGACCAUAGGAAGGCAGGCAAGAUAAAGAAAAAGACAAUAGAUCUCGAAAUUUAACUUCCUUUACAUAUAUGGUUAUUCAUUGUACAGCUAAAUUAGUCUCUAAGCCAAGGAUCGAUGAGUCUUUUCCUUGUGUUGGCUAUUGGUUGACUGGGCAUUGUAAGAAUCUUUUUAGAGGGUAAUUUUUCAUGUCCAUUGCUUCUAACGGCUCUUCUCUCAACAUUGAUAUAGGGUAUAAUAUUGAAAUGUUGUGAACUCUUUAAGUCCCUCAAAGAAACCCAAAUGUCGAGUUGUUUAAUGGCUUGUUUGGUUGGACUUUGAAAAAGUCAAAGCUGUUUAUAAGAUUAUCGAUGUUUUUGGAUAAUUUUUAGAAAAUGAUUUGACUGGUUUGAUGAGCCUUUUAAAAUUGAUAACUUUUUACAAGUAAAAGUCUUGUCAAACAGGUGUUAAAGUAUAAGUCCUGUUAAUUGAGUUGAGUGAGGAUUAGUUUGUUAUACUAAAAUGUGCUUUUUAUAAUAAAAAGUGGACUAAAGUAGAUCAUGAUAAAUUGAUCUAUAAACAGCCCAUCUAACUUUAAAAAAAUCGAGUCAUUUUUACAUUGACAUUCAGUGCAUGUUUGGGAAAGUUAAACGGUUGAUUUUGUUAAAAGAAGUGGAAGGUCUUUUGAAAUGAGUGGUGGAAAAGAGAGUAAUACUGGUGAAUUUUGUGUAAUGUAAGAUUACUAUUAAGGGUGGUUAUAUUAUCAUCACAAUAAAUGUUUGGUACCCUAUAAUUUUCUUAUUUAUUUUAAAAAAUCACUAGUAAAAUGACAUAAGUACCCUAUCUUUUAUUCACUAAUAUAUUUAUUCAUACAAUCACUAUCAUCCGCACACAAAAAAAUACCUAAAGUCCUAUUUAAAGAUACAAAUGCCAAGAUCAAAAGAUCCAAGAUUGAAGAAAAGAGCAAGAAAUUUUAGGAUAUGGUAUAGGCAUUUUAGAAUAUUUAAUCUAUUAUUUUAAAAGUUCGCUAUAUUUUUCUGAAGAAACUCGUCAUUAUUGUGGAACAUGCCAUUAUACAACCUGCAAGAGGCAUUGGAUUUGGAGGCUAAAUGUUAUAACCCAUUCACUUAUAGUCAAAGUCAGGAAAAUUAUUUAGUCAAAGUCCAAAAUUCAAUUGGUUAAAGUCAAUUUCAAAUAGGGAUUUAAAUGAAAUAAAUUAUUUUAUUAGGGUUUAAUUUAUUAUGAAAAAUAGUUAAAGGUUUAAAAUGGAUAAAACUUAAUUUUAGGGAUCUACUUAUAUAUUAUUGGAAGUAAAGGACUAGAUGUUAUAUUAAAUUGAAGAAUAAGGACUUCCUAUGCAAAAAUGGGUUGUGGAGUGCAUGUGGCAAGUAAUUAACCCAUUACCAUUUUCAUAUGAUAUAUACAUACGGAGAGAUGAGGCUGGAGAUGGGCAGAAGCAAGAAAAACCAAGAAAGAGAAGGAAAAGGAGAAAAAGAAAGGGAGAGAGAGAGAGAGAGAGAAAAGGAGAAGAAAAGGAAGUGGGUCUUCAAGCUUGGAUUCUCCAUUUCUUCAUUGAUUUAGAGAGGUGGGUGUAAGUAGGAUGAGUUAUCUUUUUGAGUUUAUGGAAAUUUUCUAAAAUUUAAGGUUUAGCAAAAUUAAUGAUUGUUGAUAUAUGUUUGAGGCAUUAAAAACAACAAUAAUAUUAGUGUUGAAAGGAAGGAAAUGUGAAAUGGGUUUGUAAAUUAGAGUUCCAAUCUUUGAAUUAUUGUGUUUACACUUGAUUUAUGAUGAAUUAGAGUGGUGAAAAAAUAUUUAGGUUAGAUUUUGGUAUUUAUAAUAAAUUUUCGAGCAAAAUUCAUGUGCAGUUGCUAUUCAUGAAAUUCUGCCCAGAAAAGUGCCAUUUCUGUCAAUGGUUUUGAUGCCAGAUUUUAAUAUGCAGAAAUUGGUGCCAGGUUUCAAUUUUUUGGGAUUUUAGUGCUGUUUUUGACAAAACUCUUUUUUUUUUUCAGAUUUUUAAAGGCUUCAAUGAAGUUAUAUGAUAAGUAUUGAGGUUUAUGUAUUGGAAUAAAUUAUGUAUAGGGCUUGUAAAUGUAUAAGUUAAUGAUUUUAAGGAAGUGUGGUAAUUUAAUAGAUUUGAUAAUGCAUGGUGUUUAGUCGAUGAAUUAAUAAAGAGAAUAAAAGUUGGGGAUUAGAGAUGUAAGAGUAAAUAUAGAAGUUGAGGAGUUAAGUGGUGGAAUUGUAUUGAUUUAAUUGUCAAGUUUCAAUUUGAGUAAUUAUUAUACCGUUAUUUCAGGUAGUGACGUGAAAACUUGAAAAGACUUGUCAAUUUAGCUAGAUUUCUAUCCAUAAAUCUGUGAAUGGAAAAAAGAUAAAUAUUUUUAAAGUAUUUAUAAAUUAAGUAUAUUGUUAAAGUAUGUGCAAUUAUGUUCUCGAAGUAUAUGGUUAUUAUGAAAAUAUCUUUUAUUACGAUACAUGUGAUAUUUUAAAGAUUGUAUAUGGUACAUUGUGAAUUGGAAUAUCAGAUAUGAUUUUGAAAUCGACCAAAAAAGUACCCGUGAUUAUAUAUUUCUUCUAGUUCACUGAGGAGCCUUGGCCAUGUUCUAUACUACACUGAAGGGUUUUGGACCGGGGAUGAAAGAGUCUCGACCGUAUACAUAGGGUUGCACAAAAAAAAUAUGAAACCGCAAAUCGAACCGAAACCGUUGAGUUGAAACCAUUGGUUCGGGUCCACAUGGACCCAUGGUUUCUUUUUCGUCAAACCGAACCAAACCGUUUCAAAAUAGUUUGAUUUAGGUUUUGAUUUUCAAAAAUCGCACAAACUGAACGGAACCGUUUUUAAAUUUUUUAAUUAAAACAUUAAUUUUAUUAACUUAAAAAUUUUACAGUUUUUUCUAUUUCUUUUUAAAUAUCAAUUUAGUAAUACAAAUUAUAACCAACUUAUUGAAAUAAUCAUAAAAAGUAAAUUAUGUUCAUUAUUAUUGACCUAUGAUUUAACAGGUUCACAACAAAUGUCUUACCCGAUAUCUAAACUAAACUAAAAUUAUUUCAAAAUCAUAUGAAAUGAAGAAAAAACACAUAUUUUCACAAUCCAAAUCAUGAUUCAACAAAAUUACGUAAGUAAAUCACGCCCAAAACUUUAGAAGCCCUAACAUAAACUCUCAUUUUUCUAACAUUUGAUGCUUUUCUGCCACUGUUGAACGAUUACUAAUUGCAUUUGUCUGUUUCUGUUAGUCUACUAAUCUCUUCCUGAGUCGUCUCUUUCUCUCUUCUCGUCUUAGAUUCUUAUUCAAUCCAUUUUUCCAUUGUUCUUUCUUUUAUUUUAUUUUUUUGAACUUAUUAUAUAUUUAUGAGUUCUGGUUUGGAUAGAAAAAUGAUUAUUCGUGUGCCUAGUUGAUUAAUGAACUUGUUUGUGAUUUGGAAAAAACAAAAGACGGAAUGUAUUGAUUAUAUGAAAAUGUUAAAGAUCCCUAACUAGUGUUACUACCUUCUACUUUCAUAAAAUAGUUAGAGGAUAAAAUUCCUCAAUUUUCAAUAAGUCAAAAAUCAAUCAAUCCUUGUACAUCUAAAGAUAUCACGUUCAAUUCUUAUUUUACAUCUCACUAGCAGGACGAAAGGAAUUUUAACCAAACUAUAAUAACAAAAUGUAACUCUACCUUUACCAAUAGUUAUAUGACAAUGCGAAUGUCAAAUAAGAAAAGAUAAAUAAAAAUGAAGAAAGAUGUAUUUGUUCUAUUAACAUCUUUUAGAAAACAACUUUGAAAAUAAUUUAUUCAUGGGUUUCAUAGUAAUUAUAAAUGUAAUUUAGCAUUUAACAUAAUUAGUUAUUGUUUAAACUUAUAUUUAACUUACGUUAAAUACAUUACUAUAAUGUCGAAAAGUAAACCGCAGAUUAAAACCGAACCAAACCGCAAAUUAUGGUUUGGUUUGGUUUGGUUUGAUUUGAAAAAAUUUCAAACUGCAUAAAAUGGUUUGAGUUGAAAAUAUAGCACAAACCACUCAAAUCGAACCGCGAUCACCCCUACAUGUACAUAUAGUUCACUGACGGGCCUUGACCGUGCUCUAGAAUUGAUUAUGAGAGGUCUUUGAGAUCAUCUUUCGUUCAUGGAGGGAGUCAAACGCUCGUGGUAAAAGUUCUUAGACCGAGGGGCGGAUUACAUAUUUCAGCCAGAGGGUACAUUUUUAGUGAAUUUUUCAGUAUGCUUGAUGUGCUGAGAUUAUAGCGUGGUUAUCAGCUGAUAUUUAUAUCAUGAUUUUGAGAUGAUAUUUUACAAUGUUAUGUGAAUGUUUCACUUUUAGUUAUAAUUACAUAAUGUUAUCUUGUGAAUUAUUAAAUGAUAUGAACUCGAUUUUUGAUAGAAAUGUAAAAUUGAAUAAGUAUAAUUAUUUUUGAACUUCUUCAUUCACUGAACUAUCAACUCAUAUAUUUUCCCACAAUUUUUCCUAUAUGUAGCAAUUGAUUCUUUUUAACUGAAGAGCCUAAUGAUUUUGGAAUGAGAGCCACACAGUAUGUUGAAUAUUAUAACUCAUAUUGAUGAAACAUGAAGUAAAUAUUUUGGGCCCAUCGCAUUAUGUUUUACAUAAGUAUUUGAUUUUGUUGCAUUUUUUUUGAAAUAACUCAUAGUCAGCCUUGGUGAUAGAUUUGACAUCUAGUCAACAUUUAUCUUCGGUGCACGUCUCGUCUCGUCUCGGGUUCACUAAGGUGAUUCGGGACGUGUCGUGUCAGAGUGGUAUCUAAGCAUGGUUUUGAAAAUUUUUAUGAUUUAUGCAUGCUCAGUGGGUAUGAUCACAUGUCGUGGUGACAGAAAUCAUAAGCUCUCUAACUCAAAUGUAUGAAACCAAAAAUAAUAGAAAAAUAUUUUUUUAACUGAUUUAGAAACGACUCGUAUGUAAGUAUGGUAGUUGUAAUGAUCUAAUGGUUGGAAAUGAUAUUAGCUAUUGGGUUGAAACUAUGUGUGUAUGUAACCUAUUAAGAUUUGAACAUAUUGUGAUGAUUUUGUAGGGCAUUUGAAGUUACAGAUAUUACAACCACUUAAUUAUCAAUUUAUUUGUAGAGCUACAUGAUUAUUUUUAUGAGUACAUAGGAAAUUUUUUAGCUAUAGCUUGCACGAUAAAUACAAGGAAAUGAUAUGAUGUGUAAUCAGUGACAAUCAGUGGGGAAUUUUAAUUAUUCUUGAAGCCAAAUGGUUAUUAGUGUUAUCAAAUUUUGUGGUGAUUUAAGGCCACUUUAAUGGGAUGAUAAUAGAAAUCAUGAUGAUGUAUAUUUAUGCUAUAUGAUAAGGAAUUGUGGAAGACAAAAUGAUAAUUUGUUGAUUGAUAGAUAACAAUGUGUUAUUGUAUACUUUAAGCAUCAAGGAAAUUAACGGUAAUUUCAAUUAUUUAUGAGUAGUUUGAUUACAAGGAAUGUGAGAAUAAUAGAGAUGAACUUCACAAUGUUUACCUAUUAGGGGGUGAUUUGUUUAUUUAAAAAUAGAAUUAAUUGGAUAUGUGCAUUUAGGUAUGUUUAUGUGAAAAAAAAAUUGAAAUUGAGAAUGGUAGAAUUGAAGUUUGUUGAGAUUGGGAAAUUAACAUGCGAUAUAUUGAUAUGUGAAAUGUUCAAGUGAUAAAUAUGAAGGUUAUCAUCUUGUGAUAUUAAGGGAAAUUUAUAUAAUUAAAUGUUUUAGGUCAUACAAUAUGACGAUAAAUGCUAAGGUUACAAGAUCAUAACAUGAUAUGGUGAAUAGCAUGAAAAUGAAUGUAAUGGUUGUCCUAUAGCAAAGUAAUGUGAUGAUUUAUUUGGGUUAUUUAAGUUAACAAAUUUUGUUAAGGCCAUUUGUUGAUUAUUGUGUUACAUUUCAUACAAUUUGGAAGCGUUGAGUUAAAUUUUGAAGUUAAGAUGAAUUUAUUGAAAUGUUAGUAUGUAAAUUUUGGGCUAUUUUUAAUUGUAUUUUGGAUCAUGAACAAAGUAUUCAAUUUUUGUCAAAAUAAAUUUGUUAAGGAAUAUAAGUAGGACAUGUUAGCUAUGUCUAAAGUUUAAGAUGAUCAUCAAAUAUAGAUUUUACUCAUUGUGAACUAGUAUCUUUUGGUUACAUUAUCUUAAUUAAAGGUCUUUAUGUGAUAUACAAAAAAGAUUAUGCAUUGACGAUAGAUCAACGAUCUAUUUAUGAAAUAAGAGUAUAGAUUUUUAUGGAUCAAAUGUUAUUAUUGUCUCUUUAUAAAAAGAAAGAACAAAAUUUGUAUGUGUAUAGAAAUGUCAAAAGUUUUGCUAUCAGGAAAUAUUGAAAAAAUAUUUGCUCUUAUAUCUAAAGAUGAUAAGCGAUUGAUUCACGAUAAUGAUUUAUGUUAUGGUUUAGAAAUUGUUUUCUAAGUGGAAUGAUAAAAUAUGGAUUAUGUUGUAGAUUGAUAAAGAGAUAUGAUUAAAUCAUGAUAUAUGGUUGAUUAUAUUGGGAUUGACAUUUAGGAAUUGUGGCGUUAUCACAUGGUGGGAAGAUCAAUACUUACGGACCACAUGAGUUUAAGGAAUAUUUAUAUUUAAAAAGGAGCCGAACUUAAAGCUAUGUAUUUAUUAUCGUUAGGUGAUAAAAUGAAAAGUUAAAAAUAUCACAUAUUUAUAUUAGGAUGAUAUUUAAGGUAUCGGUUCAACAUGUAUUUCAUAUGUUCGGUGGUUAGUAAAUGGACGUCAGAUUUAACUAAUGCUAUAAGAUCAUCAGUGGAGUUGGUUGAAAAUCUUACAUAUGAAGAAAAAUCAAUUCGGAUCUUGGAUAGGAAAUGAAUAGAUUUUGUGCAGAAAGUCUAUUCCGCUAGUUAAAGUUUGUUUGGAAAAAAAAUAAUAAUAAAAAAUAGAGGCUUCAUGGGGCAAGUAUUCAAAUAUAUGCUCUAUAUCUUUGUGCUCGAAUCCUAAUUGAUUGAAUUUCGAGGACGAAAUUCUUUGAAGGGGGUAAGAUUGUUAUAACUCACUCACUCAUAGUCAAAGUCAAGAAAAUUAUUUAGUCAAAGUCCAAAAUUCAAUUGGUCAAAGUCAAUGUCAAAUAGGGAUUUAAAUGAAAUAAAUUAUUUUAUUGGGAUUUAAUUUAUUAUGAAAAAUAGUUAAAGGUUUAAAAUGGAUAAAACUUAAUUUUAGGGAUCUACUUAUAUAUUAUUAGAAGUAAAGGACUAGAUGUUAUAUUAAAUUGAAGAAUAAGGACUUUCCAUGCAAAAAUGGGUUGUGGAGUACAUGUGGCAAGUAAUUAACCCAUUACUAUUUUCAUAUGAUAUAUACAUACAGAGAGGUAAGGCUGGAGAUGGGCAGAAGCAAGAAAAACCGAGAAAGAGAGAAGGAAAAGAGAGAAGGAAAAGGGGGGAGAGAGAGAGAGAGAGAGCGAAGAAGAAGAAGAAGAAGAAGAAGAAGAAGAAGUGGGUCUUCAAGUUUGGAUUCUCCUUUUCUCCAUUGAUUUAGAGAGGUGGGUGUAAGUAGGAUGAGUUAUCUUUUUGAGUUUAUGAAAAUUUUCUAAAAUUUAAGGUUUAGCAAAAUUGAUGUUUGUUGAUAUAUGUUUGAGACAUUAAAAACAACAAUAAUAUUAGUGUUUAAAGGAAGGAAAUAUGAAAUGGGUUUGUAAAUUAGAGUUCCAAUCUUUGAAUUAUUGUGUUUACACUUGAUUUAUGAUGAAUUAGAGUGGAAAAAAAAAAAAUUAGGUUAGAUUUUGGUAUUUAUAAUAAAUUUUCGAGCAAAAUUCAUGUGCAGGUACUACUCAUGAAAUUCUGACCAAAAAAGUGCCAUUUCUGUCAAUGGUUUUGAUGCCAGAUUUUAAUAUGCAGAAAUUGGUGCCAGGUUUCAAUAUUUUGGGAUUUUAGUGCUGUUUUUGACAAAACUCUUAUUUUUCAGAUUUUUAAAGGCUUCAAUGAAGUUAUAUGACAAGUAUUGAGGUUUAUGUAUUGGAAUAAAUUAUGUAUAGGGCUUGUAUAUGUAUAAGUUAAUGAUUUUAAGGAAGUGUGGGUAAUUUAAUAGAUUUGAUAAUGCAUGGUGUUUAGUCGAUGAAUUAAUAAAGAGAAUAAAAGUUGGGGAUUGGAGAUGUAAGAGUAAAUAUAGAAGUUGAGGAGUUAAGUGGUGGAAUUGUAUUGAUUUAAUUGUUAAGUUUCAAUUUGAGUAAUUAUUAUUCCGUUAUUCAGGUAGUGACGUGAAAACUUGAAAAGACUCGUCAAUUUAGUCAGAUUUCUAUCCAUAAAUAUGUGAAAGGAAAAAAUAUAAAUAUUUUUAAAGUAUUUAUAAAUUAAGUAUAUUGUUAAAGUAUGUGCAAUUAUGUGCUCGAAUUAUAUGUUUAUUAUGAAAAUAUCUUUUAUUAUGAUAUAUGUGAGAUUUUAAAGAUUGUAUACGGUACAUUGUGAAUUGGAAUAUGAGACAUGAUUUUGAGAUCGACCAGAAAAGUACCCGUGAUUAUAUAUUUCUUCUAGUUCACUAAAAGGUCUUGGCCGUGUUCUAUACUACACUGAGGGGUCUUGAACCGAGGAUGAAGGGGUCUCGACCGUGUACAUAUAGUUCACUGAAGGGUCUUGGCCGUGUUCUAGAAUUGAUUAUGAGAUGUCUUUGAAACCAGCUUUCGUUCAUGGAGGGGGCCAAAGGUCCGUGGCGAAAGUUCUUAACCCGAGAGGCGGAUUACAUAUUUCAAUUAGAGGGUACAUUUUUGGUGGAUUUUUCAGUAUAUUUGAUGUGAUGAGAUUAUAGCGUGGUUAUCAGCUGAUAUUUAUAUCAUGAUUUUGAGAUGAUAUUUUACGACCUUAUGUGAAUAUUUCACUUUUGGUUAUAAUUACAUGAUGUUAUCUUGUGAAAUAUUAAAUGAUAUGAACUCGAUUUUCGAUAGAAAUGUAAAAUUGAAAAAGUAUAAUUAUUUUCGAACUUCUCCACUCACUGAACUAUCAACUCAUAUAUUUUUCCACGAUUUUUUCUACAGGUAGCAAUUGAUUCUUUUUAGCUGGAAGAGCCUAAUGAUUUCGGAAUGAGAGCCAUACGGCAUGUUGAAUAUUAUAACUCAUAUUGAUGAAACAUGAAGUAAAUAUUUUGAGUCCAUCGCAUUAUAUUUUACAUAAGUAUUUUAUUUUGUUGCAUUUUUUUGAAGUAACUCAUGUUAGCCUUGGUGAUAGAUUUGACAUCUAGUCAGCAUCUAUCAUUGGCGCACGUCUCAUCUCGGGUCCACUAGGGUGAUUCGGGACGGGACGGGUCGUGUCACUAAAGGACAGCAUUUAGAAAUGGAUCAUUGCAUGGAUCGUGAUAUCCCAUUUGCUGAAGAUUGGAUAAAAGUUAGAGAUAUUUGUAAACUUGUUCAAAAUGUAUAUGAUGUUGCUGAAGUUCUUUUCGAGACAAAACAUGAUAGUGCAGGCAUCUAUGUUCACAAAUUUCAAGAAUUACAAGCAAGUUUUAUAGAAGAAUCCAGAAAUUCAGAUAAAUUUGUUAGAAUCAUAGCUCGGAAGACACUAAAGAAGUUUGAGAAGUACUGGAAGAACAUGUUCCUUGUACUAACCGUUGUUACGGUUUUGAAGCCUCAAUAUAAAAUUAAGUAUAUUGAAUUUUCUUCCUUGAAGUAUGAUACUAGUUCUAGUAUAUCAGAAGUGACAACCAUUUCAAAGUCCAUUCACUCGCCUUAUGAUGAUUAUGUUACUAGCAAAACCAGAUAAGAAUAUACAUCAAAGAAAGAUGCAUACACCUAAAUGUUGGUUUUAAUUGUUGAGAUGAGUAUAACCAGUUUAUCCAAUCUAAUAGUCAAUCUCGAUCCCUAGGCAAGAGCUUGAAUGCUACUUGGAAGAACUUGUCGUGCCUUGGAGCAAAAAUUUCAGAGUGCCAUCACGGUGGCAAUCUGUGAGCCCCAAAUAUCCUACCAUGUCCAAAAUGGCUCGUGGAUCUCUGCACAUAAAAUGUUGAUAUUUCAUGUCCAAAAGAACAAAAGAUCCAAAGAUUAUUGAGCCAAUGGAUGAAGGAAAUGUUGAUAUUCCAUGUCCAAAAGAACAAAAGAUUCAAAAAUUAUUGAGCCAAUGGAUGGACGAAGAAUGGUUGGGGAAAAAUGAGGAGUAAUUUUGGGACGGAGAAUACAAUACUAUUAUUAUUAUUAUUAUUAUUAUUAUUAUUAUUAUUAUUAUUAUUAUUAUUAUUAUUAUUAUUAUUAUUAUUAUUAUCAUCAUCAUCAUCAUCAUCAUUAUUAUUUUCAUUUUUAGUUCUUUUUGGGGUUAAGACUAUAAUUGUAAAUUUGUUAUGGCAUUUUUAUUGGAAACAUGUUAUUAUUGUGGUGGUGUUAUAAUGUGUGUAGCAAGUAAAAUUUGUGGUGGCAAUAUAAUUACCCUAAUGUUAAUUGUUACUUUUGAUCCCAUCUUUUUAAUCUUUUUCAAACAAGCAUUUGCCUAAUUUUUUUAAUUAAUUAGACAAAUAGUCAAGUUGAAUAUGGUCUUUACUAUUAAAAAAAUGUAAAUAAACAAUAAUUAUUUUUCAUAAGACUAAAUUCUCCAACUCAUAAAAGGAAUGGCAAUACGACAGGUGAUUUUCCUUGUCUUUUGUCGCGUUGGAUAUUCUUGGGUAGAGGAUAGGAAAUUAGGAAUAGGGAAUUUGCUACUCUAUUUACUCAAUUUUCUAAUAUCAAAUUUCAAAUAUGAUUUAAGUUUAAAAACAUAAAUAUACAUAUAAAACUAAGAGUCUGAACAAGUAUGAAGUGAGUAAAAUGUUCUCAGUCCCUAUAUCGAUUUUCUAUUCGAUGGGACGUAACAAGACAUUUGCUGUCUUUGCCCAUAAAGAGCUUUUUAUAUUCUAAAAAAAAAAAGUCAUUUCCUCACUGUCAUUUAAAAGUAAAUAAGAUUAUUCAUAGUUGCUUACUAUUAGUAAUUGCUCUACGUGAAAGUUUGUUAUUUGAGACAUUAAUUUUUUAUAAUUUUAUUUCGUAAAACCAACCUUUCAUUCUUUAGCAGAGCUCUCUCUCUCCACCAUUUCAUUCAAUUUGAUAAUAAACUCAUCCUUGUCGAGGGUUAAAAUUAAAUUUUUAGUUUAAUUUUGAUAAAAAUUGAUGUUUAGAGCUCAUUUUCAUCUUAUUUAUGGACAAUUUUUAAACGUUGCACAGUACAAAACCUUUAUCGUGAGGGAUCUAUACCCUAGGCUGGCAGCUCUGUUUCUUUAUUUCUUAUUUCUGAUACCCAAUUGACAACGAUUAGUCAAAGUGAACCUGGAAAAGUGAAAAAACAAUGCAUGGCUUUUGUUUGGAGCAAUUCGCGUUCACAUUUCAAGAUAGGGGUAAAAUUGGAAGUUGGACAUAUAUAUGCAUAACACCAUUUGGACUAGCUUUCACAUGGUGGGCCACAUGAUGUGAUAGAAGAAUGCAUUUUUUCCACAAUAAAGGCGUCCAAACGUUAGCUUUCACAUGGUGGGCCACGUGAUGUGAUAGAAGAAUGCAUUUUUUCCACAAUAAUGACGCCCACACGUCAAUAAUGGCGCCCAAACGUCCAUUAUUGUAGAAAAAAAUGGAUUCUUCUAUCACAUCACAUGGUCCACCAUGUGAAAGCUAACGUUUGGGCGCCAUUAUUGUGGAAAAAAUGCAUUCUUCUAUCACAUCAUGUGGCCCACCAUGUGAAAGCUAGUCUAAAUGGUGUUAUGCAUAUAUAUGGUCAACUUCCAAGUUUAAAAAAAGGUGGAACCUCAACCUUGAGGGGCUUCACUGCCUCGCUCUUGGAGUAUCGUGAGGGAGGUAAAUUGCGGGAUGUGCCCCAACAGAUCAGGGAACAAGAACUUGUCCGUACACUGGUGCUUACAAAGAAUCCAAUUCCACAUCUUAGGAAUCGACCCCUUUGCGGCUGCCAACAAAAUUGAGAUUACCUCACUCCUGUCCUUUGCACCACUGGGUUAUGCCCCGGGGGCGUCAACUUCCAAGUUUACCCCUAUCUUGAAAUGUGAACACGUAUUGUUCCAAACAAAAGCUAUGCAUUUUUUACUUUUCCAAUGAACCAAGUUUCCAUUAUUGAGGAUAGAGUGUUGUAAAGCUCAUAUAAAGCAAAUGUCGAUAAGAGGGAAUUAAAAUUUUAGAGGGUAUUUGGUGGGGAUAAAAAUUAGAUUUUUUAGUAGAUUGUGAUAGAAGUUGUUAAANNNNNNNNNNNNNNNNNNNNNNNNNNNNNNNNNNNNNNNNNNNNNNNNNNNNNNNNNNNNNNNNNNNNNNNNNNNNNNNNNNNNNNNNNNNNNNNNNNNNNNNNNNNNNNNNNNNNNNNNNNNNNNNNNNNNNNNNNNNNNNNNNNNNNNNNNNNNNNNNNNNNNNNNNNNNNNNNNNNNNNNNNNNNNNNNNNNNNNNNNNNNNNNNNNNNNNNNNNNNNNNNNNNNNNNNNNNNNNNNNNNNNNNNNNNNNNNNNNNNNNNNNNNNNNNNNNNNNNNNNNNNNNNNNNNNNNNNNNNNNNNNNNNNNNNNNNNNNNNNNNNNNNNNNNNNNNNNNNNNNNNNNNNNNNNNNNNNNNNNNNNNNNNNNNNNNNNNNNNNNNNNNNNNNNNNNNNNNNNNNNNNNNNNNNNNNNNNNNNNNNNNNNNNNNNNNNNNNNNNNNNNNNNNNNNNNNNNNNNNNNNNNNNNNNNNNNNNNNNNNNNNNNNNNNNNNNNNNNNNNNNNNNNNNNNNNNAGGUAAAUUGCGGGAUGUGCCCCAACAGAUCAGGGAACAAGAACUUGUCCGUACACUGGUGCUUACAAAGAAUCCAAUUCCACAUCUUAGGAAUCGACCCCUUUGCGGCUGCCAACAAAAUUGAGAUUACCUCACUCCUGUCCUUUGCACCACUGGGUUAUGCCCCGGGGGCGUCAACUUCCAAGUUUACCCCUAUCUUGAAAUGUGAACACGUAUUGUUCCAAACAAAAGCUAUGCAUUUUUUACUUUUCCAAUGAACCAAGUUUCCAUUAUUGAGGAUAGAGUGUUGUAAAGCUCAUAUAAAGCAAAUGUCGAUAAGAGGGAAUUAAAAUUUUAGAGGGUAUUUGGUGGGGAUAAAAAUUAGAUUUUUUAGUAGAUUGUGAUAGAAGUUGUUAAAUGUGUAGUUGAAAAAUUGUGGAACCUAUAAAAGAUGUGGUUAGUGUUGAUUGUUUGACUUUAACUUAGAUUAAAAUCAGAUUUUAAUCCAAAUCAAAUAGUCUGUUAAAUCCUUGUCAAAGUCAAAGUCAAUAAUUCAUUUAAAUCACGUAUUUUAAGACAUUCAUAAGUUUUUAAUCAUAUACUGCAUCAAAUUUUAUCAAAAUUUACUAAAAAUUUAAUUUUAACUUGUAACAUCACAUUUCUCUUUUCCUAAUUUUUGCGAAUAUGAUAUUCCCUAAUGAUAUAUUUAAUGCUUAUUAUUAAUUUAUUGUCAAUGUGACUACUAAUAUGUUGUAGUGGAUUAUACCUUGAACGUCCUAGGUGAUUGACAUGCCAAUUAAAGCUAAUUAUAUGAAAAUCAAAUGAAAAUCUAGAAAAGGGAAGGAAAUGUAAAUAGAUGAAGAAAGAGGACUAGUAAUUAUUGAGGAGAGUGUGCUGUACAGCUCAUAUAAAGCAAAUGUCAGUAAUGGGGAAUUAAAAUUUAAAUAUUUACCAAAGUUGGAGUCAAUAAUUGAUUUAAAUCAAGUACUUUAUGAUAUUCAUAACUUUUCAAAUAUGUUAUUGAGUUGUGAAUAUCACAGAAGAAUGCAUUUUUGGAAAAAGUUUUGUCUGAUUUGAUGAGCUUUUUUGAAGGAAAAUGAUAACUUUUUUACAAGGAGUAGAAGUCUUGUCAAAGCGGCGUUAAGUAUAAGAUCUAAUAAUUAAGUUGAGUGAGGAUUAGUUUGUUCUACUCAAAUGUGCUUUUUACAAUAAAAAAUGAACCAAAGUAGAUCAAGAUAAAUUGAUCUAUAAACAGCUUCUCUAACCUUAAAAAAAUCGAGUCAUUUUUACAUUGACAUUCAGUGCUUGUUUGGGAAAGUUAAACAGUUGAUUUUGUUAAAAGAAGUGGAAGAUCUUUUGGAAUUAGUGGUGGAAAAGCGAGUAAUACUAGUGGAUUUUAUGUAAUGUAAGAUUAAUAUAAAGGGUGGUUAUAUUAUCACCACAAUAAGUGUUUGGUACCCUAUAAUUUUCUUAUUUAUUUUAAAAAAUUACUAGUAAAAUGACAUAAGUACCCUAUCUUUUAUUCACUAAUAUAUUUAUUCAUACGAUCACUACCAUCCGUACACAAAAAAUACAUAACUCCUACUUAAAGAUACAAAUGCCAAGAUCAAAAGAUCCAAGAUUCACUAAUAUAUUUAUUCAUAUGACCACUACCAUCCGUACACAAAAAAUACAUAACUCCUACUUAAAUAUACAAAUGCCAAGAUCAAAAGAUCCAAGAUUGAAGAAAAGAACAAGAAAUUUUAGGAUAUGGUAUAGGCAUUUUGGAAUAUUGAAUGUAUUAUUUUAAAAGUUCGCUAUAUUCUUCUUGGAAACUCGUCGUUAUUGUGGAAUAUGCCAUUAUACAACCUGCAAAAGGUAUUGGAUUUGGAGGCUAAAGGACAGUAUUUAGAAAUGGAUCAAUGCAAGGAUCGCGAUAUCCCAUUUGCUGAAGACUGGAAAAAAGUAAGAGAUAUUUGUAAACUUGUCCAAAAUGUAUAUGAUGUUGCUGAUGUUCUUUUCGAGACAAAACAUGCUAGUGCGGGCAUCUAUGUUCAUAAAUUUCAAGAAUUACAAGCAAGUUUGAUAGAAGAAUCUAGAAAUUCUGAUAAAUUUGUUAGAAUCAUAGCUCAGAGGAUGCUAAAGAAGUUUGAGAAGUACUGGAAGAACAUGUUCCUUGUACUAACCGUUGUUACUGUUUUGGAUCCGCAAUAUAAAAUGAAGUAUAUUGAAUUUUCUUCCUUGAAGUAUGAUACUAGUUAUAGUAUCUCGGAAGUGACAGCCAUUUCAAAGUCCAUUUACUAGCCUUAUGAUGAUUAUGUUACUAGCAAAACUAGAGAAGAAUAUUCUAUGAGUGAUUCGAAUUCUGAGUUUGAAGAAGAGAUUCCUACAAACAUCAAAGAAAGAUGCCUACUCCCAAACUUUGCUUUUAAUUGCUUAGAUGAGUAUAAACAGUUUAUCCAAUCUGAUAGUCGAUCUCGACCAUUAGGUAAAAGCUUGAAUGCUACUUGGAAGAACCUGUCGUGCCUUGGAGCAAAAAUUUCAGCGUGCUAUCUUGAUGGCAAUAUGUGAGCCCCAAAUAUCCUACCUUGUCCAAAAUGGCUCGUGGAUCUUUGCACAUAAAAUGUUGAUAUUUCAUGUCCAAAAAAUAAUUGAGCCAAUGGAUGAAGGAAAUUGAUGAGGAAGAAUGGAUGGGGGAAAAUGAGGAGUAAUUUUGGGAAGGAGAGUACAUUGUUAUUAUUAUUAUUAUUUUUUUUUUUUUCAUUUUCAGUUUUUAUUGGGUUAAGGCUAUAAUUAUAAAUUUGUUAUGGUAUUUUUAUUAGAAACAUGUUGUUUUAAUGUGUGUAGCAAGUAAAAUUUGUGGUGGCAAUAGAAUUGCCUUAGCAUUAAUUGUUACUUUUGAUCCCGACUUUUUAAUCUUUUUCAAACAAGCAUUUGCUCAAUUUUUUGAAUAACUAGACAAAUAGUCAAGUUGAACAUGGUCUUUACAAUUGAAAAAAUGUAAAUAAAUAAUAAUUUUUUUUCAUAAGAUUAAAUUCUCCAACUCAUAAAAGGAAUGGCAAUACGACAGGUAGUUUUCCUUGUCUUUUAUGGCGUUGGAUUUUCUUGGGUGGAGGGUAGGAAAUUAGGAAUAGGGAAUUCAUUACUCUAUUUGCUCAAUUUUCUAAUAUCAUUUUGAAAAACAAUUUAAGUUUAAAAACAUAUAUGUACAUGUAAAAAUAAGAGUCUGAACGAGUAUGAAGUAACUUGUUCUUCCUAUAUUGAUUUUCUAUUCAGUGGGAUGGAACAAGACAUUUGCUGUCUUCGCCUAUAAAGAGCUUUAUAUUCUUAAAAAAGGUCAUUUUCACAUUGACAAUUAAAAGUGAAUAAUACUAUUCAUAGUUGUUCACUAUCAAUUAUUUCUCUAUAAUUUUAUUUCUUAAAACUAACCGUUCAUUCUUUAGCAGAGUUUUGUGUUUCUCCACCAUUUCAUUCAAUUUGACAAUAAGCUCAUACUUGGAGGGGUUAAAAUUAAAUUUUUAGUAAAUUUUGGUAAAUAUUGUUGUUUAGAGCUCAUUUCAUCUUAUUUAUAGACAAUUUUGACCACUGCACAAUACAAAACUCUUUCUUUAUUCUGAUUUAUGACACUGAAUUGAAAUAAUCUAUCAAAGCCCUUGUUUAGGAGAGCUUUCGUUUUCAAUUGUAGCCAGUGACCAUUAUACAUAUAUGUUAAAUAAGGCAAGUUGAGUGGGAGCCCUCAAGGUUGGAGUUCAACCUUUCAAAUAAGGCAAAUUGCAAUUUUUGACUAUUUUAAGACAGAAUGAUCCCUUAACAUUUCAUUCAUUCUUCAUGAGACAAGGACAUUUUUGGUAUUUAAUUUUGAGACAGUAAAAAAUUGCAACCAAAAUGAGACCCAUGUUCAACUGUGUAAGGGAGAAAAAUUGCUAAAAAUGGAAAAAAAGCUCUCCCAGACAAGAGCAAAGUGAACUUCGAAAAGUAAAAAUACAUUUUUUGUUUGUAACAAUACUUGUUCACGUUUCAAUAUAGGGGUAAAAUUGGAAGUUGCCCAUAUAUAUUUAUAACACCAUUUGGAGUUUGGACUAGCUUUCACAUGGCGGGCAAUGUGAUAUGAUAGAAGAAUGCAAUUUUCCACAAUAAUGGCGCCCAAACGAUGACCUGCUAAUGUUAUUGAAUGAUUUAAUUGAAUUAUUAACUUUUACUUUCAUAAAAAUAUAAUUGCUACAUUUGCUUUAUAUGAGCUGUACAACACACACCAAGAAUUACUAGUUUUCUUUCUUCAUCCGUUAACAUUUCCUCCUCUUUUCUGGGUUUUCAUUCGAUUGUCAGAGCUGCAACAUCCAUUUCCAUGACUUCAAAGCUAUAUGCUAAUCAGAAUUUUCUGUUUUUGCUUUAGUGGUAGCGUCUAUUAUUCUUCAAACAAGCAUUUGCUCAAUUUUUUGAAUAACUAGACAAAUAGUCAAGAUGAACAUGGUCUUUACAAUUGAAAAAAUGUAAAUAAAUAAUAAUUAUUUUUUAUAAGAUUAAAUUCUCCAACUCAUAAAAGGAUGGCAAUAUGGCAGGCGGUUUUCCUUGUCUUUUGUCGCGUUGGAUUUUUUUGGGUAGAGGGUAGGAAAUUAGGAAUAGGUACUUUUACCCAAUUUUCUAAUAUCAUUUUUUUAAAAAUACAAUUUAAGUUUAAAAACAUAUAUGUACACGUUAAAUUAGGAGUCUAAACGAGUAUCAAGUAACUUGUUCUCAAUUCCCAUAUCGAUUUUCUAUUCGAUGGAUGGAACAAGACAUUUGCUGUUUUUGCCCAAAAAGAGCUUUAUAUUUUAAAAAAGUUCAUUUCCACAUUGACAUUUAAAAAUAAAUAAUAUUAUUCACUCACUGUCAAUUAAUUUUCUAUAAUUUUAUUUCUUAAAACCAACCGUUCAUUCUUUAGCGGUGUUUUGUCUCUGUCCACCAUUUUUCCCACUUCCACAUGGUGGGCCAUGUGAUAUGAUAGAAGAAUGAAAUUGUUCCACAAUAAUGGCGCCCAUACGACGACACGCUAUGUUAUUGAAUGAUUUAAUUGAAUUUUAAUUGCGACAUUUGCUUACAACACUCAAAAUUACUAGUCUUCUUUCUUCAUCCGUUUACAUUUCCUCCUCUUUUGUGGGUUUUCAAAGCUAUAACAUCCAUUUCCAUGGCUUCAAAGCUACAAGCUAAUCAGAAUUUUCUGUUUUUGCGUCAGUGGUAGCGUCCAUUAUGCUUUAAACAAAAGUUUAGGGGGUAGACAACUCACAUACACUAUCUUUCUCUUUCCCUGCAAUUCGACCAUCCUUUCCUUUCCUUUCCUUGCAAUGGAUAUCUCACUCACUAAUUCGUUUACUAGUCCUGCAGAUCUCUUUCUAAUUGUGAGCGAUCAUAUAUUAUAUAUCUCCUCCAAACAUCAUCCUAUAAUUGAUACGUUACUUGGUUUUAUACCUUUACAAACGCACGGUUUCUUUGAUGAAUUUCACAGAAACAUUUUCUAUGAAUCAGUGUUAGCUGGACUUGAUCAAGAGCUUAAGGUGUUCUUUACAGUCCCUGACCAGCAAAUCUUGUCCAAGUUAACUCCUACUCUCAAUUCUAAUGAAGUUGUUGCGGCGUUCAUCAACUUUCUCCUCCUGAUGGUAGAAGUCAUUCUACAUUUUGAGGAAGAUUCGAUUGCUCGUGUAAAGGGUUCGUUCCAAAAUCUCCGGACAGAGCUUGGAUUUCUUAUCACUUUUCUUGGGGAUACAGCAAUGCAUUUGCAGCCCACCGAGACUAUAGUGAUAGAUAUUGAAGAUGUGGUCAAUGAGGUAGGAUGUUUCUUGUAUUCCUUCCUUUGGGCCAUUGUUAUGUUCAUUCUAAUCUGUAAAGAGAAAGAAUUAUAUACUAGAAUGUACGGUUGGAAAGUUGGGGUUAAUGAGGUAGGAAGUCUCCGUCUUUCUGACUUUAUCCACUUUCUUGAGGAUCAACCAUUGCUAAACACUAUGUUGAAAGCAACGAAAGAUAUUAAAGCUUCGCUCCAUAAGAUAGGAAGUUUAUUAGAUUCCUUCAUUUCCAAGAAGAAUGAUCAAGCUAUGGAGCCAGGAAACUUAAAUCUUGCUCUUUCUGAUUUGUUAGCAAAGUUUGAGACCUUGAAAACAAAGAUCAAGGAGCACUGCAUCAGAGUCUCAAAGAUCCCAAGUGAUAUGGCUCCUAAGACUGGUGUGGUUUCACUCUUCAUUGUUGAUUCCGUCCUCGAUGAUCUCAUGGAUCUAAUAAAUAACAAGUCUGACUCGACUGGUGUUGUGAAUGAUCAAAUUGUAAUGCUUCAGACGCUUCAGAAGGAGCUAAUGUUAUUGGGAUCAUCCAUCACAGAUAUAGCAUUGCAGCAGGAAGCAGAACAUGAAGAACUUGUGAUACGGAGCAGAGACAUAGCAUAUGAAGUUGAAUAUGUUAUCAAAUCAUUUCGUCAAGCUUGGUAUCUUUCUCUCCGGCUCCCUCAACUCAUUGACAAGAUUCAGCUUAUUACGAUGGCUAUCGAAAAAAUGAAGAACAAUGUUGAUAUAUCUAGAAUGUCAAUUUUUUCGAAACAUCCACAUGAACAUGUAGAUCCACAGUCAGAAGAAUCUCCCAUUUUGGAAGACUUUGUUGUGGGAUUUGACAAUGUAACAAUUGAAAUUGUAGAACAACUUGCUCGAGGAAUAGAAAAGCUACAAAUUAUUUCCAUAUUUGGGAUGCCUGGACUUGGUAAGACGACCUUGGCAAAUAAAUUAUAUAAUCAUCGCUACGUUUUAUACCAUUUUCACAAUCGUGCCUGGUGUGCUGUUUCUCAAAUAUAUAAUAAGAAAAAUGUGUUGAUUGAAAUUUUGAGCUCAAUGAGUAACAAUAAGAGGGAUACAUACAUGAAAAAGGAGGAAAACAGCUUGGUCGACGAUCUUUACAAAAACUUAAAAGGAAGGCGAUACCUCAUUGUGAUAGAUGAUAUAUGGGAUAUCAAUGUGUGGAAUGAUUUAAAAAGAUGUUUUCCAGAUGACGGAGUUGGAAGCAGAAUCUUAUUCACUACUCGAAAUAAAGAAGUGGGUUUGAAAGCUUUACCUCAUAAUUUCACAAAGGAACUUCCUUUUUUGUCGGAAGUUGAAUGUUGGGACAUAUUACAAGGGAAAGUGUUCCAAGAUAAAAAAUGUCCUCAAGAAUUGCUAGACAUUGGCAAGCAAAUUGCAAAAAAUUGUCAUGGCCUACCACUCGCAGUGGUUGUGAUAGCUGGAGUUCUUGCAAACAUGGAGAAGAAAAAACACUUGUGGGAAAAAGUUGCCAGAAAUUUAGGUUCUCAUAUAUCUGAAAUACCAGAGAAGUGCAUCCAAAUAUUGCAGCUUAGCUACGACCAUUUACCAAUGCAUUUGAAAACGUGUUUUCUUUACUUUGGAGCAUUCAAAGGAGACAUGAAGAUCCCUGUACGGAAGUUGAUAUCUCUUUGGGUUGCCGAAGGAUUUAUAAAGAAGGAAGAACAGAAGAACAUAGAGGACGUGGCACGAGAAUAUUUAAUGAAAUUGAUUGAUAGGAGUCUAGUACUUGUUGCUGAAAAAAGAUAUGAUGGAGGAGUCAAAACAUGCAAGAUUCAUGAUCUAUUGCGUGAAAUGUGCUUGAAAAUAGCUGAAGAAAAUAACUUUUUGAAGUUUAUCAAACAGUAAGUUCAAUGUCUCUUCUUUUUCCUUUCCUUUCCUUUCCAUCCAUUUUUUAUUUUAGCUUACUUAGAAGGUUAUUAUAUUUGAUAAUCGUAACAAUGAUGUGAUUAUGUUGUUUUUGUUGCCAGUAAUGAUGAUGAUGAAGAUAAACAACGGUUCUUCAGUCAAGUAUCAACGUAUCAGCAGCACCAUUGCCUGAGUAUCAACUGUACGAUACCUCCGAGUUCACUACCUUUUGGCCUACACGUACGCUCUCUUCUAUAUGAUAUUCAUUUUGUGGGAUCGAGCACACCAAGACCGACCACAUCAAUCUCAUGCAGCCACAAACUUCUUAGGGUCUUUGAUUUUAGCAGCAGGUCACUACCCUGGGGUCUAAUAAUAGGAUUGGAACACCUGGUUCUAAUAAUAGGAUUGGAACAUCUAGUUCACUUGAGGUACUUGGCACUUUCAUGUACACGGCCACCAUUAAAUUUGGAAAGGUUCCACAAACUAGAAUUUCUUGUUGUGGACAAUGAUGUUGAAGUUGAAAUACCUGAGAUCCUCCUUAAUACAGUGAGUUUGAGACACAUGGAGUUCAAGGGCGGUGCACGCUUCAGUGAAUCUAGUUGUCAGCUGGCAACUAACAGUAAGAACUUCCAAAUAAAUAACCUACGAAGUAUUUCUAGACUCUCAAUUUACGUUGAAUUGGAUGAGAAAGUUUUGGGACGUUCGCCCAAUCUUCGUAGACUGAAAGGCAGGGUGGAUAAAGAUUUACUAAAUCCUUCUUUCGACUUCCUUAAUCAGCUCGAAUCACUAAAGCUAUAUGAAAUAUUUCAUUGUUCUUUUAGUUUGCCCUUAAAUUUGAAAAAAUUGACACUAGAUCAUGCAAAGGUGUCUCGAAAACAAAUGGAGAUAAUUGGAAGGUUGCCUUGCCUUGAGGUUCUCAAAUUAGAAUCGGUUGCCUUUGAGGAAGAACAAUGGAACACAAGUGAGGGUGAAUUCCCACAACUCAAAUACUUGAAACUUGCAAAUGUAAACAUUGCAGAAUGGAAUGCCUCAAGUGAUCAUUUCCCGGUACUUCAACGAAUAGUAUUGAAAUCUUGCGGGAAUCUAAAGAAGAUCCCUUUCAGUUUAAAUGAUAUUCCAACGUUACAGGAGAUUUGGUUAUAUGGAUGUCCACCAACUACCAACGAAUCAGCUAAGGAAAUUAAGGAAGAACAAAAAGCGAUGGGCAAUGAAGAGCUUGAAGUCAUGAUCUCUGAAAAACAAUUGGAGGAAAAUGAAUACAACGAACUUCUGAAGGUAAUAAUGAGAGAGAUUCUCUUCUUUAAAUCUCUUUCACGUUCUCAUCUUGGUCCUAGGUAUUUUGUAUUAUGCUAAAAUGAAACAUCAAAAAUAAAUUCUACUGUAAUUUUGGCUUGUAUUGGAAUUAAGCCCCUCUUUGGUUUGGGUUAAAAUAAGAUUUUUAAUAGAUUUUCAUAAAGGUCAAUGAAAAGUGUGAUUGAAAAAUUAAUAAAAUUUAUGAAUUUCAUAAAAUAUGUGGUUGAAAAUGAGCUAGGGGAAAAAAUUAGUUUUAAAAAUUUGGGACCAAAUAGGGGGCUCUAUUUUAUGAGCUUCUUGAUGUUAUUCUAGGAAUAAUGAUAAGUGCGUUUUUAUGCACUUAUGUUUGAAUUGUGGCUUAAAUUUGUUUGAUUCUUGAAUUGCAGGGUAAAUUGAUGGACACGGUGGAACUCAUGAGAAAAAUGAAGCGACAAGAACCAAAAGGAAUCAAAGUGCCAAAACGAAUCAAAGUGAAAGUUCAAGGACCAAAGCGCAAAUAUCCAAAAGAUGAACCGAAGGAGCAAGAAAAGAUUUGAUAGAGCCAAGUACCAAUUGGAGGUUAAUAUUGGUAACCUCUGUCAUGGUGAAUUCAAUUUUAUUACUGUACACUCAUGGUGAUUUAAAUCAAAAGAAAAUAUUUCGUGAACAAAUUACUAAUCCAUAAGGUUCUAUGUUUGGACAUUGAUCUCUAUUAUUUCUGCCUUUCACAUUUUUUACCAUAAAAUCGUUUUUACAUAAAAUCCCAAAGGUCACAAUUUCACUUCUAGUUAGAUUUUGUCCUUGGAAUAAUUUGAUUGUUUAGGCCCAAUUCCUUUGUUAAUUGCAUGGAGGUCCUUUAACUUCCGAACUUCCGAACUUGUUAUCUUGGUCCUUGAUUCCAGAUUCUGUCCAAUGUCCAUCCUUCUUGAUCAAAUAUCGUCCCCUUUUAUUGUUUCCUGUUCAAUAUUGUUUUUUCUUCUAAAAUAAUUAACAUAUACACAAAAUUAAGUAUCUGGCUCAUAAAAGUAUUUCCAAACACCCACUUUUGAUGGCUUAUAUAAGUGUAAAAUCAUACUUAUCAACUGUCAUAGAUAUACAACUUCAAGAGCCGAAUGAUCUUUUUUUGAGGUAAAUAGUGAUUUACUCAUUUGUAUUGCAUAUUUGUGUCCGCACAAUUCACUAAAGGACAAGUGAAUUCAAUUGUGUGAGUAAUAUGCCCAAGAUUUUAAAUCAGUAGAAACCUUGGCAUUGAUGAGCAAAUUUAUAUAUAUAUAUAUAUAUAUAUAUAUAUAUAUAUUAUUGAUAUGCACACUCAUGAGAUUUUAAUAGGGCUAGGAUAGGAGACCUUAAUGAUAUUGCAUAAAAGUUGUUUCUAACGUGAAAAGGUGUAGCAAUUACUUUACAGGCUUGUAACAUUGGUGUUAGUUAUUUCAGGCUUUAGAGAUGAUAAUUCUCGGCGAUGAAGUUUGUGAAGAAUCGAUUGCGUAAUUAGAAAGGAGAUCAAUGGUUGAAUGACACUUUGGUGGCGUAUAUUAGAACGAUGUAUUUGACGAUAUCGACAACGAUGUAAUUAUACGAUAUUUUCAAAAUAUGUAAGCGUGUAGGCUAUAAUUGUAGUAAAAUAUUGACUUAUUUUCAUCAAUACAUUGUUUUAAAAAAGUGUAUCUUAAUUUUCAAUCAUACAAUGAAAAAUGUCUGGCUUUGGAAUGAUAUUAGGCUUGAUAAAAUCAAUUAUCUUCGGUGGCAAAACCAAUUUCUGAAUGUCAUCAUGGCUAAUGGAUUAGUAGGUUUUAUAGAUGUUACAUUUACUUUUCCAUCCAAGUUUGUUGUACAACUGCUCAUUCGGUCGAAAUUUUUAUUUUUUCGAUAUUAUGACUUCAAGCUUUUCAUUUCCCAUCGCAUGUUGUUCUUCCUGAAUUUGCUUAUCAGAUUCUUAAAUUGCUUGCUCAGACCCUCUGCCACAGAACUUUCCUUAUCAUGAAUUUGUUCGUAAGAUUGUAGGUUAAGGAUUUCCUUCAAAUAAAAUAGAAGAAGAAAAAUGAUAGAUUUUCAUGUAUAUCAAAUUGAAACAGCAAUCUCUACAUAUAGAUGUUAGUACGCCUUUCCAAAGCGUUACAUUUGUCAAAUCUAUUCAUGAUUACAAUUAUAUAUUCAGCAAUACUGAAUGAAAAUAUUCAAGCUUCCCUUCUUAAUUUCUGUACAACUUUUUUAAUUUGCUAUAUGCAUAUUUCCAGAAGCAGCUAAGUUGAUAUGAAACAAAUAAAAUUUUAUUAUUCAAAAAUCAAAAAAACAGAAGAACUACAAAGUUAGCAGUCAUUUUCAAGAUUAUCUUCCACUCUAUCCAUCCCCAAAGUUCAAAACAGGAGGGGGUGUUUCUCCUCUUUCAGUAUUAUUAUGUAAUUGACUCUUCAUGUAAAGAGUUGAUUGAACUGAUUGACUCAAACAAAAAAUAUACAUGGAGGCACCAACAACAAAUGACGACGUAAUUAUAGUUGAUGACGCAAAAUAAGGAUAAUUUCAUUGAAAUAAAUGACGAGCAUCAUUUUUUACUGCCAUGUCAUCGAUAUCCAAGUGACAAAACUAGACUAAGAUCAUGUAAGCAUCUGAAUUCUUGAACACACCAUUCUUUGAAAAGAUUUUCGAGAUGUCAAAUUUGAAUAAAGUUCCUUUGUAUUCAUCAAAAUAACUACAGGCUCUAUCACAUUUGUCGACCUUUAGUUCAUUUUCAAAAAGCCCGUGUUGCAAGAUUGAAGUACUCCUGACCUCCUACCUCCUAGCUAGACAGAGGAUCAGGAUUCGUCUUCAUCUUCAUCUUUGCCCUCGUCUUCCACUUCAUCUUCAUCUUCAUCUUCAUCUUCAGAAUCUACGUAAUCGACCUUUGCAAUAGGAGAUGCAAGCCAAAACUUGUUCAACUGUUUCAGAAUCUAAAGUCCUUUGUCAGCGUUAGCGUUGGCCAUUGACCAGAUCACCAUUCUCUUCAGCUUAGACGAUUUUUCUAGUAAAAGCUUAGUCACUGCCAUCUCAGCAACUGUGCCUGAAAUAAAAUGCAGCUUCACUUUUUGAAGUUGAGUUAAAGUUACAUCUGAGUAGCCUUGCACUUACAGAAAAUCUAGAAUAGGACUACAGAAAAUCUAGAAUAGGACUAGCAUCAGCAUUUGCACUCUCACAAAUCUAGACAAUAAGGCAAGAUAUCACCGAGCUUAAACUUUUGUUUUAAAAUAGAGAAUUGAAGAUGUAAGUCGUAAUGGUCAUAUCCAUCACUUACCUUGAAUCUCAGUUCCUCAAGGUCGGGGGAGCUUCUGAUCAAGCACAGAACACAAGAGAGUUCAUCCAAUAAAUUAGAACAUAUAUAAAAUAACUUCAGAACUUUAAGGUGCAUUAAAGUAGCUGAUAGCCUUUCUUGGGCUUGACCUGCAGCCAAAAUCUUCAAAGCGGUGGUGAAAGCAUGAUCUAAUAUAGUUUAGUCGACGAUUUCAAGGGAUUAUAUUUAUAAUAAAAAAUACCUUAAUGAAAGUAUAGCUCAAGUACACUUUCUGAAGGCCAGGCAGAGAAUCAAAAAACUGAAUGAAGUUACAUUGCCCAUCUUCCAAAAUAUUGUCAACUACCCAAUCAUUAUGUAAAGCAACCAAAAUCAUUGCAAGAUGUGGGGAUUUCUUAAAAUAAAACGAUGAUAUAGGGAAACAUGUCAAUUCAAAGUGUUUUAGCAUAGAGUAUCUAUUUCUACGUAGUCAAAUUUGUUUGAAACAUUCAGCAAUAGUUUCCCCAGUACCGGGCAGCUUGAUAUCAAACUUCCUAAAUUCCUAAUACAUCAGCAUCAAUGGUCACGUCAAACAAUUCCAGCCUAAUUGGUCUAUUAAAUCCUUCAAAGCUUGGUGGUGGAGGAUUGAUCAACCAAGACAACGGCUUCAAAUGUUUCAACUGUAUACACAUAAAUGGUGAAGAAGGCGAUGUGUACUGUUCUCCACUCUUUAUUUUAAAGGUGAAUUCUUCAACACUGUUCUUCCAUAAGAUAUGUAUCAAGUAGUCAAUUUCUGAACAAUUUUUAAGUUUCGGAAUAACGAGGCUCAAUUUAGUUAUGGGUCCUGGAUGAAGCAAAAGAUCCUUGUAAAAGAUCAACAAGAACUUCAUUCUAGCUGAUUCUAGGUUUCCCUUAUUAAGGGAUAAAAAUCCAACAUCGAUUAAAUAUCGAAAUAUUGACCAACUUAAAAAAGAUCUUGGGCUACUCCUCUUAAUCAGAUUGACCUUUUAAGAUGGAACCUCAAAUUUUAACAUGGUAUCAACUCAUUAAACUCCAACGAGCAACUCAAUCCCGAUACGACUCUAAAAAUGAGCACACAGAUUUCAAGAUUGGUUUAUUCAAACGAGCCAACAUCUUGUGGGGGCAUGUUAAGGGAUAAAAAUUUCACAUCGACUAAAUACUGAAAUAUUGACCAAUUUAUAAAAAUCUUGUGCUACUCCUCUUAAUAAGAUUGACCUUUUAAGAUGGAACUCUAAAUCUUCACAUGAUAUCAGAGCUCAUUAAGUUUCAACGAGCAAUUCGAUCCAAUUAAAACUCUAAAAAUGAGCACACGAAUUUCAAGAUUGGUCUGCUCAAACGAGCCACCAUUUUGCGGAAACAUAUUAUUAAGGGAUAAAAAUCCAACAUCGAUUAAAUACCAAAAUAUUGACCAACUUAAAAAAGAUUCUGUGCUACUCCUCUUAAUAAGGCGGACCUUUUAAGAUAGAACCCCAAGUUUUAACAUCCCUUAUAUUCUUGCCAUAGGGUCUCAUGAAAUCUGACGCAUAUUUGUGUGGGUCUUGUAAUUGAAUUUCGUCGAGUCCUAAUGCACUUUAACUUGUUGAAGACUUAAAGGUUGAAUCCCAACCUUGAGGGCCUCCAUCGCUCCGCCCCUGAAGCAUCAUGAGGGAGGUAAAUUGUGGGAUGUGCCCCAACAGGACAGGGAACAAGAGCUUGCCCGUACACUGGUGCCCACAAAGUGUUCAAUUCCAUAUCUUAGGAAUCGAACCCUCACAUUGCGACUGCCAGCAAGACCAAGACUAUCUCACUCCUGUCCUUUGCACCACUGGGUUAUGCCCCGGAGGCUAACUUGUUGAAGACUUUCCUAGUGAUGUAGUGGUUUCACGCUUUAAAGUAGGUUUAAUUUUUCUCAAAAGAGAGAUCAUCAAGUAAAUUUGAGAAAUUCGACUUUCAACACAAGUACAACUUUGUUAAAGUGUUAUAAGUUAAUAUUAAAAAAAUGUUUGAAUUGGUAGAUGAUGAGGAUGGCCAACCUAAUUGGGAAGUCUAGGUACACUUAUUCCUACCUCUUAACAUCCUUGUGUAAACAUGGAAAUGUAAACUUAUAAAGUAAAUAACUUUUAGUUUACGAGAAUUAUAAAUAAAAUAAGUUAUUAAUUUUAACAAUAAACAAGCACAUAUUUAAAAGAAAAACAAAUAUAAAUCGUAAUCAAAAGUUUUAUCCACAAAAAAAUCAUAGAGACACUGCAUUUCUUUAACACGCUUCAUACACGGUGAUUUUGAAUGUGUAUAUGGCGAAUACAUCUACACAUUAGAUAUCUGCAUAUAUAUUAUCAUUUAACAUAUAAAUUAAGCUCAUGUUUGGAAAGGUAUAGCUAAAAAAUUGAUAAAAAUUUAAGUUAAAAAGUCAAAGAUUAAUUUUCAUCACACAUUUAUUAGGAUCCAUAAUUUUUAUCUACUUUUCUAUCAAAUUUAUAAAAUUUAUCAAAAUCCAAUUAAAAUCUAAUUUUCAGCUAAACCAAAUGAGGACUAAUUCGUAUGUAGUAACAUGCAAUCCAAUGCGUAUGCUAGAAGUCAACAUAUGAAUUUUCAAAGCUAUUAUACCUUUGAUUUCACCCAAUAAUAGGAAUCUAUUAAAAAUCUUAUUUUAAGCUAAAUCAGACAGGGGCUAAUUCACAUGUUGUAGCAUGCAAUCCCAUGCGAGCUCUAGAAGUCACUAUAUGACAUUUCCAAACUAUACACAUCUGAUUUCACCCAAUACAAGAAGUAACCAGUCCAUGGCUAGUAACAAUUAAGCCCUUGUUUGAGCCUCAUCCCCCCCCCCCCCCCCCCCCCCCCCCCCCCGAGGGGUUUUUAUUUUGGAAUAGUUUUCCUGGAAAAUGCGUGGUUAAAUUUUUUUUAUUUUUAAAAUCAACUUAUGUGUAAAAUUAAUUUAUUGAAGAAUGUGUGGUUGAAAUUGAGUUUUGAAACAAUGAGUCUUUGGUAAAAUGGAGCUCAAACAAGGGCCAAGUGCUUUCACCAUUACAUUGUGUCCACUUACUUUUAUAGUAAUCUAUCCAACAAAGUAAAGCAUUAGCUCAAAAAGACUUAAGACAGCUUGAAAUUGAAGAUGUAGCUAGCAUAAUAUUAUACGCCAUUCAGAAAAAAAGGGUUUCUAGUCUCAAGAAGCCCACAUCACAAGAUUUCAAUUACUCCUGACCUUUUUGAGCUAGUAAGCGAGCCUGCAUUAAGCUCUACCACCAAAGUUCAUUUUUAUCGAAAGCUUUAAAAAAUGACCUUUGCAUUUGGUAAACACGCUUAAAUUUGUUCGUCUCGAUCAAAAUCCCAAAAUUCUUCGUCAGCAAGUUUCUCUAAUGGUCAUUUCAGCCUGAUCACCAUCUUAUCAAGCUUCGGCGAUUUCUCUAAUAAAAGCUUGACGAGUGUCAUCUCAAGAACUGUUGAAGAAAUACAUUCCAGCUUCACUUUUUGAAGCCGAUUAAAGCUACAAAAAAAUGCUUUCCAACAGCCAAAAAAAUUGGUCGCUAAAAUAAAAAUUCUGGUUGGUAAAAAGUAUCAGCAACCAAAAUUGAAUGAUCGCUGCUUGGUCGCUAAUUCACCGUCGGUGAAUGUGUUUAGUGACCAAUGUUGUUUGGUUGCUAAUUAUGUAACGUUCACCAACCAAAAUCAACUUAUGUGUAAAAUUAAUUUAUUGAAGAAUGUGUGGUUGAAAUUGAGUUUUGAAACAAUGAGUCUUUGGUAAAAUGGAGCUCAAACAAGGGCCAAGUGCUUUCACCAUUACAUUGUGUCCACUUACUUUUAUAGUAAUCUAUCCAACAAAGUAAAGCAUUAGCUCAAAAAGACUUAAGACAGCUUGAAAUUGAAGAUGUAGCUAGCAUAAUAUUAUACGCCAUUCAGAAAAAAAGGGUUUCUAGUCUCAAGAAGCCCACAUCACAAGAUUUCAAUUACUCCUGACCUUUUUGAGCUAGUAAGCGAGCCUGCAUUAAGCUCUACCACCAAAGUUCAUUUUUAUCGAAAGCUUUAAAAAAUGACCUUUGCAUUUGGUAAACACGCUUAAAUUUGUUCGUCUCGAUCAAAAUCCCAAAAUUCUUCGUCAGCAAGUUUCUCUAAUGGUCAUUUCAGCCUGAUCACCAUCUUAUCAAGCUUCGGCGAUUUCUCUAAUAAAAGCUUGACGAGUGUCAUCUCAAGAACUGUUGAAGAAAUACAUUCCAGCUUCACUUUUUGAAGCCGAUUAAAGCUACAAAAAAAUGCUUUCCAACAGCCAAAAAAAUUGGUCGCUAAAAUAAAAAUUCUGGUUGGUAAAAAGUAUCAGCAACCAAAAUUGAAUGAUCGCUGCUUGGUCGCUAAUUCACCGUCGGUGAAUGUGUUUAGUGACCAAUGUUGUUUGGUUGCUAAUUAUGUAACGUUCACCAACCAAAUGUUUGGUCUGUAUUUGGUGGCUGAUAAUAGCAAAAAAUUGGUUGGUAUGUACCCUUUUGCAACCAAGAGUUUGGUCAGUAAAGGUGUAGGUCAAUGAAGGUGUAGAAUUUUUAUUUAUUUAUUUUUUACCAAUGGUUUAGAUGGAAUUUCAGCAACCACAAGUUAGGUUGUACCUUAUUAAAAUUUCUAAUUAAUAAAGUUAAUAAAUAAUGCAAGAGAAAAUAAUAAAAAAAUAUACAAUAACUACAAAAAAAUAAUUGUGAUUGCAUACAUAACAAUUACUAAUAGUUAAUACAUAAAUUAAAAUGUCAUUGUAUAUUUAUCCAACAACAUAUCAUAGACCCUAAUAUAGAAUGUGUCAUAUAUCUCACCAAAUCUAUCCUAUACCUUACAAAAGAUGUCUUAUAUUUUUAGUAACAUAAGUGUCCUAGACUUUAUGAACAAAAGGUAUGUGCAGACAAAAAAAUAAAAAAAUAAAAAAAAUCUAGUUAUAGACUUUUGUUCCAUUCAUACUCUAUAUCUUGCAUCAUCAGUAUCACUGGAUCAAUGAAUUUGCAGAAUUUGAUGCAUGCAAAAAGGGACACCAGUCACCUUUUAAAUAGCACCCUUUCCGAAAGAGUAUGCAGGGCAUCCCUUGUUUAUUAGAGACAUUAGGAACAUCAGAAGGUGUAGAGACAGUCUGCAAUGGAAGUAUAGAAGAUGAAGCAGAAGUUCGUUCUUGUGUUCCCAAUAGUCCAUCCAAUGACUGAAGAACAAAAGAAGAUCAAUACCCACUUUGCUAAUAAUAAAAACGAAUAGUUAAGAAUUGUGAUAUCACCGAAAAUAAAAGAAGAUCAGUAUCUAUGUUUGCAUAUGAUAUAAUAAUACACUUUCGGAUGAUAGAAUAAUGCAAUCUAUGUUAAGAAAGAGAAGGAUGAUAGAAUCCAUACUUGGGAUUCGAGCAAUUACCAUCAAUGCAAUUGAACUUAAAUUAAAUGUAUUUCUACUAGGUGUGCAUAAAGUAGACUAAGCCCUACAAUAAUAAAGUUCUUACUUUAUGUAUUCUCAAAAUAUGAUGAAUGCUAUGUUUUCCUUUUGUAAGGAUCCCGUAUAAUUGAACCUUCACAUGGGUGCAAAUAGAAGCUGCAUCUAUAGCUAAAAAGGACUUCAUAUACACUGUGAACUACAGAGCAUAUAAAAAGGAAUAUAGUAGAAGAAAUACCAAGUAUAAUAAAGAUCACAAACAUUACUGAACUAAACUCAGUACAACAAACCUUCCAGUUGAAUCCAAAAGCAGUGCUCUUAUAUUAUCAGUGUCCUCUACGCUUCAUAAUCUUAGAACCAGAUAUUGGGUACCACACACCCACAACCUAUAAGAUAUAAAAAAUUUGUAGGCCAAUUAUAAGGCAAUCCAAAGAUUAUUAUAUCGUAAGUGUGUUGAAACCAUUACAUUUGAACAUUUGAAAAAACAGGAUACUCCUUAGUAGUCUCUCACAAUAAAGCAAUACAUGAAACAGAAGUAAUAGGAUACUCCAAAGAUGACUAGUAAUAUAUUUGGUUGAAAGAGGCUACACCAGAUAGCAACCAUCAUGCCAGUACACAAAUUUCUCUUCCUUGAACAUCAAGUGGAUCUGCAAGCAGGAAUAAGGUUUUACUAGGUUGAAUGGCUUAAAAUGAUCUUUCCAAUCCAUCUAGACGGAAAUACAUGGGCAAAGCCUAAACAACGAUUGGUUCGAUCCAUCUUAUUGAUUGGACUCAUAAGAAUUAAUGAAUCUAUCAAAUAGAUAAAAUGAUCUAAACUAAUCCAGCAACAUUCAUUUCCUUUUCAUUUUAUUGUUUCCUUUUCAUUUUAUUAUCCGUUCUUUGUUAAACCUUCUGUCUACACACAAAAUGAAGUAUUUUACCUUGAUUUACAGCAAUAACUUCCUCAUUGCUUAUAACUUCAAAUGUCUCUGAGUCACGUUUCUUAUAUCACAACCAAUCAAAAGAGGUGCCAGCACAUUCAACAAAAUGCCAAUUAAUUCGUGGAGGAUUGAGAAGGCGAAUGUUAUUUUAUGUUGAUUACAAGAAUACCUCAUUGUUUGACAAUGGUUCCGAUGAAAGAUUCAUGCUUUUAAGCUGGUAGAUGACAAGUUAUUAAAAAGGAGACACUAACAAAGUAUAGUAUUAUAUUUGGUUGAAAUCUAUGUUUUAUCGGAACCAAAAGUACAGUUGGGAGGUAUGCAUUAGUGACAGCAAUGAAUACCGAUAUUUUUUUAACAGUCCCAUAAAAAAACAUUAACCUCGAAAGGAAAUAUAGAGAUACACAAAAGAGUUAAUCGAAGAAGAGAGAAAGUAUACCCAAUCCACAAGCAAUUUGAAUGUAGCAGAGUAGGCAGCAACAUCUUCAGCUAAUGCCCGUCUCUUUAAUGUUCCAUCACAACUCCUAGUGAAGAGAUAAUUAUACGCAUAUAGAACUGCAAAUAAAGGAACUGCCCAACAGAAGAGACGACAAAAAUUAGUACGCAAUCUGCAGUAGCAUAUACUUGUAGGGACAAUUACGAAGAUUCAUAAUUGGUUGAAAGAUUGACGUACUCAAACCUCUCCAGUUUUGGGUAAUUGCUGUGAGAACUGCGAGUAGGGAGAGACGAAAUGUCGAAGGGAGUGUAAUUUGAAAAUUUAAUUUAGCCCCUGUUUGAGCCCAUUUUUACCUCAUUAAAAUGAAAAAUAUGAUCGUUAUCCAUCACAUCAAACCAUCAUUUUUAAAUUUCUAUCUCUGGUGUGGGGCCUAUAACGGCUCUAUUUCUCAUUCUCAUUCUCAUUCUCAUUAUAACGUGGCUCAAACGGGCUCUUAGGGUUUCGAAUGGGAUAGGUCUCAUUUUUCCGAUUUAGGCUAUUCAUUCGGACAUCAACAAUUAUAUUAUAUCUGAAAAUUGUGUUAGAUGUAUAUUAUAUUUUUAUUUAUUACUUAGCCGAUGUUUAUUUUUUAUUAUUUGUCCAUUAAAAUGAAAAAUAUAAUUAUUAUCCAUCACAUCAAGCCACCAUAUUUGACUUUAUUUCUCUUGUGUGAACCCGUAAUGACAAUAUUUUUCAUGCAUAUUCUUACAUUAAUGUGGCUCAAACAGGGCCUUAAAAAUAUUUAUAAAUUAGUAUUAAAAAUGACACUUUUGUUAGGAAAUUAAUAAUUUUAUAGAUAAUUUAUUUUAAUUUUUUUUAUCGAAAGUACUAAUAACUAAAAUAUGGCUGUUGAUUUAAAAGUGCAUCUCCAUUGACCAACAAAAAUAUGUUCAUUGGUCGGUAAAAUGUCUAUACUAAAUUCUCCAAUGAUAAAAAUCAAUGUUGGUUGCUAAAACCCAUUAUUGACCAAUUCUUGAUCGCUAAUUAAUUCUUCAAAAAUAUCACUAGCCAAAUUAAUAAAUAAUCUAGACGACAUCCUUCGGUGACCACAUCAAAUUUGGUUGAUGAUACACAAAAUCAGCAACCAACCCUUGUUUGGUUGAUGAAACAAUCUUCCAUAGACCAAAUAUUGGUCGUUGCAUCAUCAUUAACACCAACCAAACAAAGUGAUUGCUAUAACUUCAAAUAAAAAAUGUCCACUCCUUUUAGGGGUUUUAGCGACCAUUUUGGGCAUGGUUGCUGAAACAUUCCUCCAAGGACUAUAAAUUGGUAGCUAAAUCAUUACAUAUUUCCGACUAUAUCACAAUGGUCGCAAAACCCCAAUAAAAAAGGUGGGAUCUAUUCCCUCCAAGGGCUUCAGUGACCAAUCUAUAUAUGGUUGUUGAAACAAUCUUCCAGCGACCAAAUAUUGGUUGCUAAAAGUGCCUGUCGCGCAAAAUAAUUUUGCUUGCUUUUUCCCACCUAUUUAUUAGCGACUAAAUUGUGUUUGGUGGCUAAUACAUCGAAUCGGCAACCAUUUUUUGGUUGCAAUAGGGCACAAGAAAAAUAAUACAAUUCUAUCCGACCAAAAAUGUUACCAACCAAUAAUUGGUCGGUAAAUGUGGCUUUUAGCGACCAAUUUUAUUUGGUCGCUAAAUCUUUGGUCGGUGGAGCCCUUUUUUGUUGUAGCAUAUAUAUCCGAGUAGUCUUGCAACCUCAAGAAGUCUAAAACAGGAUGUGCUUCAGCAAGUGGGAGUGGCCUAUGCAAAAUCUACACAAUAUGACAAAAAGUCACUUAUCUUAAACUUUUAGGUUAAAUUGGAAAAUAGAGUAUCGUAAACUGUAUAGUCGUGUCCAUUACUUGUCUGGUGUUUCAGUUUCUCAAGAUUCGGGGAGCUUUUGAACAAGCAAAGAACAUAAGAGAGAUCCUCCACUGAGUCUAAACAUACAUAACAUAAAUUUAGAAUUUUAAGCUGGACUUCAGUAGCUGGAAGCCUUGUUUGGAAAUCUUGGAAGCGGAUGGCAAAAGCAUGAUCAAAUAUAGUUAAAUUGAUGAUUUCAAGGAAAUUAUAGUUAUAAUCAGCCAUACCUUCAUCAUCUGAUAGUCCAUGCACAGUUGAUGGAGUGAGGGCAGGGAAUCAAAAAACUCAGUGAAGUUAUAUUUUCUAUGAAUGAUAAAAUUGUAACGGAGAGAGUGGGGAUUUCUUAAAAUAAACAUAUGUGCAGAAUAUUUCAAUUUAACGAGUUUUAGCUUGGGAGCAUUAAUUGUUAAGUGGUGAAAUCCAGCUGGGACAUGCAACUCCAGUUGCUUCUAAUACUUCAGUAUCAAUGAUGACAUCAAGCAAUUCCAGUGUAAUCAGCCUAUUAAAACCUUUGAAGCUUGGUGGAGGAUUGAUCGAACAAAAAGAAAGUUUCAAAUGUUUCAAUAGUGAACAUGUAAAUAGUGAAGAAGGCAAUUUGUACACUUCACCCUUCUUCAUUUUCAAAGUGGAUUCUUCAACAUCUUUCUUCCAUGAGAUAUAUAUCUAGUGGUCAAUUUCAGAACCAACUCUGAGUUUUGGAAUAAUUAGUGAUGUCAAUGGGCUGAGCCCCUUAAUCUCAUGAGCUCGGCUCGCGCUCAUGGCGAGCCGAGCUCGUGGCUCAUUUUCAACGAGCCAAGCUCGACCUCGGCUCACAAGCUCGUGGCUCGUCCGAGCUCGUGGACCUAGCCGAGCUUUGGCUUGCGAGCUCGUCAUCUUUUUCUUUUUUUUUUAAAUAGAGAAAAGCACAAAUAAUGUAAUAAAAAUACUUUUUUAAAAAAUAAAAAAUGUUAAAAAAUACAAAUAAUUUAAUGAAGACAUUUUUUUCUUUUUUUUAUUUAUAUCAUAUUGUAAUAUUUUUUAUAAAGUAUAAAAUAUUUAUAUAAUGAAAACGAAUUGUUUUUUGAAAUACAUUUACAAAAAUACAUUUUUUUCAAUUUCUUUUUAAAGUAAAUAAAAUGUAAACCCUCCUUCUUUAUCCGAGCUUGGGACCAAUUACAUCAAUUUUAAGUAGACGAAGUUAAAAAUUGUACACAAACAACUUGUUAUAACGUGUAUAAUUUUUAAAGAAAAUUAAAUUUAACGAUUAAAAAAUAAGAAAGUUUUGAUUAAUAUAAUUAAAUCAAAUAUCACUUACUUGACGACAUGCAAUUUCAGCACAUUUAUCUUGUAAUCGAAAAUGAGCAUCCUGUCAAUCUUUCACGCACAUUAAUGCUUCCAAAUAUCUUCUUUCAGUCGGCUCCUGAUAUCGAUCAAAAUACAUUUAUCUGCACUAAAAGUAGACUCCGAAACAAUAGUGCUAAUCGGAGGUGUCAACAAAUCUUUCGCAAUUACGGAAACAAUUGGCCAACGUCUUUCAUACUUUCGCCAGAAUUCAAUUACUUCCUCUGAACUUUUUUAAUUGUUCCGUUUGUUGGUAUAUUAUGAUUGAAGUAAUCAAUUAAUUCGGAAGACAUCACACUUUGAGUUGCGACCGAUGUUUGAUGAGAUGCAAAUGUAGAUGACAUGACACUAGAUGAACAUAUUGCAGUUGCAUCAUAUCUAAAUGUAUUAAUGCCUUGAAAUAAAUUCAUUAUUUCGACAUCAUCUUUUUCAAUUUCAGCCGAAUGAGUAGGUGUAGAGAGUACCUGACUAAUAUUCCCACCUAUUCUUUUCGCAUAUAAAUCAUACAUUCCACAUAAUAUUUGCUCUAAAUUAUUAUAAGUGAUAGGUAUAUCAAGCAUUAAGACUUUAUUGAUUUGAUCAAUUAGGUAUUUAGUUCUCGAAAUAUUAUAUCGGGGGUCCAUUGCGCAUGCUAAAGGAAAUAACAUAGGCAGUUUUUCCCAAUAUUUUUCUAAACUUUAAUUCCAUUGCAAUUAUAAUUUCACUAAUAUCAGGAUUAUUUGUAUAUUUAUGGAAUGUUCUUACAACUAUAUAAAGGAGUUCAAGCACCAUAUAGCUUGUGGGAUAAUAAACGCCGGACAAAAUCUUUGUGAUCUCAUAAAAAGAUGUCAAAAAUCGUUUAACUUUCAAAGCCUAAACCCAAUCGGAUUCAUUCAACAUACCAUCGUCAUCACUUCUAACGUGUCUAUUAUUAUAAAAGUCAGUUAUUAAAUGUUCAAAACCUUCAUAUGACUUUAAUAGCAAGUAAGUAGAGUUCCAUCUAUGGCCUACGUCGCUAUCAAAUGUUUUAGCAGCCGUCACCCCUAGUUCGGCAUAAAAAUCUUCAAAUGCUUGUUUUCUACUAGGAGAGAUCGUAAUAUAUACUAAUACAUUCCUAAUCCUUUGAAAUUCAUCAUUUAUAUGUCUUAGGCCAUUUUGCACAAUUAAAUUCAAGAUAUGGCACACACAAUGAAUAUGAAACAAAUGCCCACCAAAAUUAGGUUGAAGUGUCCUACACAAUUUAUCGACGACUACUUUAUUAAUACUAGCAUUAUCAAAAGUAAAAGACCAAAUUUUAGUCUCACAAUUAUAUUCUCUAACAAUACUGGCAAUAUCAUUAUAUAUAUUAUUAGUAUUGUGAGGAAAUUCAAUAAUUCUAAAAGCAAUAAUUUUUUUAUGCAUGCACCAAAGUGGGACUAUAUAGUGUGCGGUUGCGGCUAUAUAUGAUCUUUUAUUAACCUCUUCCAAUAUAUCAGAAGUUAAAGAUGUAACACCCCAUAUUGUUGCAAAUCCAUAAUUAAUUGUUGUUUUGAAUUAUUGAAAAUAUUGCAUUAUAUUGGCACGAAGAGUAUUUCGACUUACCCCAACGUACCUUGUUUGCAGAUAUUCUUUCACGAACGAGACGAAGUGUUGGUUGUUUGCAAUAGCCAAAGGCAACUUAGUGGCGGCAACAAAUUUCACCAUUUCGGUUCGAGUAUUGUCUUCCGAAUAAACCCACGUGGAUAGGGGUGAAGUCGUAGAACCAACGCCUGGAUUGCCAAAUUGCAAUUGUGUUUGACCAGCUGGAAGAAGUCCAUGUUUGGCCACACAUGCUUUGUAGUGGCGGUUGAGAUAGGUGGUACCAAUUCCUUUUUGCCAUACCAAUCUUUGUUGACAGUAUUUACAUACUGCCUUAGAUUCUGCAAGGCCAUCGAUGACUUUUUUCGUUGAAAUCAGCUUAAAAUGAUCCCAAAAUAUUGCUUGUUUUUUGUCCUUUUGCUUUUCCCUUGCAUUUAGAAUGUUUAAUUCAGCAUCUUCGUUCUCAUGUUCCACUUCGGAAACGUUAAUAUAAUCCAACUCAAUUGGAUUGUGGCUUUCCUGAUCGUGAAUGUGAAUAUCUUCAGUAUGAAUACGUCAUUUAGACCGGCAAAUUCAUUUGAAAACUGACUUUACAGCGUCCUAGGCGAUUCGCCAUGUGGUCCACAUUCCGUAUUGAAUAAGCUUUUAACAAAUGAGCGUUGAUCCAUUUUUUUGAUUGUUUAUGAUGAAAUCCAAAUAUAAUAACUAGAACAAUAUAAAUGUAGUGAGAAUUGAGAAUUGGAUGAAUUGAAAUUGUAACUGAAUAAACUGUAAAAAAUGAAUCGAUAUUGUUUAUUUUGUAGCACAAGAGAGUAAAAAUUUGACAAUUGAUAUAAUAAAAGAGAGUUGAGAAAUGAGAGGUAGUGAAUUAGAGGAGACAAUUGAUAUGAGAAAAAAAAAGACGAGUUAAAGGGUAUUUAUAGUAGAAGGGAAAAAAAUUUAAAAAAUUUCAGCGACCAUUUUGGUCACUAUUUUCACGAGCCACAAGCCGAUCGUGGGUGGCUCGUCUUCAAGGUGAGCCAAGCGGGCUCGGCUCGUUUCUCGACGAGGCCAGCUUGGCUCGUGCUUGGGCUUGUGAUUGUACGAGCUCGAGCCGCCCACAAACUCUAUUUCGAUGAGCCAAGCGAUCGAGCUGACGAGCGGGUCGGCCCUUUUGACAUCCUUAGGAGUAAUGAGGCUCGACUUAAUUAUGGAUCCUUGGUGAAGUAAAAGAAUCUGGUAAAGAAUCCCUACAAACUUCAUUCUAGCCAAUUCUUGGUUUCUCUUUUGAUUCUUGCCAUGUUGUAACAUCAAAUAUCAGCUGUGGCAGUUUGACCCAUUUGUUGGGAAUCUACUUAACGUGUGCAGCGAAAAAUUAAAAAAAAAAUUCAAUUCCCACGAGGAAGAGGUUGUACAUUUUCUAGAUCUGCAAACUUCUUUGCCUUAUCUUUGUUCCAGCAACUUGGAUCUAUCUCCCACAGCUGUCUAAUUGUUCAGCCUCCAACGGUCAUCCACAUAGAGAACAAGAUUGUAGGAUUAAGGUUUUUCUUGUGCUAGAAAGAAUAAUGAAAAAUUUCUAAAGUUUUUGAAAACCUUAAUCAUAUUUAUAUAAGCCCGAAUGGGCUGGGCCGGGCCUGACCUAGUCCAAUAUUUAAUUAACCCAUUUAAUUAAAUCCGGUUCAUGAAUUGAUUAAUCUAAUUAAUCAAUUCAGGCCUAUAAAUAAGCAACCUAAUUUAUUAAUUUAUUCAACACUUGUUAAAUUAAUUAAUUGACAAGUCACAAUCUUCUAAUUCUCCUUUUGUGUGCAACCCAUUAGGUUUCCGAUCACGAUACCUAACGAUGUGAAAUAUUAUUUUGAUCUAAUCAAAAUUGAUAAAUUAAAAUAUCCUUUUAAUUUAUCACCAAUUCACACUCGUUGUCCAAGCUUGACAUAUAACAAUGUGUCAGGGCAAUACAUGUGAUGAGAAAUGUUACGUGGUAUGAGAAAACCAAACUCGUUCAUUUACCGUCAAACUAUAAUCCCUUCGUCAAUAUGAUCCGAUCAAUUACGAGAUAUAGAAGUGUGUCAAUCUCGACUAUCAAUCAUAUCUUUUACUCCACUAAUAAGUCAAUAUAAGUCAAAAACUCCUUUUCGACUUAUGAGUACACCUUGGCCAAGAAUUUUAUUAUUGACUUAAUUGAAUGAAAUGCAGAUCAUAAUCUCUUACUAUGUAAGAGUGACGAAUCCUCUAUUAGUCAUUCACAACCUUCACAUGAUUCUUGACAUACUCGAACGAUGUGGUAUUAGUGGCCCUUGGCAGAGCAACAUCCAACACUGUCAAAGCAUUACUAUCCUCAUAUAAGGUACUAUGAUGACAUCAAGUCAAAGAACAAAUUCCACUACCGAACGUUAGAAAUUAACCACUGACAUUCAGAUAGUUAUCCAUAUAGAAUCUCUCGACGGGUCACCAAUGUUUUGUUCUAUAGCAAAAUAUCCACGGGUUCAUUCAAGUGUCACCACACUUUAGCUUGUGAGAUCAGCUACUUACUUCAUAAGUAAGAAAUAUCACACGUGAUGGUCUAUCUGUAAUAACGAUAUAUAUAUCUCGUUAUUACUUACGACCACAGACGAUUUAAGAUUCAAUCACAUAUAACUUGUAUCUCACAAUCACAACUCCUUGUGAUUAACAAAUUACGAAAAUUUGAAUCUGCGGACUCUAUUAUAUAAUUUAAUUGUAUAUUAAUUAAAUAAUAGAUCUAACAUUAAAUUGCAUUAAUUAUGUAUUAAAAGUAUUUAUAUACAAAGUUGAUUGGAACUAGGACAUAACACUUACACCAUUUAUACCUCCAUUGCUUUCACAAGACACAAGUCUUUGCAGCAUCACGUACUAUCAAACACAUUAAUAUGAUCUAUAUGACAUUAUCAGGAAGGUCACUUAUCAUAUCAAUAGGCUCGAAUUGGGCAAUCUUCAUUCUGCUAUGUAAUUGGCUAACAAAAUUCUGUAACAACUCUCAAUUAAUAAAAAUUUCAAAUUGCCUUAAACUAACUUGCAUGCGUGUAGAAGAUAUAAACAAAUUCUGCAUUAAGUUCACAAAAUUUUGUUCGCUUUAUUUUAAUUUUUUACACCGAUAUUUUUAAUAGUUAUCGAAUUGGUCAUAUCACUAAGAAAGUAGAGAUAAUAUUCAUAGUUGAUAUUUACAUUUGCAUAUGCUUAAAAUAUACUUUUGAACAGAAUUUCAAUAAAAAAAAAAAAAAAUUCAUGUAGCCCAUCCAAACUUAUUCACAACAAUCUUUAGUUGUUAUUAUUAUUAUUAUUAUUAUUAUUAUUAUUAUUAUUAUUAUUAUUAUAACUCAGAUAUCCAAACUUCGCCUAAAUAAUCCUGAGCAGUGGCGGCCUUCCCCCCUGGUUUACCACCCGGCUAAAUCCGGAUGCGAACACAACUUAUACACAAUUGGGCUGGACAUUCAGGAUGCUGCUCUUCUCCCUGUAAACUUUCCUUUACGACGUGCGGACAAGACCCCCGAAGAGGUGACAAAGCGCACCAUAACUUUGCCUCCAUAGAACAACUACCUUCCAACAUAAAUGUUGCCUUCUAGCUACCAUGGGGAGUCGAACCUCCGAUAUCCGUGUGGAACCCUCCUGCUUUACCACUACACCAUGCCCGUGAGGGCACAAUCUUUAGUUUGUUGUUAUUCUUAGUGGUGGACAAGGUGGCCAACUGCUCAUUCUAAUAAAUUAUGAGCAAACAAUAAAAUAAGCACCUCAUAUAUAUUGUUUCAAGUUUUAUUGAAUUGUAUGCAUAUUAUAAUUAACUUUAAUUGGCAUGUCAAUCGUCUUGGACUUUCAAGGUAUAAUCCACUACAACAUUUUAUUAGUCACAAUGAAGAUAAAUUAACAAUAAACAUAUAACAUUUCAUUAGGCAGUAUUACAUUUGCAAAAAUUAGGACAAGAGAAAUGUGAUGUUACAUGUUAAAAUUAAUUUUUUAGUCAAUUUUGAUAAAAAUUGAUGUAAUAGGUGAUUAGAAAGUUAUGAAUAUCAUAAAAUACGUGAUCUAAAUGAAUUAUUGAUUUUGACUUUGAUAAAAAUUUAAAUUUAAAUUCCCAUCCCAAUACCUACUUACCCACAUGAAUAAUGAUUGAAAAUUAGAUGAUGUGGCAUGGCUUAUUAAAACAAAAGAAAAAGAAACACUACCUCUACAAGUGUAAAAAAUCGGGAAAUGGGAAUUCAUUCUACCAUUUUAACCCUACUUUGCGUCGACUCGCGCCACUGCCAAACCCACCCAUCGCUAAUUUUCAAUCCAUCUCCGACGCAACUCCGACCACUGGGUAAAUAGAAAGACUACAUUUCACACCAUUUUUCCCAAAUUUUGUGUCGAUCUUACAACCGAAAACCCAUCCAUAUCGAGUCAAAAUCCGGGGAACUGACCGGAGAACUUUGAGCUAUUUGUAAACAAGAGGUUGGACGUGUUCCUUACAUCCCACCACUUUCAUCAGCAAGUCUGAAACUUGCUCUAACCCUAAAUGAUAGAAAAAGGUAUUUUCUCAUCCUUCCUUGAAUGCAUCCAAAUUUGUUUAAAUUUAUUGUUAAGUGGUCACAUGAGUCCAUAUGUUGUCAUCCUUCGCCUAUUACCCACAACAGAUAACUGAGUUCUAUUGACCUGAGUUUGAAAACUUGAACAGAGCAUAACUUAUACGUCACUCAUUUUUGUUCUAUUCUGGAUCCGAAAUUAUGGAAGAUGAUAACCAUGACUUGUUUAUCAAAGUGUGUACAUUUGAAUAUUUAACCUUUGUUGUAUUUGUUUUCAUCAAUGUCUUUCUUGAUUUCUUCAUGUAUGGAACCGAUCUUUUUAUGACAAACAUAUCUCUUCUCAUUGACAGAGGCAUUGAAGCUAAACAGCCAAACUCUGCUAUUGGUAAAUGUGCUGGGGUUAAACUCAUUAAGAAUAACAAGAAGAUUGCUGCUUUUGUCCCCCAUGAUGUUUGUUUAAAUGUGCUUUACUUUGCUAGUGAAAUUAGUACAUCUAGAAAUGUUCAUACUUCUUAAGCAUGGAUGCCUGAUAUGUAAUUUGCUGGAUAUUAUUUCGUAUUUUCUUUUAAUUUACUGUAUCAGAAUUUGUGUUGCUAUGUGUUGAUAUUUAGAUAAUCAUUUUCUGGUCUCUCUCUCUCUCUUGCAGUUGGAACAUUGCAUGCAUUUUUUUUUAUUGAUAAUCAAGUAAUAUAUUUUGGCCAAAUUAAUUGAAAUCCUAUGUAACUUGGGCAUGCUUUUCGGCCGUGUGAUAGUCCUUUCUAAAUGUGGACAAGGCACAAUGUUGGCUUAAUAACUCAGCUUGGUCGAGCUCGCCUGUACUAGUCGUGGAGGAUCGGCACAACUAUUUCUCCAAGGCCACAACUACUAUUUUGUCCUAGGAUAGAAGGCUAAUAUAAGUCUGUUGUCACAAAAAAGUUUGUUGAUUCAGUUUGUAUAUUUGUUUAUCAAAGUGUGUACACACUUUUGAUAUGUUAGUUUUUUACUUUUGAUAAAAACAACUCUUUCUAUUACACAAUAGUUUGGAUUACGACUAUUCAACUUCGUUCAAAUGUACACGUAUUUGCAUUUUAUUGUUUGACUAUUCAAAUGUACACACGUCACAAUAUUAUUUAUUUACGUGCUUUAUGGUAACCAAUUUUUAUUACCAUUAUUGCAUUGACAAAGGUUUUCAACAUACAGUGAAUUGAAGCACACAUUGCAGUGAGUCUAAUGUCUAAACACAAUAAGAAGAUACUUUGGUUCUUUUCAUUCUUUUAACCGUGUUCUAAAGUCUAAAUAUUUGGGCUUGUCUUAACUUAAUGAGGAAACCGGUUCUGUUGCCUUGUCUUCUACACUUAGCAAAAUGCCCAGUUUAGUAUAGGAAACUUUCAUUUUGGGACACAUAACAAAUGUUAUCAACUACACAACACAAGCAACUUUUGUCAAAUAAUUUGGCCGGGAUGUUUGAAAAUAUAAAUGAGAACAAUUACAUGACAAAUUUCUAAAACCAUAACAUAUGUUACAACGAACCUCAUAACAAUCAUAUGUCAAACGAUCGAACAAUUAUGACAAGAUUAACCGUACAUCUAAUAUCCUACAAUGACCAAACCGUUCGUUCAUUAUGAUAAUCCAUAAAGCAAAUUCAAAUAAGCCGUUUAAGUCUAACCCUUUCCUUUCCCUUCCCAUCACACUUUGCGAUUUCCUAUCCUUUAAUAAAACUCAGGCGCAAUGAUAUGUCCACGUCUAGUUUCUCGCUAAUUCGAGCUAGAUUGUCAAAGAGUUUUGGCAACUCUUCAUAUUCCACGUUCGACGCAUGAUUCACCGCUUCAUUAACGGAACUCGACUCCAUGCUUAACACUUCUUCUUUUACCCAGUCAAAAUAUUCACAAUCAUUACUACAAGUGAAGAACAAUCGUCCUUUGUUACUAACAUCCCAUUCGACCUCAAAACAUUUUCGAUAACCGUGUUUACACGAAGGGCAUCGACGUUUUGAUUGGCAUUGUCCAAAGUAGCGAGUGUCAAAUUCCGGAAUUCCUUCCUCUCAUUCUAGUCGAUCCUAGCUAAAAAAACAAAUAAACAAGCAUGAAUGCAAUUGAAUCACAAAUUCCCAUAUCAACUACCUAAACCUCACCAUCCAUGUCAAAAAGCAUUACCCAAUUUGAUUGUCGACAUUAAAGAAUCAAAAGCAAAAGAGUAAAGGCAGAGCUAUAUGACCGACAUUAACCAUUCAAAACCAACAAUUCUGAUUAUCAAACAAGGCAUUAAACUAUUCGAGUCUCUGUCUAAAUGCAAGCCAUAUAAAAUCAUAUUAUCAAUGCCAUAUUAUUGAGUGUGGCCCCUUGAAAAAUCAACAUUGGGGAGAUUUAAUGUAAGAAUAAAAAAAAACCACCAAAAUUAAAGUAUAGAACCAGAAAAGAAGAACUACUUAUACAUUAUCACCGGAGAUGGAGCACAGUGUGGAGGUGAACGGAGUUCAAUGCGUUGUCGGCGAUGGCAAGUGAGUACGAAUGGCGGAUGCUAACUUGGUAUACCCUUCGUUGGUGCCGAUCUUUUGUGAUGGUGAGUGCAUACAUGGAAAAGUGAUUUGGGAGGAAUGAAAGAAAUUUCUUGAUAGUGCUUGGAGGAAAAUGGUUCAGACGGAAUGGGAGAAAUGGGAGAGAUAGUUUGGGGCAAGUUUUGGGGGAAAUUUUUGUAGUGGGUUUCUUUAUCUUUUUUUUUUUUAGUUUGUUUGUCUUUUUAUUUUUUAAUUAAUAGGCCAUGCCGCCUCAUCAAAUUUAAAAUCCUUUACCCAUUCUGUAGUGCCUUUUCUGUACCCAUAGCUAAAUUGUACCUCAUAUGCUUCAUAUGAGAUGUAUAGCACACUUUCCUCAAUAAUUAGUUAAUUACUUUACUAGUCUUCUCUCCUUAAUAAUUACUUUACUAGUCUUCUUUCUUCAUCCGUUUACAUUUCCUUCCAUUUUUUGGUUCAGAGCUACAACCUCCAUUUCCAUGGCUUCUAUGCUAUAAGCUAAUCAAACCUUUCUGCUUUUGCUUCAGUGGUAGCGCUUAUUGUGUUUUAAGCAAAAAUUUAGAGGGUAGACAACAUUCGCUUUCACUAUCUUUCUUUUUCCCUGCAAUUCGACCAUCCUUUCCUUUCCUUGCAAUGGAUAUCUCAUUCACUGAUCCGUUUACUAGUCCUAUAAAUCUCCUUGAAAUUGUGAUCGAGCAUAUAUCACGUGUCUCCUCCUCACAUGUACAUAUAAUUUAUAUGUUAACUGUGCUUCGAGAUUUACUAUACCGUAGAGACUUUGAAGAUAUUGAAGAAUUCAGAAACUUUUUCCAAGUAUUAGUGUCAUUUGGGCAAGAGCUUAUGGUGCUCUUUACAGUCCCUAACCAGCAAAUCUUGUUCAAUUUAACUCCUACUCUCAAUUAUAAUGAAGUUGGUGUGGCCUUCAUCAACUUUUACCUCUUAAUGGUAGAAGUUAUCAUACAUUUUGAGGAAGAGUUGAUUGCUUGUUUAAAGGGUACGUUCCAAAAUCUCCGGACAGAGCUUGGAUUUCUCAUAAAUUUUCUUGGGGAUACAGCAAUGCAUUUGCAGCCCACCUAGACUAUAUUGAUAGAUAUCGAAGAUGUGGUCAAUGAGGUAGGAAUUUUCUUGUAUUCCUUACUUUUGGCCAUUGUUGUAUUUAUUCUGAUCAAUAAAGAAGAAGAAGCCUGUACUAGAAUAAUGGAUUUGGAAUUUGUGGUUGAUGAGGUAAAAAGUCUAAUUCAUUCCAAAUUUUUCCACUUACCAUUGCUAUCCACUAUGGUGAAGUGAAGAAAAAGAAGAAAAAAACAGAAAAAGGCAAUGAUGGAUAUCAAAGCUCUGCUCCCAAAAAUAGGAAGUUUAUUAUAUAUCUUUAUUUUCACCGAGGAUGAUCAAGUUAUGGAGACAGGAAUCUUGGAUCUUGCUCUUUCUGAUUUAUUUACAAACUUUGAGACCUUGAAAGCAAAGAUUAAAGAGCACUGCAUCACGGUCUCAAAGAUGCCAAGUGAUAUCGCUCCAAAGACUAGUGUGCUUUCACUCUUCAUUAUUGAUUCUGUCCUUGAUGAUCUCAUAGAUCUAAUAAAUAACAAGUCUGACUGGAUUGUUGUUGUGAAUGAUCAAAUUGUAACACUCCACGAGGAGCUAAUGUUAUUGGGAUCAUCCAUCACAGAUAUAGCACUGCAGCACGAAGUAGAACAUGAAGAACUUGUGACACGGAGCAAAGACAUAGUAUAUGAAGUUGAAUUUGAAAUCAACUCAUUUCCUCAUGUUUGGUAUCUUAUUCUCCGGCUCCCUCAACUCAUCGACAAGAUUCGGCUUAUUGUGAUGGCUAUCAAAGAAAUGAAGAACAAUAUUGAAGUAGUCAGAAUGUCAAAUGUUUCAAAACAUCCACAUGAACACGUAGAGCCACAGUCAAAAGAACCUUCCAUUUUGGAAGACAUUGUUGUGGGAUUUGACAAUGUAGUAAUUGAAAUCACAGAACAACUUGUUGGAGGAACAGGCCAGCUGCAAAUUAUUUGCAUCUUUGGGAUGUCUGGACUUGGUAAAACGACCUUGGAAAAUAAAUUAUAUAAACAUCUCUCCAUUUUAUACCAUUUUUACAAGCGUGCCUAGUGUGUUGUUUCUCAAAUAUAUACUAAGAAAAAUAUAUUGAUUGAAAUUUUGGGCUCAAUGAAUAACAGUAAGAGGGAUACAUACAUGAAAAAGGAGGAAGAAAUCUUGGUUCAAGAUCUUUACAAAAACUUAAAAAGAAGGCGAUUCCUCAUUGUGAUAGAUGACAUUGGGAUAUCAGUGUGUGGAUUGAUUUGAAAAGUUGUUUUUUAGAUGACGGAAUUGGAAGCAGAAUCUUAUUCGCUACUCGAAAUAAAGAAGUGGGUUUGAAGGCUUCAGCUCGCAAUGUCAUAAAUGAACUUCCUUUUUUGUUAGAAGUUGAGUGUUGGGAAAUAUUACAAGGGAGUGUUCAAAGAUAGAAAAUGUCCUCAAGAAUUGCUAGAUACUGGCAAGCUAAUUGUAAAAAACUAUCAGGGCCUACCACUUGCAGUGGUGGUAAUAGCUGGAGUUCUUGCAAACAUGGAGAAGUGAAAAAAACCUGUGGAAAAAAAUUGCAUGAAAUUUAAGUUCACAUAUAUCCGAAAUACGAGAGAAGUGCAUCCGAACAUUGCAAUUUAGCUACAAUCAUUUACCAAUGCAUUUGAAACCACGUUUUCUUUACUUUGGAGCAUUCAAAGAAGACAUGGAUAUCCCUGCACGGAAGUUGAUAUUUCUAUGGGUUGCAGAAGGAUUUAUAAAGAAGGAAGAACAGAAGAACAUAGAGGAUGUGGCACUAGAAUAACUAAUGAAACUGAUCGAUAGGAGCCUAGUACUUGUUGCUGAAAGAAGUUUUGAUGGAAGAGUCAAAACAUGCAAGAAUCAUGAUCUAUUGCAUGAAAUGUGCUUGAGAAUAGCUGAAGAAAAUAACUUUUUGAAGUUGAUCAAAGUGUAUUUCAAUGUUUUUCUUCUAUUUCCUUUCUUUUCUGUCCAUUUUUUUUAUUUUAGCUUACUAAGAAUGGUUAUUAUAUUUGAUGAUCGUAACAUGAUGUGAUUCUGUUUUUUUUUUUUACCAGUAAUGAUGAUGAUGAACAACGGUUCUUCAGUCAAGUAUCGACGUAUCAACAGUACCAUCAUCUGAGUAUCAACUAUGCAAAAUUUCUUAGUUCACUACCUGUUGGUCUACACGUACGCUCUCUUCUAUUGGAUUUGGAUUUUAUGAGUUCCAUCAAAUUAAUCUCAUGCAGCUACAAAGUUUUUAGGGUCUUUUGUGGAUGGUCACUGUAUGACUUUCUAAUAGGACUUGAAUAUCUGGUUCACUUGAGGUAUUUGGAAAUUUCAUGUACACUGCCACAAAUGGAAAACUUCCACAUAUUAGAAUUUCGUGUUGUGUACAAUGAUGAUGAAAUUGAAUUACCAGAGAUCCUUCUUAAUAUGGUGAGUUUGAGACACAUGGAGUUUAAGGGUGGUGCGUACUUCAUUGAAUCUAGUCGUCAACUUGCAACUAACAAUAAGAGCUUCCAAAUAAAUAACCUACAAAGUAUUUUUGUACUCUCAAUUUAUGAUGAAAUGGAUGAGAGUAUUUUGAGAAGUUCACCCAACCUUUGCAGAGUGGAAGGCAGAGUUGAGAAUUCAUUAAAUUGUUCCUUCAACUUCCUUAAUCAGCUCGAAUCACUGAAGCUAUCAACAGCACAUGGUACGCUUUAUUGGCGUUCCAGUUUGAUUAGUUGGCCCUUAAAUCUAAAAAAAUUAACUCUAGUUGGUGUAUAUCUGUCUCGAAAACAAAUGGAGAUAAUUGGAAGAUUGCGUUGCCUUGAGGUUCUCAAAUUAGUGUCUGCUGCCUUUGAGUGGGAACAAUGGGACACAAGUGAAAGUGAAUUCCCACAACUUAAAUACUUGAAACUUUGUGCCGUAAAAAUUGCAGAAUGGAAUGCCUCAAGUGAUAAUUUCCCAAGGCUUCAACGAAUAGUAUUGGAACAUUGCAAGAAUCUAAAGAUGAUCCCUUCCAAUUUAGGUGAUAUUCCAACGUUACAGAAGAUUGAGUUAUUUAUGUGUGGUCAAACUGCCAACGAAUCAGCAAAGAAAAUUGAGGAAGAGCAAAAGGAGAUGGGGAAUGAAAAUUUUGAAGUCACAAUCUGUAGCACAUUUGGUGAUAUUGAAGCCAUUCUUUCACACAUUUCCCCGCAGAUGAUGAAGGAAUUCAACAGCAGGGAAAUUCAGAAGGUAAUAAUGAAAGAUAAUUUCUCUUUUAAUUCUCUUUCACGUUCUCAUCUUGGUCCUGUUAUACUAAAAUGAUGUUGGAUAUUGGUUAAAUAAAUUGAGAAUUGAAAAUCGAUUAAAGUUCGUAUCGAAUUCGGCCAAAUACUCAAAAGCUCGACUCAAUCCGUUUAGGCAAAAUUGUUUGCCACUUCGCCGCUUCGGGGCGCACAAACGGGGAUCGACCUGCCCGGUCAGGUCGCGAGGGUCGAGGGGGCAGCGCCUCUCGUGGGGGUCGGGGGCAACGCCCCCGAAAGAGAAUUUUGAUUUCUCUGCAUGUAUUGAAGGGUAUAUUUGGCAUUUCGAAAACCAAUAUCGGAUGAAUGAGAAAUUACGAAAAAGACCUCAACCAUUAGUCAAUAGACACCUUUUCAAAAGGUGCAUUGUUUGGAAAGGGUGCAUGGUUUGGCCUCAACCAUUUCGUCCACACCCUUUCUUGGUCUAUAAAUAGGACCCUUUGGGUGUCCUAUUCCACACAAUUUGAUAUGCAAAAACGUCUCUCAUCCUCUCUUCUAUCCAAAAUCAAAAUCAUUUUAUUUAUUUUGAUUUUCUUUCAUUUCAUCUGUGGAGUACAUAAGUCUACAUUUGGUUCGUUGUACUUGUGUUUUGGAGUGCUACAAACACAAGUGUAGCCGUUGUAUCUUGGGAGUCGAUUGCCGAAAUCCGUAGGCACCGUUGCGGGGCAAAUUCGACUUAAGGACAAAGAGUCCAACUCUUGCCUCGGCUUUGUCACCAUCAUUAUACUUAUUUCGGCGUCACUAUUCACAAAAUUCUUCCAACAAAUGAAACAUCAAAUAAAAUUUUUGGCUUAUAUUGAAAUUAACCCCUGUUUAGUUCAAAUUAAAAUCAGAUUUUUAGUAGAUUUUCAUAAAGGUUGAUAAAAUGUGUGAUUGAAAAGUUAAUAAAAGUUACAAAUCUCAUAAAAUGUGUGUUGAAAAUGAGUUUGGGGGGAAAAAUGAGUUACAAAAAAUUGGGACCAAACAGGAGCUAAGGUUGGCUCUAUUUUAUGAGCCUCUUGAUGUUAUUUUAGGAAUUACUAAACCACAAGGUUCUAUGUUUUGGCAUUGCUUCUCUAUUAUUUCAGCUUUUCAUAUUUUUUACUAUAAAAUCAUGUUGACAUAAAAUCACAACGAUCACAUUUUCACUUCUAGCUCAUUUUAGUCCUCAAAAUAAUUUCAUUGUUUAGCUCAAGUCCUCCAUUAAUUGCAUGGGCAGUCCUUCAAUGCCCAAACUUGAUAUCUUUGUCCUAGAUUCUAGAUUCCAUCCAAUUUCCAUCCUUCUUGAUCAAAUAUCGUCCCUUUUUAUUCUUUCUUGUUCAAGACUAGUUUUUCUCUUAAAAUAAUCAAUAAAAACACAAAAUUAAAUAUCUGGCUCAUAAAAUUACCCCCAAACACCCUCUUUUGGUGGCUUGGAUAAGUCUAAAAUCACACUUACCAGCUGUCAUAGAUAUGCAACUUCAAGAGUGGAAUGAUAUUUCUUCGAGGUAAAUAGCAACUUACUCAAUUGUGUUAUAUGUUUAUGUCCGUAUAAUUCAUCUUCUACUUUGAAUGAGGACAAGUUAAUUCAAUUGUGUGAGUAAUAUUCUAAAGAUUUUAGGGAGAAUUACAGUUGGGGUCUCAAACUUUUCAAAUUAUUGUAGAUCACACCCAAACCUUGUGUUUUUAUUGUAGCUAAAGGACAUGUGGACAGAAUUCAUCAAUUUAAUCAUCAGUUUACCAAAAAUACUACCUAACACAAUUUUUUUAUUAUAUUUUUUAUGUAAUUAUUUAAAUUAUUUUAUAUGGGAUAACAUGGUUAGAUCGUUGACUUUUGGUCAACUAAUGGUCAAAUGAAUGGAUUCCAUCCACAUGUCGGCUUGGGUAUAGUUUGCAACAAUAUAAAAGGUUUGGGACCCCAGUUGCAAUUUCUCCAAGAUUUUAAACAAGUAGAGAUCUUGGCACUUGAUGAGUAAAUUUACACAUAUUAUUGAUAUACACACAAGAUUUUAAAGGGUUAGAGACGUUAGUGAUCUUGCAGAAAAGUUGACUGUGAUAAAAAAAAAUGUGUACCCAUUAGUUUACAUGUUUGUAACAUUGGCGCUAAUUUUUUCAGAUGUCCAUUCUCGAUGAUUGAGAUUUUCCAGAAUUGAUUGCGUAAUUGGAAGGGAGAUCAAUGGUUGAGUGACACAUUGGUGGCAUAUAUUGAGAGCGAUGUAUUUGACAAUAUUGAUAAUGAUGUAAUUAUAUGAUGUUUCCAAAGUAUUAAAAUUUGUAUAAUGCAGUUAUAGUAAUGUAUUGACUUAUUUUCAUAUAUAUAUAUAUAUAUAUUUUUUUUUUUUUAAAGAAAAUUGUACCUUAAUUUUUUAUCCUACAAUGAAAAUUGUGUGGCUCCACCAAUGAUAAUAGGCUUGAUAAAAACAAUUAUCUUUGGUGGAAAAUCAACUUCUGAAUGUCGUCAUGGCUAGUGGAUUAGAGGGUUUUAUUGAUGGCACAUAUACUUUUCCAUCAAAGAUUGUUGAAGAAAUGCUCAUCCUAAACCCCCACAGUAAGCAGCAUGGCAGAGGUUUAAUAGGCUUGUAAUGAGUUUGAUUUACAACUCACUAAGGAAUUAUGUCUCGAAUAGUGAGUGGAUUUGAUUACUGCUGAUGAUAUCUGGACUUCGGGUCGAAAUUUUUAUUAACUUUUCAGAAUUAUGACUUCAAGGUCUUAAUUUCCAAUCUCUUGUUGUUCUUAGUUCUUACAGAAUUUGCUUCACAGAUUCUUAGAGUGCUUGCUCAGACCCUCUGCCAGAGAACUUUCCCGAUCAAUAAUUUGGUCAGGAGUUCUUGUAUGUGCACCCACCACCACCAUGUAGUCGGCCAUUUCGACCGGCACCAAAGAAGCAUAUGAAUCAACUCAAACUCCUUUACCGAAGCAGAGCUCUGUAUCGAGAUUUUCGCUGUGGUUUCUCUGUUUUACUAGACUCCAAAAUCCAGCAUCCUUCCAUAUUUUCCUCGCAUCUGGGAACCAAAAUAAAGCAUGUGCCACAAUGAAAUCUCUAAGUGAUUAACAUAGGAGGAGCCAUUGUAAUUCUUCUUUAAAUAAAGUCAUAAGAUUGUUGGUUAAGGGAUUCCUUCAAAUAUAAUAGAAGAAGAGAGAUGGUAGAUUUUCAUGUAUAUCAAAUCGAAACAGCAAUCUCUCCACAUAUGGAUGUUAGUAGGCCUUUCAUGGGCGGACCCAAGAAGGGUCCCCUAGGGUUACUUGAUCCUCCAGUUUUUUCAACACUUUUUUUUUUUUUUUUUUGUCUUAGUUUUCGGGCUCACUAUGAAAUUUCAAAUGAAAUUGAAAUACUAUAUUUUUAAUAUCAUUUUGAAGUACUCACAGUCUAGUAUUUUCAUAUCGUUAAUGUUGUGUGAAAUAACCAAUCGUAGCAAAUGUUAUGACGCGUCAAAAUAGACAAUUUCAAAUUAAUAUUUCGAGAAUUUCGAUAACGAACUAACUUUAAAAAUUUUUCGACAACUAUACACUAGUCAUAUACAUAAAUCUUCUAUAUCCUCUUGAAGCUCAUUUCUAAAACUAUAUCAUAAACACAUUGAAUAAUCUAAAUAAAUAUCGAAAAUAGUUAAACGUACGUCAAACGUGUAUGCUAAAAAGAAACGUAUAACUUGUCUUUUUUGAAAAAAAAAUCAAUUAUUUUAUUAAUGCUUAUUAUUUUUGUGCGAAAAAUUUCUCAAUAUAAUUUACAUCAUUUAAUUAGGAAAUUUUAUAUGUGGUAUGAAGUCAAAUUUUUUUUUUUUUGACGUAAAAAUUCUUUAAAAAUUUUUUAUUACUUCAUAGGGGUUAAAAUUAUUAUACUACGUUUUCUUGGUUAUUUUUAUUUCUGAAAAAAAAUUUACAUGUAAAAAAAUUCAAUCAUUUUUAGGAAUUUUUUUAUAAUUGUUAUCUUUUCUUCUCGAUCAAUUUUUUUUUUCAAAUGACUCAAAAAUUAUAUUAGGAAAUUUAUUAGAUUAAUUUUUAAAAAAUUAAUGAUUGAGAGAAAAAAGUAACAAUAAUAAUAAAAAAUCCUAAAAAUGAUAAAAAAAAUUUAUAUAUAUAUAAAAAAAAAUUAGAUAUAAAAAUAAUCAAGAUGAAAAAGUAGUAUAACAAUUUAUAACCAAUAUAAAGUAAUAAAAAAAAUUCGUCUUUUUUUUUUUUUAAUUUGAUUGUGACCCCCUAAUAUAAAAUGUCUACGUCCACCUCUGACGCCUUUCCAAAGCGUUGCAAAUCUAUUCAUGAUUACAAUCAUAUAAUGGUGGCUGCUGGGUUUAUAUAGUACACACAAAAGACAAUGGAAAAGGGAGGCUGGAAGAGAAGAAAAUAAAUGGCGGCUGCUAUAGAAGAAAGUUGUGGUUGCCAGAGAAAGUUUUUCUUUCAACUCAACUUUGGGUGUGGAAUUCACGCAUGCUUUUAUUUUUAUUUUUAUUUUGCUUCGCUACAUAGUACAAAUUGUGAAUUGCUCUAAAGUAUAUUUUGGUAAUUCUAAAGAUGUAGUAUUCAAAGUAGGUAUCUCACAAAUUUCAUCAAAGUGAUUGUUUGUGAUGAGAUUAUUUCUUGUCCUUGGAGAUUGAUUAUUGUGGUAUUCUCCAAUUUGUUGACAAUUCAAAUUUUUGCUUAAAUUUGAAUAUUGUAAUAUAUAUUUAUCAAUUUGGAUUUGGCUUGAGUUAUCCCAUGAUUUUUUCCUGUACACUGGAGGGUUUUUCCAUGUAAAAAUUUGGUGUUGCGUUCUCUAGUUUUUUGCUUUGAUAAUUUACUUUCAUAUUUAAUCAUUGUAUUUAAUUGCUUGGAUUGUUGAAUUUAUUCUUGAAAUAUGCGAAAUUGCUUGGAUUGUUGAAUUUAUUCUUGCAAUAUGUGAAAUUGCCCAACACCUUGGUCCUUCUCAGGUCGCUGCAUCAAUCAUCACUAUACGGAAUUUUUUAGUAAUUGCUACUUGCUAAGUGAUAGGAUAAUUGGUAAUCUGUGAGUUUUUAAUUCCUUUGUUAGCUAAGCAUCAUUCCUAAAUUCAUGAACAUGCCUUGUAGCAUUUUUCUGUGUAUAUAUUCAACAAGACGGGAUGAAAAGAUUCAAGCUUCCCUUCUCAAUUUCUGUUCGACUUUUUAAUUUGCUAUAUGCAUAUUUCCAGAAGCCACUAAGUUAAUACGAAACAAAUAGAAAAAGGAAAUUUUUCUAUUACUAAACGUUGCAAGCUAUACAAUGGACAUAACAUUGCAAGUCAUGCAUUUGGAUGUUUUUAAAGACCAAAACAAACUGCUCCAUUGGAUGAGUAUCACAAGUUAAAAAUUCUACAAUGAAUUUUUGAUGUGGUGCAAAAGGAAUUGGACUUUAUGGAAAAGUGGGAUCGACGCAAGCAAAAAUAGAUAACUUCUCAAUUUUUGGAGAAAUGUUGGGGUUGUCCAUUUUUGGCUAAAUUUUAGUCAAAUUUGAUCGAAAACAUGUCAAUGAACAAAACUCAGCAGUUUUCCAUCUGAUGUAGGCCCAAUUUCGGCCCAAUUCUUUUGUUUAAGCUUUUUUCCUUUUUUGGUAAAUUUUGUUUUGGUUAUAUUUUUUUCAAUUUAAGUCAGAUUUGAAUUCCAUUUGUUGGAGGAUAAUCUUUAUGAUUAAAACUUUCAAUUUUAGUCAUUAUCUCGAUUUUUUCAAGUUUUGAAAAAAAAAUUAUUAUUAUUUUUUAUUUUUUCGAAUUUUCCUAGGGUUUUUCCUAUAUAAAAGCAUUGUAAGCCCUUUAUGGUCACGCUUUUGAGAGAAAUAGAUUUUUUUCAUGAGUUUUUUUCAUCUUGUUAGAUCUAUUCAUCUUUUCUAUAAUUUUCCGCUACGUCAAUUUUGGAAACAAAUCAACUUAUUCCAAAAUGACUAGGCCAAAACAUCGAAAUAAGUUAAAUCAUAGUCUACGUUAUUUCUUUCACGACGUAUAUCAUAUACUUCAAAUGAGCCAUUAUAUGUAUUUUAUGUUGGCGAAACUAUGAAACUGUGUAGAGUAAAUUUACAACAAUUACUAUUGUUAGGAAAAGUAUUUUAGUGCCACUGUUUCAGAAGUUACAUGACAUAUUGGCCUCUUAUUUGGUGAAACAAGAUUUUUGGAAUUGUAUGUGGAUCACAUUAUAGGGUUGCAACCAAUUGAUCUUGCUUUAUUUGACUCUUGCACUACAAUGGAAUUCAUUGAUUCUAUAUGUAGAAUUUCUAUUCAAAACUGGCUCAAUUCGGCUCGAUUCUGAAGAAAACCAGACCAAACAAGGUCGCUUCAUAGUUAACCUACAUUCAUUUUUUUCAAAACCUCAUUCAUUUUUUUCUGUAUUUUUUCUCUGCUCAUGCAAUUUGGAUCAAACAAAAUAUUUGAGAUAAUCUUUUCAAGAAAAAUAAUAAAACACAGCAUUCACAAAUAUGUAACUAAUGCCAAGAUUUCUAUCUGUGAAAGUUGUGACAGUAGGUAAUUCAAAAAUUAUUAUGAAGAUAGUGGAACUUAUUGAUGGAUACAGAUUUGUAUUAUUACCUCCGUCGUUUGUUGACUACAAGUUCACCAAGUUGCAACAUCAAAGGUAAUGCUAUCAACAAUGAGCAAUAAUGCUUACCAAAACAACAUCAAAUUUAUUUGUUAUCUUGCUCAAUCAUGCGCAUUAAUCUAGCAUAUGAAACAUACAAUAUAUUUCCCUAUGCAUAUAAACUGUCUCGAAAUUUUACUCUAAUUUACGAUUUAUAAUCAACUUUUGUGGAAUUGGCACUCUAUUAUUAAAAUUCAAUUGUGUGUAUCAUUUUUAUACACAUAUCUUGAGGUUUGUGAGAACCUAAAAUAUUUUGAGAAAAUGCUUCUUUGUGAUAAAAUGGUUAUGACAUGGGAGAAAAAAGAGGAGUGCGUCUGUGUAGGGGUGGCGGUGGUCAUGGUUGGCAACUAGGGGCGGAAUUAGAGGUGGGCUAGGCUGGGCUAUACAUUUAUUUUCUUAUAAAAAUAUAUUUUAUGACUAAAAAAAAUUAUGUGAAAUUUUUUUCUUUUACAGUUAGCCCAACAUAAAAGAUAUUUUAGUUCAGUCAUGGCUCCGUCUUUUAACAAUGACGACGUUGAUUAGGAAGGAUUUGUUAGGUGGAGUUUGGGGUGAAAUGUAGAAGAUAUUGAAUUUAUUUUUCUCUUUUUCUUUCUUUUUCAUUUUGGCUAUUUAGUUAUUUUUUAAGUGGUUUAAGUGUGUGGACUAUUUUUGUCCUUCCUUAAAAGUCAUGUGCAAGUCUGCAUACUUCACUUAACGGCUGCUUUGGAUGAAAGUCGUUUAGAGGGGAAUUAGUCCUAUUUGGUAUUGAUUAAAAUCAAAAUUUUAAUUUAAGACAAUGUCAACAAACAAUUUUAAUCGCUUAUCUCAUUGAUUUCACAGCUUUUCAAUCAUUUAUUUCAUCAAUUUUUAUUAAAAUAUUCUAAAAAUCUUAUUUUAAUUCUCAUCAAAUAGAUGCUUAAGUUUGCUAAUUUUUCAAAGAUCAAGGGCACAAACCGAACAAAACAUGGUUUGGGAGUAGGUUUGCUACUUUGCUUAAAAGUUGGGACUAAAAUUAGUUUCAUGUGGUGCGUGUUGGGAAAGUGAUUAGAUAAAUAUUUGAUAAUUAUAGUGGUGAUAUCUAUAUAAUAUAUGGACAAUAAAUGAACGAUGCAUAUGAAUAUUAUGACAUACAAAAAUAAAAACAUAAAUUUAAUCCACUUAAAUUAUAAGAGCACUGCUACAUUAACAGGGUCACAGACACCUUGUCAAUAGGAGGACAUGUAUCCCCUUGAAAAAACAAGGCCCAUGUGGCCUUGUUUGAGAAGAGUUAUACAAGUUAUAAUUCAAUCACUUGUGCAAAAUUUGUAAAAAGUGACAUUUUUCAAAAUGUGCUUAUCACAUCAGAUGGAAAUUCAUUUCCAACUUUGAUCAUUCAUUAUUUGGCGCACAAUACCAUGGAACUCCGAAGUCCAAAGUAGUCAACGAAGUUGGAAAUUAUCAUAAAUGAAUAUCAAUUCUUUCAACAGUGCAUUUCAAAUUUUCAGUAAAGCCUAAAGUAGUGAUUUGAAGGUUUUUGUAAUUUACUAAUAAAUUAGGAGUAAAAGAACAAUGGAUCUUGAUAAAAUGGUUAUGACAUGGGAGAGAAAAGAGGAGUGCGUCUGUGUAGGGGUGGUGGUGGUCAUCUGAUACUUUAGGUUUGUGACAACCUAAAGUAUUUUGACAAAUGAUGAAGCGUUUUCUUACCAUGGGCUCGUAAUGUGCAAUUCAAGUCAUUUUUCCUCUAUAUAAAAUUAAAAACAAAUACCAAAUUUGCAAAAACCAAAGUUUAAAUUCAUCACUUUUAAUAUAGUGUUACAUAGUCUAAAAUCAAACACACACCUAUAUUUAACAUAGAAGAUUUCGAAGAAUAAAAGUCACAUGAUCGAGUUAGGAACUUUUCAAUGGUAAGUUAGAAUAAAAGAAAAGAAAAAAUAGUAAAACAGUGUAGGAAUUUGUCAAGAAAAUGUCUUUCCAAAUGAAUCUUUUGGAGCUCUACAUUUUUUAGAUAUUUCAUUUUAAACUAAUUUCACUAAGAUUGAUCAAUUUAAUCCCAAAUAAUUUAAAAUAUUACAAUAUUCUAACAUAACUCUGCCAAACACAAAACAAUAUAGAUAUAUAAAGAUUUUUUGUCACGUACUCAUAUUGUAGCAUUCAAGUUAUUUCGCAACAUCCUUUAAAGAAAGGAGAAUUUUUUUUUUUUUUUUGAAGUGAUUGUGCUAAAUAAUAAGAAACAAUAAGUGGAUAUUAGAUAUUAAAUUGUAACGGACAUUAAAAUUGAUAAUAUUUUAAAGGAUGAAAGUUAAAUAAUGCAGGUAAAAGAUCACUAAGCAAUGGGGGUGAUAGAAAUAAGAAACAGAAAUUUCUAUUAAGCAACAGAAAUAAGCACCAUUGCAGUUUGAAAUCUAUCUUAAUUUGAACUAUAUCAAUAUGAUACUAAACUAACAAGGUAGUUGAUUAGUUUCUUAAGGGAAAUUGGCACAAAACGUCCCUACCUUUCAAGUGUAUUGUGGAAAACAUCCCUACCUUUCAUUUUUUGGCACAAAACGUCCCUACCUUCCACUUUCUUGGAGCUGAACGUCUUUUUCAUCAAUUUUUGACGAUUUUACCCUCCAUUCAAAUAAAACAAAAAGAAAAGAAAGGAAAAAAAACAAAAAACUAAUUGCAACCACAUUCCCAAAUUUUCUAAAAAUUGCAAAUGGUAACUUGAUAAUUACCGUAUUAAAUAAAUUGAAAAAAAAUAAAAAACUUCAGAAAAAAAUUUAAAAAAUGGGUUGUCUUCUUCACCCUACCCUACUAUUCAUCUUCUUCUUUGUAAGAAAAAAAAUUAAGAAAGAGAGACAGAGAGAGACUUUCCCCCAAAAUAAUUAUUUUGGUGCACAACAAAUCCUCCAAAUCCGAAGCCCCAUUACAUCUCUCUGCACUUCCCCUCUUUGUACAAGCUCCUUCAUUUUCAUAUCCAGUAUCAAACCCCAUUGUGCAGAGAGAUGUAAUGGGGCUUCGAAUUUGAAGGAUUUGCUGUGCAGAGAUAUUUUGUAUGGUGGGGUGGGGUGAAUAGUAGUGUAGGGUGAAGAAGACAACCCAUUUUUUUAAAUUUUUUUCUUAAUUUUUUGAUUUUUUUUUCAAUUUAUUUAAUAUGGUAAUUAUCAAGUUACCAUAUGCAAUUUUUAGAAAUUUUGGGAAUGUGGUUGUAAUUAGUUUUUUGUUUUUUUUCCUUUCUUUUCUUUUUGUUUUAUUUGAAUGGAGGGUAAAAUCGUCAAAAAAUGAUGAAAAGGACGUUCAGCGCCAAGAAAGUGGAAGGUAGAGACGUUUUGUGCCAAAAAAUGAAAGGUAGGGAUGUUUUUCACAAUACACUUAAAAGGUAGGAACGUUUUGUGCUAAUUACCCUUUUCUUAAUUAUUACAUAUCAUUAGCAUUAAGCUAGCGGUAAUUAAACAACAGUAUAGCAUUUUUUAUGCCCCGAAAUAUUAAGAUUCGGCACAUGUAAUUGCUUGAUUAAAAUAUAUAUGAAUGAAAAUAAUUCGAUAAAUAAGCUAAAAUUUAAUGGACAAGGUCUUGAAAUCGAAAAUCGAGCUAAUCUUUAUCCAAAAUCAAAAAUAAACUUAAAAGAAUGAAAGAAAGAAGACUUAUUCACGAAAAUUAAAAUAUUACCGGGGUUUGGAUUGAAAUCGACGAUCAGAAAUUAAUUUGACUAGUUAGUGAUUUUUUUUUUUUUUUCGAUUAUAAAUUUAUAUGGAAGAAAGAAACUAAAAUUUGUCUUUUUUGAAUUUAAAAAAUGGUUGGAACUAAUAUAUCAAUGUAAAAUACGUUAUCCACUAGCUUUUAUAAAUAAACGACGUCAAAAUAAGAACUCAUGAUCUUUACUUACUUCGAAAUCGUGUUGAACGAAAAACGUAAUAUAUAUUAAUGACCUGUCUCACAUGCCUUUUGUUUUUGAACCCUAUAGAAUGAUUUUUGAAGUUACCUUAAUUAUUAUUUGAAAAUUAAUCUUUAAAAGAGUUUCCUAAUUUGAAUGUACUUUUGGAGUAAGUCAUAUUAGACCAAAAUUCUCUAAAAAUUAUUAAAAACCAUACCUUCAUCAUCCGAUAGUCUAUGCACAGUUGCUGAAGUGCGGGCAGGGAAUCAAAGAACUCAAUGAAGUUAUAUUUUCUAUGAAUGAUAGAAUUGUAACACAGAGUAGUUAAGGAUUUCUUAAAAUAAACAUAUGCACGGAAACAUUUCAAUUUAACGAGUUUUAGCUUAGGAGCAUCAAUUGUUAAGUGGUGAAAUCCACUCGGACAUGCAACGCCAGUUGCUCCAGUUCUGGUGAGCUAGAUAUCAAACUUCCUAAUACAUCAGUAUCAAUGAUGACAUCAAGCAAUUCCAGUGUAAUCAGCCUAUUUAAACCUUUGAAGCUUGGCAGAGGACUGAUCGAACAAGUAGAAAGUUUCAAAUGUUUCAAUAGUGAACACAUAAACAGUUAAGAAGGCAAUUUGUACGCUUCAUACUUGUUCAUUUUCAAAGUGAAUUCUUCAAUACCUUUCUUCCAUAAGAUAUAUAUCAAAUGGUCAAUUUCAGAACCACCUGUGAGUUUUGGAAUAAUGAGGCUCGACUUAGUUAGGAUCCUUGGUGAAGUCAAAGAAUCUGGUAAAGGAUCCCUGCAAACUUCAUUCUAGCCAAUUCUUGGUUUCUCUCUGAUUCUUGCCAUAACGUAUCAUCAAAUAUCAGCUGUGGCAGUUUGACCCAUUUAUACCUCCAUUGCUUUGACAAGACACAUUAAUAUGAUCGCUAUGACAUUAUCAGGAAGAUCACUUAUCAUAUCAACAGGUUGGAAUUGGUCAAUCUUCAUUCUGCUAUGUAAUUGGCGAACAAAAUUCUGUAAUAACUCACAAUUAAUGAAAAUAUCAAAUUGCCUUAACUAACUUGCAUGCAUGCAGAAGAUAUUAACAAAUUCAACAUGAAGUUUACACAAUUUUGUUCGCUUUAUUUUAGUUUUUUACACCAAUAUUUUAAUAGUUAAAUUGGUCAUAUGACUAAGAAAUUAGAGAUAAUAUUCACAGUUGAUAUUUACAUUUGCUUAUGCUUGAAAUAUAAUUUCGAAAUUGCAAUAGCAAAAAAUUCAAGUGCUUAUUCACACCAAUCUUUAGUUUGUUGUUAUUCUUAGUGGUGGACAAGGGUGGCCAACUGCUUAAGUGCAUUCUUAGUAGUGGACAAGGGUGGCCAACUGCUCAUUCUAAUAAAGUAUGAACAAACAAUAAAAUAAGCACCUCAUAUAGAUUAUUUCAAGUUUUAUUGAAUUGUAUGCAUAUUAUAAUUAACUUUAAUUGGCCUGUCAAUGGCCUUGGACUUUCAAGGUAUAAUCCACUACAAUAUCUUAUUAAUCACAAUGAUUAUAAUUAACAAUAAGCAUUAAACAUAUCAUUAGGCAAUAUUAUAUUUUCAAAAAUUAGGAAAAGAGAAAUGUGAUGUUACAUGUUAAAAUUAAUUUUUUUUUUUUAAAGUUAAUUUUGAUAAAAAUUGAUGCAAUAUGUGCUUAGAAAGUUAUGAAUAUUAUAAAAUACGUGAACUAAAUGAAUUAUUGAUUUUCACUUUGAUAAAAAUCUAAAUUUUAAUUCUCAUCCAACAUACCUACUUACCCACAUAUGCUUCAUAUGAGCUGUGCAACACACUCUCCUUAAUAAUUAGUUAAUUACUAUUACAAACUGAAUCCAAGAAAACAUAGAUGAAAUCAUAAAUUCGCAGAUUACACCAUAAAUCCUAAAUCACAACAUCAAGGCUUAGAUCUUUCAAUCGAAGGCUCAGACCACACCCAUUUACCAUCACAGAGGCACCGGGACUCAAAAACGAACCCUCACAACCCAACACACCAAGGUCACUUCACUGGACUCAAGAAAUCAAACUGCCUACCUUCGAUCGAUCACUCACACAAAGGAAAAUCACACAAGAACAUGAUUAUCACAAAGAUAAUCAACCAGAAAUCUCACAAAGAGAAGAAGGAAGGGUCACACAGACAAAGGAACUCGAAGGUUCCAAACGGCAGAGAGAAAGAGAAAAACAGAAAGUGACGAUCCAAGAGCCAAACAGGGAGUAAGGAGGAUAUUUAUAGUAAAUAUCAUCAACCGUUGAUCAGCGGGUCAAUCCAACGGUCCAAGAGCGACUAAUGGUGUGUGGGCUGGAUAUUGGGCUCGGUUAAGUGGGCCUUCUAGGUAUAUAUUUAAUGGACCAAGUAAUAAAUCCAAUUUGGGCCUUUUCAUCAUUGCCUAACGUUGGACUGGAUCAAAUGGCAUCACAGCCCAACAAUUACUUUACAAGUCUUCUUUCUUCUUCCGUUUACAUUUCAUUCCCCUUUCUGGUUCAGAGCUACAACCUCCAUUUCCAUGACUUCUAAGCUAUAAGCUAAUCAAAAUUUUUUGUUUUUUGCUUCAGUGAUAGCGUCUAUUAUGCUUUAAACAAAAAUUUAGAGGGUAGACAACGUUCGCUUUCACUAUCUUUCUUUUUCCCUGCCAUUCGAACAUCCUCUCCUUUCCUUGCAAUGGAUAUCUCGUCCACUGAUCCGUUUACUACUCCUAUAGAUCUCCUUGAAAUUGUGAUCGACCAAAUAUCACGUGUCUCCUCCUCACAUGGACAUGUAAUUAAUAAGUUAAUUGUUUUUCAAGGAUUACUAUACUGUACAGACUUCGAAGAUAUUGAAGAAAUCAGAAACUAUUUCGAACUGUUAGCGUCAUUUGGGCAAGAGCUUAUGGUGUUCUUUACAGUCCCUAACCAACAAAUCUUUUCCAAUUUAACUCCCACGCUCAAUUCUAAUGAAGUUGUCGUGGCCUUCAUCAACUUUCUCCUCUUAAUGGUAGAAGUCAUCAUACAUUUUAAGGAAGAUUCGAUUGCUCGUGUAAAGGGUUCGUUCCAAAAUCUCCGGACAGAGCUUGGAUUUCUUAUCAGUUUUCUUGGGGAUACAGCAAUGCAUUUGCAGCCCACCAAGACUAUGUUGAUUGAUAUUGAAGACGUGGUCAAUGAGGUAGGAAGUUUCUUGUAUUUCUUACUUUUGUCCAUUGUUGUAUUCAUUCUGAUCAGUAAAGAAGAAGAAGAAGCCUGUACUAGAAAAAUGGAUUUGGAAUUUGUGGUUAAUGAGGUACAAAGUCUAUUUCAUUCCAACUUUUUCCACUUACCAUUGCUCUCCACUAUGGUGAAGGGAAGAAAGGGAAAAAAGGGAAGAAAGAUAAGAAAAAAACAGAAAAAGGCAAUGAUGGAUAUCAAAGCUCUGCUCCAUGAGAUAGGAAGUUUAUUAGGUUUCUUCUUCAUUUUCACCAAGAAUGAUCAAGUUAUGGAGACAGGAAUGUUGGGUCUUGCUCUUUCUCAUUUGUUAGCAAAGUUUGAGACCUUGAAAACAAAGAUCAAGGAGCACUGCAUCACAGUCUCAAAGAUGCCAAGUGAUAUGGCUCCAAAGGCUGGAGUGGUUUCACUCUUUAUUAUUGAUUCCGUCCUCGAUGAUCUCAUGGAUCUAACAAAUAACAAGUCUAACUCGACUGUUGUUGUGAAUGAUCAAAUUGUAAUGCUCCAUGAGGAGCUAAUGUUAUUGGGAUCAUCCAUCACGGAUAUAGUAUUGCAGCACGAAGCAAAACAUGAAGAACUUGUGACACGGAGCAGAGACAUAGCAUAUGAAGUUGAAUAUGUUAUCAACUCAUUUCCUCAUGUUUGGUAUCUUAGUCUUCGGCUUCCUCAACUCAUUGACAAGAUUCGGCUUAUUGUGAUGGCUGUCAAAGAAAUGAAGAACAAUAUUGAUGUAGCUAGAAUGUCAAAUGUUUCAAAACAUCCACAUGAACACAUAGAGUCACAGUCAAAAGAACCUCCCAUUUUGGAAGACAUUGUUGUGGGAUUUGACAAUGUAGCAAUUGAAAUUGCAGAACAACUUGUUGGAGGAACAUGCCAGCUGCAAGUUAUUUCCAUCUUUGGGAUGUCUGGGCUUGGUAAGACGACCUUGGCAAAUAAAUUAUAUAAACAUCCCUCCAUUUUAUACCAUUUUUACAAGCGUGCCUGGUGUGCUGUUUCUCAAAUAUAUAAUAAGAAAAAUUUGUUGAUUGAAAUUUUGAGCUCAAUGAGUAACAGUAAGAGGGAUACAUACAUGAAAAAGGAGGAAGAAAGCUUGGUUGAAGAUCUUUACAAAAACUUAAAAGGAAGGCGAUACCUCAUUGUGGUAGAUGAUAUAUGGGAUAUCAUUGUGUGGAGUGAUUUGAAAAGAUGUUUUCCAGAUGACGGAAUUGGAAGCAGAAUCUUAUUCACUACUCGAAAUAAAGAAGUGAGUUUGAAAGCUUCACCUCGUAGUGUCAUAAAUGAACUUCCUUUUCUGUCGGAAGUUGAGUGUUGGGAAAUAUUACAAGGGAAAGUGUUCCAAGAUAGAAAAUGUCCUCAGGAAUUGGUAGACAUUGGCAAGCUAAUUGCAAAAAACUGUCAUGGCCUACCACUUGCAGUGGUCGUAAUAUCUGGAGUUCUUGCAAACAUGGAGAAGAAAAAACACUUGUGGAAAAAAAUUGCAAAAAAUUUAAGUUCACAUAUAUCUGAAAUACCAGAGAAGUGCAUCCAAACAUUGCAACUUAGCUACAACCAUCUACCAAUGCAUUUGAAACCAUGUUUUCUUUACUUAGGAGCAUUCAGAGAAGACACAAAUAUCCCUGUACGAAAGUUGAUAUCUCUCUGGGUUGCCGAAGGAUUUAUAAAGAAGGAAGAACAUAAGAACAUAGAGGACGUGGCACGAGAAUAUCUAAUGAAACUAAUUGAUAGGAGCCUAGUACUCGUUGCUGAAAGAAGAUAUGAUGGAGGAGUCAAAACAUGCAAGAUUCAUGAUCUAUUGCGUGAAAUGUGCUUGAGCAUAGCUGAAGAAAAUAACUUUUUGAAGUUGAUCAAAGAGUAAGUUCAAUGUUUCUCUUCUAUUUCCUUUCCUUUCUGUCCAUUUUUUUUUUUUUUUUUUUUUUUUUAUUAAAAAAAAAAAAAAAAAACAAAAAAUUGUCCAUUUUUUUUUUUUUUUUUUUAGCUUACUAAGAAUGGUUAUUAUAUUUGAUGAUCGUAAACAAUGAUAUGGUUAUGUUGUUUUGUUACCAGUAAUGAUGAUGAUGAACAACGGUUGUUCAGUCAAGUAUCAACGUAUCAGCGGCACCAUCGUCUGAGUAUCAACUGUGCAAAAUAUCCUAGCUCGCUACCUGUUGGCCUACAUGUACGCUCUCUUCUAUUUGAUUUGGAUUUUAUGAGCUCCAUCAAAUUAAUCUCAUGCAGCUACAAAGUUCUUAGGGUCUUUUGUGGAUGGUCACUGUAUGAUUUUCUAAUAGGAUUUGAAUAUCUGGUUCACUUGAGGUACUUGGAAAUUUCAUGUACACUGCCACCAAUGGAAAACUUCCGCAAAUUAGAAUUUCUUGUUGUGUACAAUGAUGAUGAAAUUGAAAUACCUGAGAUCCUUCUUAAUAUGGUGAGUUUGAGACACAUGGAGUUUAACGGUGGUGCAUACUUCAGUGAAUCUAGCCGUCAGCUAGCAACUAACAGUAAGAGCUUCCAAAUAAAUAACCUACAAAGUAUUUCUGCACUCUCAAUUUAUGAUGAAAUGGAUGAGAAAAUUUUGAGAAGUUCACCCAACCUUCGCAGAGUACAAGUUAGCAUUGAGAAUUUAUUAAAUUGUUCCUUCAACUUCCUUUAUCAGCUCGAAUCACUGAAGCUAUCAACAGAAUACAAUACGCUUUAUUGGCGUUCCAGUCUGAUCAGUUUGCCCUUAAAUCUAAAAAAAUUAACUCUAGUUUGUGUAUAUCUGUCUCGAAAACAAAUGGAGAUAAUUGCAAGAUUGCCAUGCCUUGAGGUUCUCAAAUUAGUAUCUGCUGCCUUUGAGGGAGAACAAUGGGACACAAGUGAAAGUGAAUUCCCUCAACUUAAAUACUUGAAACUUUGUGGUGUAAAAAUUGCAGAAUGGAAUGCCUCAAGUGAUAAUUUCCCAAGGCUUCAACGAAUAGUAUUGGAAUAUUGCGAGAAUCUAAAGAUGAUCCCUUCUAAUUUAGGUGAUAUUCCAACAUUACAGAAGAUUGAGUUAUUUAUGUGUGGUCAAACUGCAAAUGAAUCAGCUAAGAAAAUUGAGGAAGAACAAAAGGAGAUGGGGAAUGAAAAGUUUGAAGUCACAAUCUCUAACACAUUCGAUGAUAUUGAAGCCAUUCUCUCACCCAUUUCCCCGCAGGAGAUGAAGGAAUUCUACGGGAGCGAAAUUCAGAAGGUACAAAUGAAGGAGAAUCUCUCCAUUAAUUCUCUUUCACGUUCUCAUCUUAGUGUUGUUAUACUAGAAUGAAACAUCAAAUAAAUUUUUGGCUAAUAUUGAAAUUAAUGGAUUAAAAUCAUAUUUUUAGUAGAUUUUCAUGAAGUUUGAUAAAAUGUGUGAUUAAAAAGUUAAUAAAAGUUACAAGUCUCAUAAAAUGUGUGAUUGAAAAUAAGUUUGGGAAAAAAAUGAGUUACAAAAAAUUGGGGCCAAACAGGAGCUAAGGUUGGCUCUACUCUAUGAGCCUCUUAAUGUCAUUCUAAGAAUUACUAGCCCAUAAGGUUCUAUGUUUUUGGCAUUGAUUCUCUAUUAUUUCAGCUUUUCAUAUUUUUCUACUAUAUAAUCGUGUUUACAUAAAAUCACAAUGAUCACAUUUUCACUUCUAGUUCAAUUAAGUCCUCGAAAGAAUUUGUUUAUUUAGCCUAAGUCGCCCAUUAAUUGCAUAGGCAGUCCUUCAAUGUCCAAACUUGAUACCUUAGUCCUUGAUUCCAAAUUCCAUCUAACUUCCAUCCAUCUUGGUCAAAUAUCGCCCCUUUUUAUUCUUUCUUGUUCAAUACUGAUUUUUUUCCUAAAAUAAUCAAUAAACACACAGAAUUAAGUUUUCUAGCUCAUAGUGAUCUUGCAAAAAAGCUGACUGUGUUGAAAUAAAGGUGUACCCAUUAGUUUACAAGCUUGUAACAUUGGCGUUAAUUCUUUCAGAAGUCCAUUCUCGGUGAUUGAGAUUUUCAAGAAUCGAUUGCAUAAUUGGAAAGGAGAUCAAUGGUUGAGCGACACUUUGAUGGCGUAUAUUGAGAACGAUGCAUUUGCCACUAUUGAUAAUGAUGUAAUUAUACUAUGUUUUCAAUGUAUUAAAAUUUGUAUGCGGCAGUUAUAGUAAUGUAUUGACUUAUUUUCGUUAAUAUAUUGUUUUUUUAGAAAAAAAUUGUAUCUUAAUUUUUGAUCCUACAAUGAAAAUUGUGUGGCUCCGCCAAUGUUAUUAGGCUUGAUUAAAACAAUUAUCUUUGGUGGAAAAAUCAACUUCUGAAUGUUAUAAUGGCUAGUGGAUUAGAGGGUUUUAUUGAUGGUACAUAUACUUUCCCCCCACAGUAAGCAGCACAUAUACUUUCCCCCCACAGUAAGCAGCAUGGCAGAGGUUUAAUAGGCUUGUAACGAGUUUGAUUUACAACUCACUAAGGAAUUAUGGCUUCAGUAGUGAGUGGAUUUGAUUACUGCUGAUGAUAUCUGGACUUCGGGUCGAAAUUUUUAUUAACUUUUCAGAAUUAUGACUUCAAGCUCUUAAUUUCCAAUCUCUUGUUGUUCUUAGUUCUUACAGAAUUUGAUUCACAAAUUCUUAAGAAUGCUUGCUCAGACCCUCUGCCAGAGAACUUUCCCGAUCAAUAAUUUGGUCAGGAGUUCUUGUUUGUCCACCCACCAUCACCAUGUAGUCGGCCAUUUUGCCCUGCACCAAAGAAGCAUACGAAUCAGUUCAAACUCCUUUACCCGAGCAGAGCUCUGUUUUGAGACUUUCGCUGAGGUUUCUCUGUUUUAUUAGAAUCCAAAAUCCAGCAUCCUUCCAUAUUUUCCUCGCAUCUGGGAACCAAAAUAAAGCACGUGCAACAGUGAAAUCUCUAAGUGAUUAACAUAGGAGAAGCCAUUGUAAUUCUUCUUCAAAUAAAGUCAAAAGAUUGUUGGUUAAGGGAUUCCUUCAAAUAUAAUAGAAGAAGAGAGAUGGCAGAUUUUCAUGUAUAUCAAAUUGAAACAGAAAUCUCUACAUAUGGAUGUUAGUACGCCUUUCCAAAGCGUUACAAAUCUAUUCAUGAUUACAAUCCUAUAAUGGUGGCUGCUGGGUUUAUAUAGUACACACAAAAGACGAGGGAAAAGAGAGGCUGGAAGAGAAGAAAAUAAACGGCGGCUGCUGUAGAAGAAAGUUGACUGUGGGUGUGGAUUUGACGCAUGUUUUUUUUUUUUUUUUUUUUUUUUUUUUUUUUAAUUUAGUACAAAUUGUGAAUUGCUCUAAACUAUAUUUUGGGUACUCCAAAGGUGUAGUAUUUCACAAGUUCCAUCAAAGUGAUGGUUAGUGAUGAGAUUAUUUCUUGUCCUUGGAGAUUGAUUAUUGUGGUAUUUUCCAAUUUGUUGACAAUUCAAAUUUUGGGACAUAAACUUAAAUAUUAUAAUCUAUAUUUAUUGUAGUGGAUUUGGCCAGAGUUGCCCCUUGGUUUUUUCAUGUACACUGGAGGGUUUUUUCCACGUAAAAUUUUGGUGUUGCUUUCUCUAGUUUUUUGCUUUGAGUAUUUACUUUCAUAUUUAAUCACUGUAGUUAAUUGCUUGAAUUGUUUAAUUUAUUCUUGCAAUAAAUGAAAUUGUCCAACACCUUGGUCCUUCUCACUUUUCAGAUUGCUGCAUUUUUCAGUAAUUGCUACUUGCUAAACGAUAGGAUAAUCAAUAAUCUGUGAGUUUGUAAUUCCUUUGUUAGCUAAACAUCAUUCCUAAAUUCAUGGACGUGCCGCCGUAUAGCAUUUUCUUUGUAUAUAUUCAAUAAUACUAAAUAAAAAGAUUCAAGCUUCCCUUCUUAAUUUCUGUUCGAAUUUUUAAUUUGCUAUAUAUAUGCAUAUAUUUCCAGAAGCAGCUAAGUUAAUACGAAACAAAUAGAAAAAGAAAAUUUUAUUAUUCAAAAAUCUUUCACCCUAUCUAUCCUCAAAGUUCAAAACAGGAGGGGGUGUUUCUCCUUUUUCAGUAUUAUUAUGCAAUUGACUCUUCGUGUAAAGAGUUGAUAGAACUGAUUGACUCAAAAAGAUAAUAUAUAUGGAGGUACCAACAAUAAAUGACAACGUCAUUAUAGUUGAUGACGUAAAAUAAGUAUAACUUUACUGAAAUAAAUGACGGGCAUCAUUUUUUACCGCUAUAUCAUCGACUUCCAAGUGACAGAAUUAGACUAAGAGCAUCUAAGCAUCUGAAUUCCUGAACCCACCAUUCUUUCAAAAGAUUUUUGAUAGGUCAAGUUUGAAUAAAGUUCAUUUCUAUUCAUCAAAUUAAACUACUAGCUCUAUCACAUUUAUCGACCUUUAGUUCAUUCUUAUAGACAUACUCCAUAAGUAUUAGUUAACAUAGUAGGCCAAAAUUGUAGAUUACGUACUUGUCCAUGUAAAUUGAUUUAUCAUAUGAUCUUUUAAUUGUCCACCUCAACUCCUCCAGUAAUUUGUCUUGAAUGUCCAAUAUUUUAAAAGCAUUAAAGCGUCCUUUGUGAUAUCCAAGUUCGAACAAGUAGCUAUAGACAUGUCUUCGAUGUGAUAUUGAAGUAUUAAGAAAUAAAAUUAAAUUGCUUACAAACUAAUUAGUUCACAUCUACCCUUCUACAAUAUAAAGAUAGCUUAGUUGAGCUUGUAUAGAGAGCACAAGUUUUUUGAAAAAGAUAUUUUUCACAACAUAUUCCAAGUAAUCCAGUUUUGAAGUCAACAAAACUGCAAUAUUGUGAUGUGAUCCAAGAAGCACAAGUAACAAAGUCAAGUCCAGAGUCGAGCCCAAGGAAAGAUCCGUUGAUAGUCGAGGGGCCAAUGAAUCUCAGUCUCAAAGAUGCCAAGUGACAUGGCUCCAAAGACUGGUGUGGUUUCAGUCUUUAUUAUUGAUUCCGUCCUCGAUGAUCUCAUGGAUCUAACAAAUAACAAGUCUAACUCGAUUGUUGUUGUGAAUGAUCAAAUUGCAACGCUCCACGAGGAGCUAAUGUUAUUGGGAUCAUCCAUCACGGCUAUAGUAUUGCAGCACGAAGCAGAACAUGAAGAACUUGUGAUACGGAGCAGAGACAUAGCAUAUGAAGUUGAAUAUGUUAUCAACUCAUUACCUCAUGUUUGGUAUCUUUCUCUCCGGCUCCCUCAACUCAUUGACAAGAUUCGGCUUAUUAUGAUAGCUGUCAAAAAAAUGAAGAACAAUGUUGAUGUAGUUAGAAUGUUAGUUGUCUCAAAACAUCCACAUGAGCUGGUAGAGUCAGAGUCAAAAGAACCUCCCAUUUUGGAAGAAAUUGUUGUGGGAUUUGACAAUGUAACAAUUAAAAUUACAGAACAACUUGUUGGAGGAACAGGCCAGCUGCAAAUUAUUUCCAUCUUUGGGAUGCCUAGACUUGGUAAGACGACCUUGGCAAAUAAAUUAUAUAAUCAUCCCUCCGUUUUACAGCAUUUUGACAAGCGUGCCUGGUGUGUUGUUUCUCAAAUGUAUAAUAAGGAAAAUGUUUUG